AAGUUCCAGGUAAUCCAACAUUGAAAUACACCGAGUUUGCCGUCAAUUUUUUGAAGCAUUUCGGUCGAUUGAAGUGGAUUUGAUUGUAACCCUUAUUCUCCAGCUAAAUGUGUGAUUUGUAUCCGUUUAUACAUCUCUCUAAUUGGGUCAUUGCAUCGUGCAUUGCAUCUCUUUUUUGUUCAGGAGCCCCGAUAUUAGAGCAUAUGUAUUUAUUCUAGAUCCCCUCUAUACAUUCAUAGAUCUAGACAAAGGCCGUGGAUUAGGUAUUUAUUGAUGAGUUAGCAGAGAGUACUCUUACACAACCCAAGUAACACAUAUAUGCUUAUUGUAUUUGAUAUAUAUGCAUAUCUUCAGUACUGUUUAUGCACAUUCACUUGAGUCAUUUGUUUACACAUUUGUUUUAUUAUAUAUGCAUAUAGUCAGUACUCUUUAUGCACAUUUACUCUAAUGAUUUGUUUUCACAUCUAUUUUAUUAUCAAAUAUGCUUAUUGUAUUUCAUAUAUAUGCAUAUCCUCAGUACUUUUUAUGCCCAUUCACUUAAAUCAUUUGUGUACACAUCUGUUUUAUUAUAUAUGCAUAUAGUCAGUACUCUUUAUGCACAUUUACUCUAAUGAUUUGUUUUCACAUCUAUUUUAUUAUCAAAUAUGCUUAUUGUAUUUCAUAUAUAUGCAUAUCCUCAGUUCUUUUUAUGCCCAUUCACUUAAAUCAUUUGUGUACACAUCUGUUUUAUUAUAUAUAAAAUAUACUUAUUGGAUUUGAUAUAUAUGCAUAUUGGCAGUAAUGUGUAUGCUCAUUCAUACACAAGUUUAUGAGCAUUUCGCAAUAUAAUAAGCAUAUUUGCAUUGUUCUAUUUACUUGAAUAAUUAGUUUACACUCCUGUUUAUUAUAUAUAAAUACAUACAGAUACUGUUAUUUAAGCAAAAGUUAUUUAAAUAUUCAUGUUUGAAUAUGAGCUAAAUGUUUUUAUUACUAUGAACCAGUUAUUAAAAUAUGUUGUAUAGUUAGUUGAUGCAAAAAAGGCUCUUAUUUUAUCAUGAUCCAUUUACAAUUAUAUGAAAUAUUAAAUCAAUCUUUAUGUUUGUAUAUAACCAUUGUUCAUUAAAUGCUCUCGCAUAAAUGUAAAAGGUAGUUUAAGUUAUGUAAUUCCAUUUAGCAUUAUAUAGUAUGCAUUUUAGAUAGUUAUAGUAAAAAUUAGUUCUUUUUUGCAUAUAUUCAUGCAUAAAUCACUGUAUUUAAAAACAACUUUUUUCUACAGAUUUAUUCAGUAUUUAAUCAUGAAGUCUGUUGAUCGCCCGCCCAGUAAUCCAAAAAGAUUAACCAUUGAAUCCAGUCAGGAGGUUUUUUCAAUUGACAUUUCCAGACGUACAAGAUCCAGCAGCUCAGCUCACCAAGAUGAUAUUCCACAAAAUCAGGAGCAGAAUGAGCCACAACCAGCCCCAAUCCAUCGUUUUCGCAGAAAGGCUUUAGCUUGUCGUUUAAAAAGAAAACCUCCUGCUCCAUCCACAUUGUUCGACGACGAUUUCAUGGAUGCUCCAUCGUUGAAGCGCCAAUUCAGAUCUGCCUCACCUUCUCCUUCAGAACAAAUCAGUGCAAAGAAGAUAAAAGUACCUUCUCCUCAAGUUCCGAGCGUGAAAAGAAGUCCAAAGUCUAAUAUCAUUACAAAAAAAACUCUCCUAAACAGAAGACUCCUAGAAAAUCACAGGUAAUAUCUAUAUAUUUCUGUUUAUUCAUGUGUUAAUUUUGGUGCCCAAUCAAUUUUGUAUUUUCCCCCACUUUAAAUUUAUGUAUAUUAUUAUCCAAAAAUAUGGUGUUUACUUUUUUUAGUGUUGUAGACUAGUUAUUUACAAGCCUGUAAUAAAUAUCCCUUGUAUGUAAAUAUAGUAUCAUUAGUUCUAACAAUAUAUAUACUUUGUGUAUUAAUGCAUAUUCAUUUAUGCUUCUAGAAAUUGAAUAUCCGUUGUAUUCCCUAUGAUGUUAUUGUAUCAUCUUGGAUAAUGAGCGACCGGCAGCGCGAUGCUGUCGCUAGGUUGGGAUUUUCUAGUAUAUUUGAUUUGCGAACUGAUGCCUUAGAGAGCAGAUCACUCAUCAGGUGGUUGAUGGAUAAAUUGGAUCCACAUGACAUGACCAUACGCCUAGGGGCUGGCAAGGAACUGAAGAUAACAAAAGAUACGGUUCGUCUGAUUUUGGGUUUGCCAUGUGCUGGAGGAGGCAGGGAGUUUACUUAUUGGUAUGGUGAAGUGGAUGCUGCUGCAAAACUGAGACGUGAUCUCAAUGUUGGUAAAGAAGAAUUUGAUGUUGUCAAGCUUCAAGACAAGAUAGUGCUUGGCAAUGAUGAUGAGCUAUCAAUCAGAUGCUUUUUUCUGAUUCUAUUCAAUCGACUUCUUUUUCCUUCUGCUUCUUGGGGCAUUACAAACAAUGAGGUACUAAUGACUUCAAACAUGGCCCGAAUGGCUGAUAUUGACUGGUGUCAACUAGUUUACACGGAUUUGUGUGAUGCUGCCGCACGUUGGCAUAAAAGGAACAAAACAAACAUCACAGCAACAAUAUAUGGAUGCUCACUCAUUGUUCUAGUAAGUAAUUUUGUUGUUUAUUGUGCAUAUAUAUGAUAUGCAAAUAUUUGUUAUGUACUAAUUUUAUAUAUUUGUGCAUUCUUUUUUCAGAUUUACUAUCUUGAUCACCUACAUCACCCUGUAUCUCCUGAUAACAAAUAUGGUACUCCCCGCAUUAAGUUUUUUGAUAAUGAGACCAUAAGAGAGUUGGCUAGGGGUGACAGACGUCCCCCCCGUAAAACUGGUGAACCAUUCGGCUAUGCAGAGGUUAGACAUAAACAAUUUUUGUCCUGUUAUGCAGAUGUUAAAAUUUUAUUACUGCUAACUGUUCUAUCUGACUUUAUACAGUUUCGUAGCCGUUCAGAAAUGUGUUACGUCAUUGCUCCAGAACGGCCUGUUUCUGCCGUUUUCAACAUAUAUGUGCCACGUAUCAAGCAUUUGAUUGGCAACAAGUUGCAAUGUUUGCCCUCCCAGCAUCGGCCAAUGUUUCAAUCAAUGUUUGAUGCUCAUGACAAAGAGGUGGAUAAGUACUGUGAUUCCCUUCAGCUGAGCCAUCAGAUGAUUGUUUCAAAGCAGAUUGAACUCUUUGAAACAUUUGGUGAAAUGAUCGAUGAAGUACUGAGAGUUGCAACGCAGCGCGAUUCACAGCAAGAAGGUUUUAUUAUUUAUGUUUAUUUUUUAAAACUGAUCAAGUUCACGAAUUAUUGCGUGGAAAAUUAUAUAUAGUUAUACGAUCUCAAAUAAUUUAUUAUAUGCAGUUUUGUAUAUACAACUUAUGCAUUAAUUUAUACUCAUACAAGCAGCAACACAUUUUUCAGUUGAUUUUAUUUUUGAAAACUGUAUUUUAUUUAUGCAUCCUGAUAGUAUAUUGAUGUAAUUUGCAAAUGUGUAUGUUUAACCAUAUUUUUAUAACGAUACAUUUAUAUUCCAGUUAUAUUUCAGUAACAACUACUUUAUUAUUAUAUGCUCCAAAUGUAGAUAACCCCCCCCCCACUACCUCAAUGCCUCCAACAAAUGCUCCAGUAUCCUCACCACCUGUUCCAACACCUGAUAAACAGCAACAUGAUCAGGAAAUUCAUGUUCCUACUGAUCAUAUCAAAGUAUCAGAUCAUGUAAGUUUUCUCAUACAAACUAUAUAUACAAUGCAUAUAUUAUAUUUAGCAUACAAUUUACUGUUUACUCAAAUCUUAUUUGUUUCCAUUACAGAUUGUCAGUGGCAACGUCUGCAAAAAAGAUGAAGUUAUGGAUGCCCCUAUAUUUGACAAGACUCCAAAAUCAAAUGUUUGACUUCCUUAUAUCACAAUUAUUAUUAUUUCAUUUACAAUGUAUGCAAGUAACAGUAAUAUAUAUGCAUGCUUUAUUUUUUUAAUUCACCAGGCUCCCACAACCGACAAGUCUGCUGCUCCUGAGUUAACACCAGAUAUAAAUAGCGUAAGUAUUUACACCUUCAUCAUAUUAUGCUAAUAUUAAUUAUAACAUAUGUUUCAUUACGUUUAUAUUAAUAAUUUUAUUGGUUACAGGAAGGACAAAAAUCUGUUACACAUGAUACUCCUGUAUCUGGUGCACCUCAGUUCGAUAAAACCCCACUGACAGAUGUAAGACAUGUCGUUUUAUAUUCUCAUAUUUUUCCUAUAUAUACACUAAAAACAUAAAUAUUUAUGCAAUUGUUUACUAACAUAUAUUCAUAUAUUAGGCAACUACUGACCUUGUUGCAAGGGAUAGUUCCUCUAAAGCUGCAGUCGCUGAACCUCCCCACGUGUCACGUGAAGACUGUGCUCGCAACCUACUUAAGUUCAUUUUGUCAGAAAAACUAGAUCCAAGCAUGUAUGUAUUAGUUAUUCAAAUUCCAAUUAAGUAUAAUUAGAUGAAUUGUAAAUAAAGUUUUAUUUUUUCCCAGGUCUAUCAUUAAUUUUGGAGGAUUUGGAGGUUCUGUCCUCGAUGUUGUCCAGUCGUUUGGUCCUAAUAAAUGUCUUGAGAAUACUUUCAUGCAGGGAUUUAUCGACUGUAUUCGUGAGGAUGAUGUAUUAUACAAUCCAGAUUCUGUAAUCAACACUCUAAUAUUGAAUGUCAAUGUUGGGGUAAUUUUUUCUCCACAACUUUGUAUCUUAUUGCAACACUUACUGUAUAAAUAUAUAAUACUAAUCAAUUUAUUUUUUUUGUCUAGACCGUUUUGAAUAUCGAGGAGUUUGAACAGCACAGUUCAAAUCCCCGGCCCUUCUCAACAUCAUUUCUUAAAGAACAACUUGAACCGACGCUUCCUCCAGAUGAAGUUCUGAACCAAAUUAAAUUGGUGAGCCCCAAUCAGUUUUAUUUGUAAUAAUGUUAUAAUGUUCUUUUGGUCAUUAGUUUUAUGUUGUCUUAGCUUUAAUUUUUCAUAUGCAUAUUAUUAUUCAUUCAUAAACUUACAUAUAUAUUUAACAGAUAUUGGUUCCUAUGCUACGUCGUAGUCACUGGACCCUUUAUGCAAUCAACUUUGAACGUCGUCGAAUAGACAUCUUAGAUUCAAAUCCUUAUGGGACAUUGCUUGGAGGCACUACCUGGAAACAAAUCCAUAAUGAUCAAAUGAUGAUAAAUGGAACGAAGAUACCUUGGUCCAGAUUAAUAAUGAGAAGACUUAGCAUUGCGUUACAUGAAGCUCGACCUGAUUCAACUGUACCAAAGUUUGGCAACCACAAGAUUAGGCUUCUUCCCAAUUGUCCAACCAUGACACCAGGGUCAAAUGAUUGUGGUUUUUUUGUUGCAAACUUCCUCCGCUACUACGAUUUUGAUGAUGGUGACUUAUCAGAAUUUUAUACUCCGGUAUGUUACUAAAUUAGUGUUCUGAUCUUGCAUAUAUUACUCAUUCAGAUUUAAUCUUAGCAUUAAUUUGAUAUUAUGACUAUUUCAGGAUGAAUCAUUGGACCAACGUGCCUUUGUUUUGCAUUACCUAACCUUUCAUCGCAACAACAGGGUUGUCCCCCUUCCUGCAGAACUGCUGCCUUUCAAGUAUGCUCCAAGGAGACGCCGUUGUUUGAAAGCCAAGACUUAGAUAUCAUAGCUGAACAUGAUUCCCUAUGGGAUCCACAAAACUGUUUAUGUUACUUAUUAAGUCACUUAUGUCAGGUGUUGCUCCUGUGUAUGAUACUCCAUGUGCCACUUAUGUUCGAUGUGUCCAGUUUCUAUGCUACUUCGCAUCAGUUUUUAUUUGAAGUGUGUCAAACAUAAGUGUUACCAGAAUGUCUAGUUAUGUUAUCUGUUAAGAAAUUCUAUGAUGUUUCAUCUCCAGAUUGUGAUAUGGUUAAUCGUUUGCUUCCAAUGUUUGGUGUAUUUGUAUUAUCAUAUUGUCUUUAAUAUUCAAGUUUUAUGCAUAAUAUAUACUUCCUUAUUUUAUAUACACUAGGUUCAUCUUUUAUACAUUUUCCAUGCUAAUUAUGCUAACUGUAACCAGUGGUUAUGCUAUAUCCUGUUUGGUGUAUCUGAAGUGCGAAACCAAAGUAUGUACUCCCAUUCGAUUAGUAUUGUUAAGUGUAUACAGUUUUAUAUACCAUUUAUGUCAAGAACUGCCGAUUGCUAAACGUUCAAUGCCAAUUUGUUGUACAUAUUCAGUUACAUAAUUUGUGUAAUUGUCUAGAUUUACGCAACAUUUUAUAGUUUUAUAUCAACGCAUUAUAUAACCCUGUCAUGCAAAAUAUUUAAUUUCCAACAAACUAAAGCAUAGGUCAUUGUGCUAUUACAAAUUUCUACUAAAUCGACCACUCUUUAGUCACACUUCAAAUUAUUCGCCCAAUUCCAUAUGCUCAUCGGCUUCUUCAUUUUCCACUUCUUCAUCAAUACGAUGUUUUUUAGCAGUCGAUGUUUCAUUCCACUGUGGAGUAGUUGUUUUAUUGUUUAGUCUUGAUCCGGCUGGUCGUCCUCUCUUUCGAUUAGCCAGUUUUGCUAGCCUUGCCAUGUUCUCUUCCACAGACAGACAUGUUCUGUUGUUAUGUCCAUCUGCUAUACCACACAAUUGGCAUCUCCUAUUCUUCUUUUUCUCUCCUUUCGCACCUAGUCUCAUAAUCCUAUCUUCUGAAUUUUUUAUUGUCCGUCCUUUUGAUCUUGCACGAUCCGGCAUACUCAGAUUUAUAACAUCCACAUUAAAAUUCAACCUCUGCAUAAUAAUAGAAGUUAAUAUUUAGAAUACGCAUAAUUACAUAAAUUAUAUUUAUACCAAUCAAUAAAAUCAUUUAUCAAUGCUCACCUUUUUAGCUUCUGAGGAUGCAGCAAUAUGUUCCAUUUGUUCAUGUGCUACGUGACACGGAGAACUUGUAUCACCAACCUCUUGUGGAAUUCUCAUGUUGUCCUCCUUUAUAGCCCAACCCAAUUACAUCAACAUUUACAUGCAGCAUAAAUAUAUAUUUUCAUUUUAGACAAAUGAACAAUAUUAUUUUAAUAUGUACCUGGUUACCAGUUGUUAUUAACGCAUGUUCACAUCCAGUCAUGGUGUUAUGCUCAUCCUACAAAAUAAAAUUUGAUUAUUACAUUGAUUUUAUAUAUUCAUUAUAUACAAUACUUCAUGCAAGCUUAUAUAUUUAUCUUUUACAUACCUUUUUAUGGCAUGUAAUUGUAUUGUCAUCUUCCAUCCCAUCGCCAGCAUUAUUUUUAUUCAAUUCUACUUCCUGGUACAAAUAACAUGUUACUAUGCAUAAUUUAUGUUACAAAUAGUAUAACACUUAAAACAUCUGGAAUAUUAUUACCUUGUCUUCCUCAUCAUCACUAACAUCUGUUGACUCAUUACAUCCAAUAUCUGGCUCUAAUCGGCAUAGAACGACAUCGAGCUCAUCCAACACAUCCAUCGCCUUAUCGUACCCUGCUUUUGACAUACACGCCUGGCGAACUACUUUCAUUGUUUUCGUUAACAACAUUUUCUGUCUGUAUGAUUUAGUAACUCCAUCCUUUCCCCUGAAGCUCUUAUCAAUUCUCUCAAACGGAACAUCUUUUCUUGAUGAGACAGUGUACCUUUGCAAUAUAUAUUUUGAAGGUAUCUUUUCAACUUGAAGAUGCAUGAAGGCUCUUAAAAGAUGAACACACAAUAGACCUGAAAACAUGAAAACGAACCAUUUUUUUCAACGAUAUACAUUAAUUUGUACUACAAUCAUCAAAUUCUUUAGUAUGCAAAUUUAUUCUGCUAAUCAACAUAAUACGUACAAACCUGUAUGUUCCCACUGUUUGCACUCGCAUGUAUACUCCCCGGCUUCUAUGUCCGCUGUUAUCUUGAAUUGAUGUUGAUCCCACACAAUUUUAUUAGACCUUUUUGUAUGUUGUACGAUCCAUUCAUUAUCACAUCCGUCUGCGUCCUUUAAUAUUUUGUAUGCAGUGGCGUAUUUCAUUGAUUCCUCAAAUCUAUUCAUAACAGCUCUGGUGUAUGCUCUAGAGACUCUCACUUCGAACCUAUACAAUUUAUCUGUUGUCCUUGGUCCCUAUAACACAUUAUUAUCAUAAUUAAACACAUUAUUUACAUAAAUGUAUGCUAAACGUUAUUGAUAACAAGCACGACAUACCUUGCUCACCAAUGCCUCCUUUGAUUCUUUCAUUUUCCUGAUGUGCAACAUUUUCAUCAUUUGUUUAGCGAACUCAUGCAGUGGGGUGUUCGCAUCUACAUGUGAUUGCUUUACUAAUCUGUUCAUGCUCUCACUUCGUUGUGUAGGUACCAUUACCCCACAGAAGUCGUUUUUGAAAAAUGCAGGUAUCCAUUCUUUUCUUAUUUCAUAUAAUUUGUGUAGAGUCAUAUCUUCAUGAAGAUUGAACUCCUCUAGCAUCAUUUCCUAGGCACAUUCAAAUUCAUGAGGAGUUAAUGGAUGAUGUAUAAUAGACUGGAAUGUUGUUUUAAAAUCCUUAACAGCAAACCUUGCAUAUAUCUCAUUUAGGAAUGGCAUAAAUCUGUUCUGUACAUGCCAUAAACACAGUCUGUGAACUGUUUUUGGAAAUACAGUUUUUAGAGCAAUUGGCAUUGCAGGAUCUUGAUCUGCAAUUGCUCACAAAUUAUUCAUUUGUUUUCACAAUAAAUUAAUUCACUGUUUUGCAUAACAAAUUGAUAUAUCACAUACCUGUAAGCAUAACUCUUGGACCCUCGCAUCCCAUACAUGUUUUGAAUGAAUUGAAAGCCCAUUCAAAAGUUUGUACUGUUUCAUCUUCCAACAAAACAAAUCCAAACACUGUACACUGCAGAUGGAUGUUAGCUCCAACAAACAUGCCCAGUGGUUUAUCAUAUAUAUUUGUCUUGUGUGUUGUAUCAAAUGUCACAGCAUCACCAUAAUCUGCAUAUUCCCCCUGCAUACUUGCGUGUGACCAAAAAAUACUCACUAUUUUCCCAUCAUUGUCUAGCUGGAAAUCACAAAAAAAUUGUGGAUUCUGUUUCUUGCAUUCUCUAAAGAAAGCCAAAAGUUUGGCUACAUCAUUUGCGCAGUUUUCUCUUCUCCUGGAUGCCCUCCUACAUUUGUUUGCACAAAAAAUGAUUACACACACAUUUACUAUAGUAAUAUUUAUGGCACUUGAUAUAUACACAUGUAACAAAAAAAUAAUUGCUUACAUGUUUUUCAGAUCUUGAGCAGUUACCGGUACGUUCUCCGGACCAUCAUGCAUUUCUGAUAUAAAAUCAACUAUGCAAUGCUGCGGCACUCGGCUAUCAUGCAUUGCAUCAACAAAAUUUAUGAACUCAGCAUUCCUAAUUUUGUUGCAACGUAAAUGUUGUUUCUCUGCUUCGUCAGUUAUGAACUCAUGGUUAUGCUCCAAGUUUACCAGUUCAAUUUUUGCAGCUACAACCAUUUUUUUCAUCAUCAUAUAUUUUUUUCAAUUUUAAUCCAGCUUUACAUUGCGUACGCCCCGAUGACCUAUUCCUCAUCCUAGGUGUAUCAUUUGAUUUUGGUGCACUUUUACCUUCACGUGAACAAUUUAUCCACUUACUGAAUGUCUUCUCUCUGUAUUUCUUCAGUGGAAAUCCAACUUCAUAUGCAUACCUUUUAUAGAAUUUAUAUGCAUCAUCAACAUCCUUGAAAGUCAUCCCUACCGUUGGCACUAUAGUUGGAUCACUGUUUUUUGCCUGCUAUUUCAUUGUCAUUGUUGUUUGUACCAUGGAAUAUGUUCACAACAAUCUAAUCAAUCAAGAAUCAAAUACAGCGAUUGGACUUACAUGUGAAUGCAGUAUUUGUGGCGUAUCCAUCUCCCUGGAGCUAAUAUUGGACAUAGGAGGUCGAACCCUUUGUUCUCCUUCUUCCCCUAUGCUCAUCUCGGCGAUCUCAGGACCCAGUAGAGCAGGAGGUGGUGUGACCAGUGAGUUACCAUCAACUCCUCCCUCUGUCUCUGGAUCAAGACGAACGCCAUCUCCUUCCAUCGCCGGCGACUCUCCAGAGCCGGCCAUCUCCAACUCCAAUUAGUUAUGCAGGCUUAGUGGUCUUUUUUCGAAUGAAAGUUAAUCUCGGAUACUAUAAAAGUAACCGCAUCCACGUUUACAGGGUCUCCCCAUUAUUUCUGAAACCGUCCCGAUAUUAUGGCGAUGUCAAUGUCAAACUAAAAUCCAUAAUAAAAUAUUUACGCACAAUGACUCAACGUUUUACGCCACACGGUAUAUACUAUUUAUGCAACUUUUAUGCCGUUUCGGUUUUAUGCCAUAGCUUACAACAUCUUAUGCUACAUUUUUUUCCCUUCCGCCAUUACUUCCCAUGCAAGAUCCAUAAAUUACGCGCCCACGUAUCAUAGUAAUCACGUUUGCAUGUGGAAACUAUUCCCUUUAAUUCCGCGUCUUUCCCUUAUGUUUACCGCCUUGUCAUUCAAACAACCGCGUAACGGCGCCGUCUGUCCUGCAUGCCGCCUCUCAGCACUACGUUAAACACAGGCGCGCCUGUCCCAGCGGACCAUACCUCGGAACCGACAUGGGCUUCCUUUAAUAUCCGAAGCCCAGGGCUCCCGUUAUACCUGCUCUAUAUAUAUAUAUAUAUAUAUAUAUAUAUAUAUAUAUAUAUAUAUAUAUAUAUAUAUAUAUAUAUAUAUAUAUAUAUAUAUUAGGAGCCCUGGGCUUCCAAUAACUAGAGGAAGCCCAGGUCGGACGGUGCAAUCCGGUCGAGUCGGACCACAUCCGGACGUCUAUAAAACAGGACCCGGAGUGCUAGGGGUCAGUUUUUUACGCUCCACCCCGAUUCAUUAGCGACGCCGCGUGCGACGACGGCGGUUGCCCCAGAGCGUGCGCGACGGUGGACCCCCAGCCGGUGGCCGCAACUCCAUGACCUCGACGCGCGGUGGCGGAGGUUCCUCGAUCCGUAGUAGUGGCGGCGGCUCCCAGGUCGGUGGCGGCGGCUCCCCGAUCCAGAGGGCGAGCGACAGCGGGGCCCUUGUGCGGGCAAUCGGCGGCGUCCCCUAGGUCCCGAGGAGGCGGCACUUCUAAGGCCGACGAGCAAGCGACGUCCGUCGGCGUGCGAGUAGCGACGACGACGCAUGAGGCGCGAUCUUCGUGCGAGCGGCGUCACGGAAGGCCCGAGAUGCGCGCAGCGAUGAUCGCGCGUGGCAUCCUCCGAUCCGGCGCAGUUUUCUUUUCGAUUAUUGUGUUUUAUGCCUACCACAUGUAUUAUUUACGCCAAAAACUGUACGAUUUUAUGCUUAAACAUGGAGUUUGUAUAUCAGUUUACUGCAUGCACAUUGGAAAGGCAAUUCCUUGAUUUAUGUUGUUCGUAAUUUGCGCGCAUGCAAAGGAAACUCCCACGAUUUUUGCCAUAAUUUUUGGAUCUGUAUAAAAAUAGAAACCGCAUGCAUGCGGCUGCCAUAUUUUCGGAUCUGUCAUAAAAAUAGGAUAGUAAUAACAACCUACUAGAGCUAUCAACCUCAUACAUUGAUCUGGUAUUUACGCUUAUAAUUGAGGGAUUUUAUACUCAAAACUUAAGGUUUUUACGCUCCACCCGGGAAUGCGUCCACGAGUGAACAACAUGCCAGAUUUUUUACGCAGUAUGACGAAUUGCAUAAAUACCUACGCAGUGUGGCAUAUUUAGUAUGAGUAUAUAUCAUAAAAUGGUCAUUACGAGUCUAGUUGUAUGGCUGUUGUAGCGAUCCUAAAUUUAUGGAGGAAAUAAAGUAUUUAAAAUAAAAACCGCCACACAUAUCUUUCCUAAAUUUACGCGCAUGUAAAGGAACGUGUUUGACUCAUGCAUGCAUUUUACCAUAAUUUUUGGAUCUGUAUAACCGCAUGCAUGCGGCUGCCAUGUUUUUCGGAUCUGCCAUAAAAAUAGGAUCGUAAUAACAACCUACUAGAGCUAUCAACCUCUCACAUUGGCUCGGUAUUUACGCUUAUAAUUGAAGGAUUUUAUUCUCAAAGCUUAAGGUUGUUACGCUCCAACCCGGAGAUGCGUUCACCAGUGAACAACAUGCCAGAUUUUUUACGCAGUGUAACGAAUUGCAUAAAUAGCUACACCAUGUAGUAUAAUUUGUAUCAAUAUAUAUCAUAAAUUAGAUCUAAUGUGUUUAGCUGCAUGGCUGUUGGAGGGAUCCUAUAUUUAUGAAGGAAAUAAAACAUUAAAUACGAUUUUUUGUUUCUAUGCGUGCAAUUCAUUUCCUUUCAUUGCACAUUAUUUUCAUCAUAAAUUCGUGUGCAUGCAGCUGGUAAUAGAUUUUUACGCAGUAUACUGAAUUGCAUAAUUAUCUACACACGAUAGCAUAUUUAGUAGCAGUAUAUAUCAUAAAAUGGUUCUUACGAGUCUAGUUGCAUGGCUGUUGCAGCGAUCCUAAAUUUAUGGAGGAAACAAAGCAUUUAAAAAUAGAAACCGUCACACAUAUCUUUCCUAAAUUUAUGUGCAUGCAAGGGGACGUGUUUGACUCAUGCAUGCAUUCCUUUUUUGCGCGCAGAGACGUGGGCGCGGAUGGUGCAACCGACAGCCUGGUCCAGUCGGUGCGCUGGGUUAAACCAGGUUGCAGGGAUGAUCGGUCUGGCCUUCCGUUAACUAUUGGAAGCCCAGGGCUCCCGUUAUAACUACCCUCUAUAUAUAUAUAUAUAUAUAUAUAUAUAUAUAUAUAUAUAUAUAUAUAUAUAUAUAUAUAUAUUUGUAUUUAGUGGUGUUGCUCGCGAGCCUAAUGAGCUGGCUCGAGCUUCCUAACGAGCCGAGCUGAGCCAGAUGUUUAGCUCGUUAGUAUAACGAGCCGAGCUGGCUCGUUACAGUAACGAGCUAUAACGAGUCGAGUCAUAACGAGCCGAGCUGGCUCGAUAUCCACCCCUAGUUAAAGCCAUGUUUGGGAGUGUUUCACUUCAAGAAUUGCAGCUUCGAUUUUUCAACUUCAUCAUGAAACAUAUUCAACACAUUGGUAAAGUAGGGAUUAAAAUGUUUGACUUAGACAUAGACUCUAGCUUCUAUAAUACAUUGAUGAUUAGCAGGUGGAGAAAGUGACAUAAAUCGAUAGGUCAUGUAAUUGAUGACAUAGUGGACAAUUUUUGUGCAACUUCAUGAGAAGGUAUAAAAACAGUAUUUUUAAAGCACCAUUUAAGGAGCUUUAAAAAUUUCAUAAAACUUACCUAUAGUUUCAGUUUUUUAAACUAGAGUUCGUAGAGCUAUACCUGGUUGGAAAGAAGCUGAAAUAAACUUAAAAUUCUUAAAAUAGAGGUCUACCAAACAGAGCCUAAAAUGGUAAAAUAGAUUCCACUACACAUCAAUACUUUACUCGAUCUCAAAUAGACAAAUUUUGAAUUGUGCUAUUUAAAAUUGUGUACUUAAGUACUCUAUUACGCAGCCCUUUUUACGGUCUCACCCACAAAUCUCACAACACAACAGUUCCACGCCUAUUACCAACUGCUGCAUUAAGAUAAUUUUUAAACAGGUCUAUUUAACCACCAUCCCCAAGGCUUGCCCUGAUACUUUUUCAGGGCCACUCUCCAGGCAUCGCCAGAACGGUUUCUUGAUCAUUUGGCCGCUUCAGAAGCCCAGUCACGCUGUACUCAACUGCUCGGUCAUAUGAGUAACCAUGCAAGAACAGUACACUAGAAGCAUCCAAAUGCACAAGGGUACAUUUCAAAGGAAAAUGCAGAAUAGAUAGAUCAAGUGGUCAGCAACCAAUCCAUACCAUCACGGGGUGCAACCGAAACAAGACGAAGGGAUACGACAACAACUUAAGAUGAAGGUUCAGGCACACGACUUGCCGUGAAAUUUAGAGACAGCUUACAACCCCAUGCAGGACGGGAAGUUUGCCACAGAGAAAUCAACCAUGCGCACAAAGCAUUGCACGGGGUACACACAUGAAAUGACAACGGUUGUUCACGAUUCAGACAUAGCACGCAGCAGGCAGGGGAGGAUAACUUUGGUGAGCGCACCAGCACGGGCAUCAGUUGCCACCGAACAGGUAGCCCAGGGAAGAGCCACCGCCAGGAGCAGCGUGGACCUUGGUUGAAGGACGGUCCUGCAAUCAUUCAUAAACAACAAAACCAACAGUUAAGCAGGAUCAAGAAACAAGUUUUGGGUUCCAGGGAGCGAUUAGGUAAGUGAGCCCAACCCUUCCCCUGUUAUUUAUUUAUUAGUUUGCAACAUUGUUCCAUAUAUGAAUCUGUAGUUUUGAGGAAUCAUAAUUUGUGUCCUUGCAUUGCCCAAUCAGAUUCUGCAGCAUGACAGAACUAAAGGAAUUUUGGUUCAAUUUGGUCAAUAGUUUAUGGAAAGACAUGGUCUGCAUAUUUUCUUCAGGAUAUUUAAUUUUUCGGCACUAACAAUGUGUUGGCAUUUAGUGUUGAUGAUAAAAUGGUAUAUGGCUCAUGAUUGGUAGUCUAAAAGGUCAGCAGCCCAGCAACAAUCAAGACUCGGUACAAUUUAAAAAGCAAUAAACAUGACUGGAAGUCUUUCCAUCAACAUGAUUCUAUCGGGUUGUAAGAAUAAGUACAGACAUUACGUGAUAAUGCAGCACAAACUACCAUGAUGUUUUCUCAAAACAUGAUUAUACAUAAUAUAAGCACCCCACAAAAUAUGACGUCAUUUCUAAGCAUAUCAAUGGAUGAUGGCAACACAUAAUAUGUAAAAAGCCUAUGUGAAAUGAAAGAACAUAAAGUAGCAUACCGUAAGGAAGUUGCCAGUGUUCUGACCAUCAGCCCUGUGGUAGUUAUUGGUUUGGCUGGUAACCCCAGCAGCAACCUGCUUGGCCGCAUCAGUCUUUGCAGCAGAUGGUUUCUCAACAGGUGGAGCACUUGCAGCUGGUGCCACUGCUGGUUUGGGGGGCUCACCGCUUCCAAAGAGAUAACCCAGAGAACUUUGACCACCACCGGCACUACCACCACGGCUCAUCUUGAUUAUUGAAAAGAGAAACUGUACAAAGAUCUAAUCAGGUAUCAAGCAUUACUUCGACACAUUGUAUAAAGGUACAAGAGAGACAAUGCAAAUCAAUUUAAUUUCAAGUACCACAAAUAAUUUUUAAAAUACUAAAGUAUGUUUCGAUCUGCCACCAACACUUGGUAAGGAUAUAAUUCUCCAAGAACAAAGUAAAACAGAGAAGAUAUAGUUUGACAGGAUCAACUCUAUUAAACUUUAUUAGGUACUGUAACUACAAACAGAUGAAAACAUCAAAACAUAUCUCGAUCUGUCAUGGAAUCUUGGUAACGAUCUUAUUAAGGAUGUAACGAACCGAUCUUCCAGAUAUACUUUUACUCAGAUACUCAGAUAGAGUGAUAGACACUGAUUUCCUUCUAUGUUGCAUGUUUGUGCAGAAAACUGAUGCACCAACAAAUGUAAAACUAAACAGAUUGAUAGAACAAUCAAGGAAAAUAAAGCAUCUUCGGUUUAACUCUGCCAAGUAACAAAGUUCAAAAGAACAUCUGCCUAGUCAUAUAUGACAGGUCCUUGUACAAUUCUAUGAAACCGGGAAUGUGGAACCAUGUGGGGUUCCAUGGCCCGAUCGGGAAUGGGACCAUAUGGAACAUCGUAUGGAACCAUGGUUGGGACACAGCCCUCACUCGAGUAGGAUGUCGGAUAAACCAUCAUCCUGCACAAGCAAGGGGCAUGUACCUUCGCGGAAGCGGAGCACCACGAGGAUAUUGGAGGAGCAGAGGUCAGAGGACUGGCAAAGCACUAAGACAAAGGGAUCGCUAACCAUGUGCUCAUAUUACAUGAACAAACAGUUAAUCAUGUGCUCACGUUGCAUUGAAUUAUUUUUUUCUAUACAGGAAUAUUUACUAGUUGGCUGUUUCAGGAACCUCGUUCCACAUUAUAGUUCCAAAAUUUUACGGUUGACGUUCCGGUUAUCGAAUAAACCAUACAAGGAGCCAGUGAUACGCAACCAGUGAUACGAGGUUACCUAAACAAUUAGGUCUAACCUAGACACAACAUGAAACGAAAAAAAUCGACGGAUCAACCACCGAAGACCGCAAUGCACAACAGAUCUUCAUCUUUCUCUGGAGAAUCUAAGCCGCAACAUACUCCGAAGAAUCUAAUGCGUACAGCCGCAACAGCCGCAUUCACGGUCCCUAGGGAGGGGAUACCCUGCGGAUCGACGACGGUGAGUCACAAAAUUCAACAGAUCCGCGUCUACCGACAAGCAGCGGACGCUCGGAAGCCAGAAAUGGACGCGGAUCUCAACCUUGCGGCUAGAUUCGGGCGCUUACGGCGCAAAUCAGGACAUGGAAGCGAGACAACGAACCGAGGGUUGAGCGGGCAAAGGAAAGGGCCUUACCGAGAGGCAGCGGCGAGGAGAUGGAGGGCGACCGGCGGCGGGGUCGGUGGGACUGCGGCUGCUCCGGAUCUCUCUCGCUUCUGCGCUCGAAAAUGGAGAACUGCGGCUGGUUUUGUAUUGAAGAGGGAUCGGGUGGUCCCAGUACCCGGGGACGGAUGGGCCCAACACCUCCAGCAGGCCGUCCGAUCUCGCCACUGACGGUGGAGAUGGCCCCGGGCGCCCGCGUCAAGGAGACGCUCGAUACUCGGAAACGCAUAAUGGUUUUCCUUUUUCGUUUUCGAAAAAAACACGCAUCGGCAUGGCAUAAUGCUAUUCAGUUACUCAGUAGUUGCUGCCUCGGGUUGCAAACAGCAAACGUUACGUUUGCUACUCAUGAAUAUUUUCCAACAAAUAUCUGUCAUCGCAUAAUCUUUAUUUAUUUCUUCAAAUAUUCCCAUGAAUCUUCUAGCAAUAUGAAAUUUAACAUUCACAUUGAAUACCACCCUAGUGUAAGAUGUGAUUGCUUUCAAAAUGCUGAGAUGCUUUGAACUAAAUUACGCAGAUCAGAAACAUAGAAGCUAUAAACACUAGAAAAUUGCCAGUCAUAAAAAUAACAUUAAGGCAAGCGUUUGGUACGCAUUCAUUAGUAUGCAGCAUAUGGUUAUCCACAGCGGAUCGUAUAAAAUUGUAGAUUUGCACUAUAAUCGAUACUGUUUACAAAAUGAAGUUUAAAAUAGAUGAUAGGACAGAAGAUAGAAUAGGAUAACUGUGGAGACAGCCUAGAGAUCAUAGUUCUGUGCUGGAAAGGGGCAGGGGUCAAGUCGGGUAACACAGACGAAGAUACAAACCACGACAAAAUGCCCUUGUUUCCCCUGCAGUCGCACAUACCAGUUACAAAGUAAGGAUACACAGCUACCCCUCAGCUAGCCGUCCUAGUGUACAUGGAAGGGGGUGAAACAACUAAAACGUCCUAGAAUACUUCUUGAUUUCGAACAGGAUGGAGGAUAUGGAGACAAGGUCCUUGUUGAGAGCAGAGCCGCCGUUGAUUCUCUUGACACACUCGGAGAGCCUGGUGUAGUAUAGCAGGAGCUGUGCGAGCGUCGCUCUCAAGAUCUCCAUCCCGCAAAGAAAGUUGCUGAAAGAUGUGAUCACAUCAUAGUGCAUCAGCUCGAUCGCGGCCUUAUACCGGCUCGCGAAAUCCUUUACCAGUGGCUCAACUUCGGCAAUGCUGGCUUUCUCGGAAUUUGCAGCCGUCUCAUCCGCUGAUAAAGGUCAAGUAUGAAAUGUGAUUCAAAAGUAAGAAAGAAAAAGGGCAUACAGUUGCCAUGAGAUCUCAACUUACCUGGACGAGAUUUGACGAAUCUGAUCAAACUACUGAACUGCUCCAGGAGCAACUCUUCCUGCAGAAUGAUACAUGCAAUGCAUCAAGAAACUUCAGUAGAGUUUUUUAGAAAACGCUAGUGUAUUAAUGAACGUCACAGAAGUCCUUGAACACCUUGAACAGAAACUAAGGUGCUGUUUGGUUUACGAAAUGUAACGUAAAUGGUAAUGGUAAUGGUUUGCACUCGAUUACUGGCGGUAACAAGUUUGAAUAGUCCGGUUACUCCGGUAUCAAUUUUUAGUAUGUUAUCUGAUUACAGUUAGAGUAAAACAAAAAUGAUUUAACGUUAUCAGUUAUCCAUUACGUUACAAAUAUGUGAACCAAACGACACCUAACUUCAGCCACCACUAAUGUCAUUAACAUUAAACACAUGAUUUUUUUUUAUGUGUUGCCACAAGGUAAUAGCAGCCAAAGGGCUUGUCCUACUUUACUAUGUAUAAAUUUGCCAUACUUCAUUCUGUCACAGCCUUGGCAGUCAUAUAAGGAACUAAGAGCAUCUCCAAUACACUAGUUAAAUAGUUUGUCAAGCUAAAUUUUAGCUACUUAAUAACAAAAUAGCUCUCCAACAGACUAGCCAUUUAACUUGUCAAAUUAUUCGGCUCUCUAAAUUGACUCCUUUACUAGCUAAAUUUGGCUAGCAAUUCUCGUUAGCCAAGCUAAUUUGCAUGUUGGAGAAUCUGUUGGAAUGAAAUGUUAUAUAUAGAGUUUAAUCUUUAUGAAGAGAUAAAUACUGAGUUAAAUAGAGAGUCAAAACUAAAUAAUCUCUUGGAGAUACUCUAAGACCCCAACUAGACUUAUGUAUUUAUUUGUUUCAGCUAUAAAAGUUCCACCAGCAAGCUAAAUAAAUGCAGCGAGUGGUAUUUUACCAUACAGAUGUUCAAGCUUUAAAACUGCAUACCACAUAUAUUGCGAUGUUGCUCUUAAGAACCUCCUCGAAGUGUUGUUGUGCUUUCCCACCCUCAGUUCCAGCUUCCUUUAUGUUGAUGAUAAGAUUAAAUUUGAAUAAGGCAAAUGUAGUAUUACUUUAUAAAUUCUUGACGUGCAGGAACAAGUUACUAUAACAGAAAAGGUUGCCAUUUAAGGUCAGCUAAAGAAUUCCUACCUUCAAAAUGGAAAUUGUUAAAUCAUAGUUGUUUAUCAGAAAGACAGUUUGUAGCUUCGGUUUGGAAAACAUCUUGGCCAACUUAACAAGCAAAUCCUCAAUGGCCAUCCGCAAUCGCUCCAAAUUUAGAUCAAGCUGCACAUAGAAGCCAAAUAUUUUGAUUUCCAUGAGGUACAGAAAGUGUUUACUCAUGCCAUGCAAUAUGGUUGAAAGAAAUUCAGAAAACAGUAAACAAUUCUGUUCAUGUGAUCAACUAACCUGACCGUCCCCAUGCUCAACAUUGAGAUGAACUAGAGAAGCUGUAAAUUCAGCAUAUCUCCUUGUAACAUAGUGUGGAUGGACAUCAUCCUCCCAAAGUGUUUUAAUAUUUGCAUUUCGCAAGCUGUUCAAAUGCAAGUCGAACACCAUCUUGAAGCGAGGCCAGAGUGACAUAUUAACCUGUCCAAUGUCCAUAAAUUGAGCUCAGUCAUUCAAAUAAUGGAAAUGGAGCAGAUGAAAGACUCACGUAAGGAGCUAAGAAUGGAUUCAGAACUGACUUUGUCUAGGUAAGAGUCCAAACAUGGGAUUCGCCGCUUAAACAUGAUGAGCUGCACAAAAUAAGCAUUCCAUUGAGAUUUAGCAAAAAGUAUAGACCAGCUGUUUGCGCUUUGCACCAGUUUAUGCACUAGAUGAAAGCAAACAAAUUUCCAAUUAAACCUAGUUAAAUAUAAUGCUUAAACAAGAAACGCCGAAAAAAUGGGUAGAUUUUCACCAUUUUUCAGGGUAAACCCCACAUGGGACUGUAAGACAAUCCAAUACAUACAGCUUUGUAAACUACUGUCUCAAACUAGAUGAAAACUAUUAGCUUCCAACCAACAAACAGAGAUAUUGGAUGGAUCAAUAAAUAUCUACCAAACAUUGAUCACAACUCGCAGCCACUGUGAGAACAGAAAACAAAAUUGUCCUCAGCGUUAUUCUUAAUAUAUAAAUGUCGAAAUCACAAGGUGCUCAAUCAUAUUAUAAGGUAAAUCAAAGUUCACCUGGUGCUGAUGAAUUAUUCUUCCAAUUAAACCUAGUUAAAUAUAAUGCUUAAACAAGAAACGCCGAAAAAAUGGGUAGAUUUUCACCAUUUUUCAGGGUAAACCCCACAUGGGACUGUAAGACAAUCCAAUACAUACAGCUUUGUAAACUACUGUCUCAAACUAGAUGAAAACUAUUAGCUUCCAACCACCAAACAGAGAUAUUGGAUGGAUCAAUAAAUAUCUACCAAACAUUGAUCACAACUCACAGCCACUGUGAGAACAGAAAACAAAAUUGUCCUCAGCGUUAUUCUUAAUAUAUAAAUGUCGAAAUCACAAGGUGCUCCAUCAUAUUAUAAGGUAAAUCAAAGUUCACCUGGUGCUGAUGAAUUAUUCUGAUCAUAAGCAUUAUGCCAAUUGCAUCAUAACAGUUCAGGAGUACAGUAUUGAAAUGUUCAUCAACAACUUGAAUCGGUCCUGGGGCCAAAACAAUCACAACUUAAAUUAAAAAUUGUCUUCAGCCAGCAUAACAAUAUCACACAUAUGAGAUUGUUACAUUAAUGCAAUUGGUAUGUUUGGAAAAAAUGGUGCAUGAAAGCAAUAUUGGGCAAGCAAUAUAAAAGGCAACAUGCUAUCAGUUAAAUAUGGGUGUACUCUGCACAAGAUAAAAAUAAAAGAGAAACAAACUUGAUGGAAGCAGGAUGAAGUACCUGCAAAUAUAUCAUGGAAUAUGGAUUCUUCGCCAAAGAAAUCAUCAGUAAACAGGUAUCUGCAGUUUAUUUAUAUAUGUCACACUGGUACUUUAUCUUCAUGAAUAAAAAAUAUGGACAAAAAGGCAACCCAAAGCUUACUCUGAAGUGGCAGUAUCAAUAAGAAGUUUCUGCAAGCUUCUGAAAAGAACUUCAUACGAGUAUUUCUGUGACUUCGCUUCAGCUAUAUGAGGUAUCAAUGCUGGCUGGUCGAUUUCCUGAUAUAAUAAAGAAACCAAAAAACAGAAGUUAAACUACUAUGCUUUGUACUUGGUAGUUUGAGCAAAACAAUCCUUCAGCAACAAUAUAGAUUUCAAAGAUAAAUAAAUGCAAGACCAGAUUGCAAUAAACCAACAAAAACUGCUUUAUCUCAAACCCUUAAACACUUCAUUUAUUAUAUUUGUUACCGCUUCAUGGGUGCAACUACAGAUAAAGGGAAGCUGAGAUCUCCAGACUUGAAAAUAAUCAAACAGUUCAGACUGAGCAUAAUUGGCUAUGCUACGAUGGCAAAUUUUGCCAACAAAUUAAACAUCUUAUUAACAGUGUACGAACUUCUGGAUAUAUGCACCCUGUAGCACAAUAACUGAGUUAAGCUCCCACUACCAUGAUUGAGCCAUUUAUGAACGUCAAAAUUCUAAACAUUAUGUCAUCAUCUGAAUGAAAGUGCUAAUAACUUCACCUUCAAAAUGUUUAUUCGUUCACCCAGAGCAAACACUGAAGGACGGGUUUUCAGAGGUUCUUUUCCAAUGGAGAAAAUGAAGCCUGUGCUUCUGGUUUCAACACCAAGCAAAUCAGUGGAAGUUGCUAUGUCCAUCUGUAGUUUCUCCAAUGCUUGUAUGUAAGCCCGGAAAUGUGCACUUAGCACCUGAAAAUUGUUAGGAAUAGCAAAAAAAAAAUCUAAAAACCGUCAAACAACUAAUCUAAAAUACGUCAAACAACUAAAGUUGGUCACACACACAUAUCUAGGUCUUUUAUUGUUAUCUUUUCUGCUACAUAGUAGCAGAUUUACAAAGUGAAAUUAGAACAACAUUGACAUAUAUGAAGGUUAGUGCCAGAAAACUAAACAAAUGAUUAGUACAGGAGCGAAAGAAGAAAAGGCAGGCAGGAACAGAUGCCAAUGCCCCAUCCAUGUCCCAAAUUGACUAAAGUGGUAUAUCCUGAACCCCCAAGUGAAGCAGUCUAUUCAAACACAGAGCAACUCCUAACUCCUCUUACUUUGACCAACAUAAUCUUCAACCCUUAGGCAUGAAUGAUCAGAGGCGAAAAAGAAAAGAGAGGACAUUAGGGAAAAGCUUUAACAACACCCCCCCCCCCUCCUCAGUUAUGCAACACCGACUCUCCAAGCCCAAAUAGGAGGCACAGCAGGCUGAUCCGUGAGGAUUGAUUGAACCUUCUAUCUCACUUCACAAAACCACCACACAACCAAAGGGAUAACAGCUAGCAGGGUAGAGUGGUACUGGAGGCAGGUGCCCAGUGAUGGAUGGUGGCUUGCCUUCAAUAGCGAUUGAUGAAAUCACGAGUCACGGCACCAAAAAAGUGCAACAUACUGGAGUUAAUCCGCAGUCUGGUGCUUCUCUCGCUCAGCCUCGGCAGAUAGCCCACGUGGUGGAUGGUGGCCAGCGAUUGAUGAAAUCAUGAUCACGGCACCAAACAAGUGCAACAUACUGAAGUCAACCCACAGUCUGGUGCUUCUCAUGCUCAAGCCUCAGCAAGUAGCCCACGUGGAUGAAGUGAUGAACUAAGCCCUAUGUUUAUCCCAAAUUUGAUUCUAUAUUUUCUUAAUUAACGCAAGGAUCAGCACAGUUGUGUGCUUGUGUAUAUCUACAAAUCAUGGUUAAGCAGAAAGUAAGACACAGACACUUUAUUCUUUUUACCACAAGAUUGAAGGUACAUUUUGUGUGUGCAAGGGUAAAAUAAUUUGGUCCACCAAAAUGCAAGUGUUUUGUUAGCAGGAUGCCCAGAUGUGGUUUACAUUGCCAAGUUCGGGACUGUAAUCUUCAUGAGUGGUUCCACUAUUGUGAUAUCCUGGCCCUAAUGGAUGGUGAUAUCCUGGUCCAAGGCUUAAUAGAAUUAAUAGAGUACUCAUAUCAACAAAAUGCAUCUUCUUCUUCGGAAGUCUAUCUCGAAAGAACCUCCAAAGUCAAGUGUGCUUGCCUUGGAGCAAUUUGGGAUGGGUGACCGACCGGGAAGUUUUCUCAGGUGCACAUGAGUGAGGAAAAAGUGCUCACAAAAGACUCGUGUUGGUCUAUGGGGAUGGUCUAUGGUCCUAGAGGGCUGCGAGGAGUAAGUACUGUGGUCCGGGAGUGAACGGAGUGUUACAAAUGGUAUCAGAGCCGACACUCGCGGUUUCACCGACGUGUGUGAGCUAGGGGUUCGGGUAUAUGGAGCAUGGCGUAUGUGGGCCCGGAGUGGUCACAUGGCAUGGCAUAUGACGACACUAGACAUAAAGACGUGGCCAAUAGGGGAGGUUCCUGGAUUAGGGUUGACCGACGAGGACGUCGGUCUUCUAAGGGAGGUGGAUUGUGAUAUCCUGGACCUAAUGGAUGGUGAUAUCAUGGCCCAAAACUUAAUAGAAUUAAUAGAGUACAACAAGGUGCAUCUUCUUUUUCGGAAGACUAUCUCGAAAGAAUCUCCAAGUUAAGUGUGCUUGGCUUAGAGCAAUUUGGGAUGGGUGACCGACCGGAAAGUUUUCUCGGGUGCGCAUGAGUGAAAAUAAAGUGUUCACAAAAGACUCGUGUUGGUCUGUGGAGAUGGUCUAUGGUCCUAGAGUGCUGCUACCGGUCCGAGAGUGGACGGGGUAUUACUAUUGUGAGUACUUUCUACUUUUGGAACUGCAAGCAUUAUAAGAAACCUCCACGCUACCUACUACCAGUGUGAUAAGAAGCCUGCUCAAAAGUCAACACCCGCACAAUUGGACAAGGGGGUUACAUUGACUGUGUGAUUCUUAUUCAGAUCAGACUGCUAGUUUUAAUGUGACAUUCACCUUAUUCAUGGUGUCAAUAUACGCCGUACGAACUUCUGCAUAUAUCUCCUUAGCAUGUUCCUUAAGGAAAUUUAUCGUGUACCUGCAUUUGGAGCAUUAUAGCCAAAAUUAGAAAUUACACAAAAGAACAGAAUAACACAGAUACACCACAUGGCAAUGAAAAGAGUAACAAUUUAACCACAUGGGAUUAUGCAACAUUCGAUUUUUUUACCGUGAAAAAAAAAAUCAUAUUCACUCAGUAAAGGUAUACUAGUAGCUAGCUAUUAAAAAUGGGCAGGCAAAUAAACUGGUGGAAUGAUUUGUGGAUGGUUCACUAAUCCAACUGGCGGUUCAUAAAGUAGACCUGGCCAGUUGGUUGAUAUAAAUUAGCAUUUAAAGGUAUACUAGUUGAUGCAGCCCCUCUACAUUUGCGGGGGAAGGCUUACAUAUCCCUUCCCCUGAUCCCACUCAUGUGGGAGCCUUCGGCACUAUGUCUGUCCUUUCUUUUAAUAUGUGAUUCAUACUUAAUUGACACCACUUAUAGGUUUUUAUUCUCCAUAGACAACAAGACCUAAACUUUAACAAGCUACCUGUCCAAUUUUUGUAAGACACUAUUGGUGUUAGCCUAUGUAUGGUUGCCAAAAAUAGUAAUAUUACUUUUCCAUAGGUAUAUGUAGACAUACUAUCACCAGUCUAAUGCGCAUUUGAUGCAACCUUCCAUACCAUCAUUGUUCGUGAUAUCCCUACAGAUACCUUGAGGUGUUUCUAAGACCUUUGUGCAUGAGCCUACAUGUAUGAGUGGUUUCCAUAAAGUUGAUAAUUUAGUAGGAUUUUAUACCGCAAACAGAUGAAAUGACCUAUAUGUUUACACAGUUGAAAAUUGUGUAGUACUAGUACAGAUGAAUCUCCACUGCUUCUAAACCAACUGAUUCUGUGGUCCAUUUACGGGCCUGGGCUGAUUCUUCUUCUGUCUGUGUUGGACCUGGGCAAAUUCUUCAUCACUGUUCAUGUCUCUUCCAAGCAGUCUCAGCCACCACCUCUCCUCCUUUCCUCCGCUCAUCUCAGACACUUCUCCUUCCCUACCAAUACCCUGACAAGAUUUAUGCUGUUGCCCAUUGCCCAAGCCUUCUUCAUAAUUACGAGGAUGCGCCGGUUCAGAAGCAGCAGUGAUAUAAAUUAUAAUGUCGAAACCAUUAUUUAGUUCACAGAACUUUGCAUAGAUACAUGUUGAGCGAGACAGGUACUGAAAUUAGAAACAACAGUACAAGGCUACAAGCCAAAAUAGGUAUUUGACAAGAAAAAAUGGUGUACUUGUAUUUAAGAAGAACACUCUGCUGUAGAAUCUGAAUAUUAGUCUUUGGUUUUCUCAAGGCAUAGAACUUUUGGAUGACAAACUCGAAAAUCUGCAUGAAAAGUUGGGAUGCAUCAAUAACUCUGUGCUGUAGUCUUAUAUUAUCGGAUUGGCUACAGAUAAAAAAACAGUGAGCAAAAGAUUCAAUCAUAAGUUACAUCAUAACUACCAUGUAUUAAUGGAAUUUAACAGAAAUAACAAUAAACCAUGCUUUUCAUGAUAGUGUAUUAACUAGUAUGGUUAUUAUGGCUUAUAAGGGGGUGUUUGAAUGCACUAGAACUAAUAGUUAGUUGGCUAAAAUUGGUGGUGGAAUUAGCUAGCUAACAAAUAGCUACCUAACUAUUAAAUAAUUUACCAAAAAUAGCUAAUAGUUGAACUAUUAGCUAGGGUGUUUGGAUGUUUCAACUAAUUUUAGCCACUAACUAUUAGUUUUAGUGCAUUCAAACACCCCCUAAGUAGCAUUCUCUGCUAGUAAUCCAUUUCGUUGCAAAUUGCUGCUCACACUUCACCAGGUACAAAUAAAAAUUCAAAGAAUAACACAGGACCUCUCAUCAGAAAGGUUUGAUACUUGAUAGCUCAUUAUCACUCCAGAUCAUAGCAUCUUACCCCAACUAAUUGUCCAUAAUCAUUUGCAUACAACAAACGUAAGUUCCUCAUACUGCAAAAAGAUUGCAAGUUGGAACUUGUACCUAUGUGCCACUGGCACUGGCCCUAGGCUCCAACUUCAGUGAUGUGUUACCCAAUUCAUAUACGUGGUGCUACUAAGUUUGUUCCCUUUUCAAUAUGACUUAAUAUCCCAUUACAUACAUAUGGUAAAUUUACCAUAUGAUCUGUAAGUUCACAACCAUCGUGCGUCAAGACAGGCAAGAUGCAUUAGCUGAUUAGCUCUGAUAGUCGCAUCAUGCUGAUAAAGCACAGACAUGGGAACCGCAGAAGGAAAACAAACAGAGUGGGUAAUUGGCACCAGAAGCUAGGAACUAACAAUUGUUUUUCAAACCUUUGAGACGGCUUUCUGUCGUAGUCUCUCAACCUCAGGUUGAACAUCUUUUAGAGCCUUGGAUGAUUUAACCAUGGGGUCAGCAUCGAUGAAUUUGAUUUUUUUGCUUAGAGUCUCAAGUGUUUUCAUGUAUUCAUCAUUGACCUGCAUCGUUGUUGAAUAGAAUAUUUUCGUAAGUCUAUUAAAGAAAAGUUCAUGAACACCAACUGCAGAAGAAGCUAUGCAGGUAGAUCACACGAUAAAUCAUGUGGCUUGUUUUCUUUUCUCUUAACGCAAUCCAUGUGACUUGUGAUAUGUCAAAACUGACAAAGUCUUGUAUAUAGGUAAAGAAAAAGAAUGAGAGAUUCUUUUCGAGAAAAAAAAUGAGAGAUUAAGUGAACUAAUAAAUGCAACAGCAAAAAUAAUGUCACCAAAACAGAUUUAGUAUCAUCUAAGAUACGAUAUACUUGACAAUCAUCUAAGAUAGAUAUACUUGACUACUAAAAUAGUACUUUAUAGGUUCCUUAGGAAGCAAAGGGACAAAAUAAAUAAUCCCAGCAUUUCACACACUAACCCAAAUAGCAGAAACCUGUGUCAUUCGUUUCAAACUUUCAAAUGAAAGCUAUAGUAAUUCCAGAAAGAACUUUGAUCAUAGAAUAGAAUAAAAUAAACCAAAUCAACAAUGUACAAAUAAAUACAAAAAACGGUAAUGUCAAAAGCUGGCAUAAUUAAAGAAUGUAAGUAAUAACCUCUCCAUCAACAAUUAUGUCAAUCAUUCUUGGAGGUACUAUUAUAUCCUCGACAAAUUUUGACAAUUUAGAUUCUGCAGCCUGUAAUUUGUUUUCCAAAAGAGAACCAACAUAAGAAUCAUAAAGAUAACUGAACAUGGGGAAAGAAAAAAUAUUAUGCAUAAAAGCUAUGAAUACUGGGACCAUUUCCAAAACGAACUAUUCCUGAGUCCUGACGAAAAAGAGGAUAGUGCCUCCACUUGAAAUAUCUCAAAGGGAAUUACUGAUCCAUAUAAUUUUAAGACAUCCCAUUUCUGAAUUAUAAUAAGUGUGAGCCAAAAAGCAAAAUGGUGUUAUACAUGAUAGUAGCACUUGUACUUGUGCAUCCAUUGGUAAAAAUAACACCGAAUAAGAAACAUCAUCUGAUCUAAUAUUUUCCUAACCAUGUAUUUUCGUAGUUGCGUGCACAGAAAUCAGACAAGAACACCAGCUAUGGUAAGAAAUGUAAACCAUAAAACAUGGGAGAUGAACAACAUCAUGAUUCAUGUCCAGCAUAGAGCAGCCUUAAUAAAAAAACAAUGGCACAUCAAACCUAUGAAUGAAUAUAUAUACAAUAUAUGCAGUGAACCAGACCUUACGAUUUUUCAGCUUUAAUCCCAUGUCCAUAGAUUUCUCCUGAAGGACCUUUAUCUCUGAACUUAUGGAACCAAUUUCUGUCUACCACAGAAGUUAAAACAUUGAAAUAUGACUUAGUAAAGAAAGAAGAGCCAGUUUUUUAAAAAAUCUAAACGUGCAGAAAUACAUAGAAUCGGUAAAGCCUGAAUACUCUAGAAUUAAAAGGGGUUUUGCCAUUACAUUUAAAUCAAAUUAUCAUUCCUGAAUCAUUAAUAAGUCGAAAAAAGGUGUCAUCCAGAGCACAUCACUGAAUAUGAUAAGUGGAUAACAUAAAUUGAAAUUACAAUCCUUGCAUAACGCAUGGAAUGCAGCAGAGAGAAUGCAGAACUUGGUGUGCAUAGCUGCAUCUGCAGUUCUCUAUUAUAGCUACAAAUUGACAUGUUAAAUGUAAAGUGGCAUACACUAGGUAGAUUUUCGUGUAACUAAUAAUCAAUGUUAAGAAAAAAUAACUGAACUGCUAACAACAAAAAAUGCACAUCCCAAAUUUGACAACAGGUAGCUACUCGCUUGGCUAUCCAGCAUGUACAGGAAUGUCUCAUAUAAUAUUAAAACAAAAAACGGGGGUGUAUAAUUACCUGGAAUCCAGUCAGAACUGUUUCCAUUUGUAACAAAAUAUUGUCACAAUCACAAAUUUGAUCAUGCAGAGAAACUAGAUUUUCACUUUCCUUAAUGUAAUCCUACAAACAAAAGGAAGACAGGACUUAAUGCCAAGACAAGUAACCCACUAGUGAUUUCUUUUUCAGCAACGCUAAAGAACCUCAACAGUCCCAAGUCCAUGAUCUACACCUUGUCACCUUCACUACUCUUGAGCAAUUGUUUGGUGACAGCAUAAAAUUUUAAUUAAGAGAAUGACAAUAUCAGUUCAACAUAGAAUUAUUCAAUAAAUCAGGUUGAUAUUCUAUCGACAUUUGAUUUCCCAGAGCAUAAUUGGCAUUAACUAUUUAACAAGGACGAUAUAGCAAUGCCUAAAGCAAUCACCUGGAUAGAAUCCAGCUCGAUUUGGCGUAUGUUAUUCUCGACGCCUUUUGUGUACUCGCGCAGUUUGAUGCCACUGGCUAGAAUGUUUGCGACUUCCUGUAUAUGCCAAGAAUGAAAACGAGAGUGAUCAUCAAGCCAGAGGCAAGGGAACAAUGUUUCAUACAGUGUGCCGACGCCAAACAUUGCGGCAAGCUCAAAAGGGCAGCAAUGCAAGCCACUUACUUAAAGGCCUCAGUAAGGUGUAAUCUGACCAUCUAGUACUAUACAAAUAUCAUAUAUUAUAAGCUGGAGUAAAACGCGACACCUGGUCAUUCUUGCAGUUGUCAAGCUCCUGCUGCAGCCCCUCCAGGGACUCGUCGUCACUGGCAACGAUGAAGCAGCGCACACUUUAGAAUUGUAGUGGUAGAACGAUAGAGACAGCAGGCAGCACACUACACGAUCCGAGAAAGAAGAAUUUGAGAUCGUGGUACCUGGUGACUUCCUCAUCGAGGGCGAGGUCGCCUACGAAGACCCCGAGAUCGAACCUGUCCUUGAGCCCGUCGAGGGUCUCUGCAGCAGGGACGACCGCCAUCUCGGGUCAGAAUCGCCGGGGCGGCCGGCGGACAGCGUCGGCCGGCUGGCUGGCUAGCUCCGAUCUAGAUCUCCCACCGUUGGCGUUGAGGACUGGGAUCGGAUCGGACGGGUCCCCGGGAAAUGGAGGAGACCCGGACCAGCUGUCGUCGGACGUCGGGUGGGUUGGAAUUGGAACUUUGAGCCUGUAGUCUAUGCUCGUAUCUAACAGCAGACCACACGGCCCAGUUAGUUCUUUCGACCCAUAUGAUUGUAUGCUUUUCGCCUGGUUAACAUAUUUUGCCAUUUCAGACCAGGUUCUUUGCUUUUUGUCUUGACUGAAUUUAAUUGUUUUUGUCUUUCUUCUUGAUUAUUAUGCCUUACUUUAAUUUAUAUAUUGAAUUUUAAGUAUAUUUUCCAAAUAUAGUUUAGACACAGUUCUCACGUACCUAUAAACAAACUCACUCGUAUUCUAAGCUACUCUUCUAAGGUAUUUUUAGUAGUAUUACUUAUCUCAUCUUCUAUUUCAAAUCCAACUUUAUAAACAAUACGGUUUGUCAUUGUUUGUAUUUGUAUGACUAUAUACGGUAUUCUAGCCACAGCCUAACAGCAACUCCAAGAGACUAGCUAAAUCAUUUUGUAAAAGUAAAUUUGGCUAUUAUUAGAAGGAAAAAAUAUUUUCACUAUACUUUGUAAAUGGCCCUUUCAAAUUUAAUAACUCUCUAUCCCUAUAUAUUUGUUCUUUAUUUUUGGAUAGCCUGAUUUAGUAUGUGUUUGGUUUGAUGUCAAAGUAGUAUGAGGCGGGGGCGGCAUCGUCCACUCGAUAUUUUGGAAAACACGCCGCCACCAAAAAUUGCUCUUGUGUUCACCUUAUUUCCGUGUGACUCUCAUCCAAACAUCAUAAAAAUGUAGUUGUCUCCUUCCUUCCCUCAUCUACAUCCAACCAAACACACUUUUACUUUUCAUACAGAGUUCUGAAUUUAUCGAGCAUGUUGAACUAAUCUACUCUUUUUAAAAAACAUUUAGAGAAUAACUAAAUUAAUCAAUUUAGCUAUUUUUUUGCUAAUCGCCUAAAAAGUCUAAUCCGACACAUCUCAAAGUAAUGGGAACCUCGAGGUGAACAGGCAUGUCGCCUUGUGUCAUUGAAUCCUAGUGUUAUUUUUCCUCGCCGAUUACAAUUAUAGGACGCGAACAUGAGACAGAGGGCAUGUUUGUAAGUUUUUUUUUUUUUGAGAAUCUAGAUUCCUCGAGAAUAUGGAUAAGACAGAGGCCACAUUUGGUUCAUUUUUUCGAACAAGUUUUCCUGAGAAUCUGGAUUCCCGAAGAAUAUGGUUAUGCGGAGAAUCUGGAUAUCAUGAGGCUUAUAUGCGGAGGAAGAUGAAAACAUCCACAGGAUUUAGGAUUUAGAAAGUGAAGAAACUUAGACUCGUCGGUUUCUAGAUCCUGAACCCUUUGCACCGCUUUAUCUUCCUCCGCAUGUAAUCCCCACGAUAUUUAGAUUAUUUCCACAACCAGAUUCUCAGAAAAGCUGGUAAAAAUAUUGAACCACGCAUACCCAUAUGUUCUAGGCUUCUAGCAUGAUCAGUUUAUAUUUUUCGCAGACAUACACUUUGGAUAUACCGUAUGUAGAAUUACUUGUUUUCACUCAUACAGAGCAAACCUACAUGAUCUUAAAAUUCUCUAGAAGCCUGGCAUAUAGCUCUUCUAGUUUUCUAACAAAUGGUAUUAACAUUAUUCAAGAGGUAUUUCAUAUUAUCAAUUGGUAUCAUUCAAUUUAAUACAUGUCAAAGUUUAAAAUAUAGAUGACUUGCUCCUAAAUAUCACCUAUGAGUAAUGCUCACACUCAUGUGAUAUUAUCCUAUAAGUUGUAUCCUGAAAUUAAAAGUUCCAAGUACAUGUCUCAUACAAGUAUUCAAAACUUGUAUGCACACUUUUAGAGAAAAGUCACUCUGUAAGUUAGUAUCUUUGAGACUAACACUGGGGAGAUGCGCAUCCAGUGAUACGAGGUUACCUAAACAAUUAGGUCUAACCUAGACACAACAUGAAACGAAAAAAAUCGACGGAUCAACCACCGAAGACCGCAAUGCACAACAGAUCUUCAUCUUUCUCUGGAGAAUCUAAGCCGCAACAUACUCCGAAGAAUCUAAUGCGUACAGCCGCAACAGACGCAUUCACGGUCCCUAGGGAGGGGAUACCCUGCGGAUCGACGACGGUGAGUCACAAAAUUCAACAGAUCCGCGUCUACCGACAAGCAGCGGACGCUCGGAAGCCAGAAAUGGACGCGGAUCUCAACCUUGCGGCUAGAUUCGGGCGCUUACGGCGCAAAUCAGGACAUGGAAGCGAGACAACGAACCGAGGGUUGAGCGGGCAAAGGAAAGGGCCUUACCGAGAGGCAGCGGCGAGGAGAUGGAGGGCGACCGGCGGCGAGGUCGGUGGGACUGCGGCUGCUCCGGAUCUCUCUCGCUUCUGCGCUCGAAAAUGGAGAACUGCGGCUGGUUUUGUAUUGAAGAGGGAUCGGUGGUCCCAGUACCCGGGGACGGAUGGGCCCAACACCUCCAGCAGGCCGUCCGAUCUCGCCACUGACGGUGGAGAUGGCCCCGGGCGCCCGCGUCAAGGAGACGCUCGAUACUCGGAAACGCAUAAUGGUUUUCCUUUUUCGUUUUCGAAAAAAAUUGUUACCGCUUCAUGGGUGCAACAACAGAUACAAAGAAGCUGAGAUCUCCAGACAUGAAAAUAAUCAAACAGUUCAGACUGAGCAUAUUGGCUAUGCUACGAUGGCAAAUUUUGUCUACAAAUUAAACAUCUUAUUAACAGUGUAAGAACUUCUGGAUAUAUGCACCCUGUAGCACAAUAACUGAGUUAAGCUCCCACUACCAUGAUUGAGCCAUUUAUGAACUUCAAAAUUCUAAACAUUAUGGCUCUGUUUGGUUCCUUUAGUCACUAGAUUAAAUUUUAAUGACUAAAGUUUAGUCGCUAAAGUACUCUGUUUGGUUCCAGUGACUAAACCGGACUAAUGAGCAUUAAUUGCUGUGAAUAAUGACUGUUUUACCUCUAUUAAUUAAUGGAUGUUUGCUAUAAGAAGAAAGUUGAGAGGGCAAAUAAGGUAAAAAUAUUACUUUAGUCCCUUUUAGUCACCCCUUGGUGACUAAAGAACUAAAGUUUAGUCACCACAUUUUAGUCACCAUGUUUGUUUCUUUAGGGACUAAAAGUAACUAAAAUUUAGUCACUAAAUUUUAGUCACCCCUAACCAAACGGGGCCUAUGUCAUCAUCUGAAUGGAAGUGCUAAUAACUUCGCCUUCAAAAUGUUUAUUCGUUCACCCAGAGCAAACACUGAAGGACGGGUUUUCAUAGGUUCUUUUCCAAUGGAGAAAAUGAAGCCUGUGCUUCUGGUUUCAACACCAAGCAAAUCAGUGGAAGUUGCUAUGUCCAUCUGUAGUUUCUCCUAUGCUUGUAUGUAAGCCCGGAAAUGUGCACUUACACCUGAAAAUUGGUAGGAAUAGCAAAAAAAACUAAAAAUCGUCAAACAACUAAUUAAAAAACGUCAAAUAACUAAAGUUGGUCACACACACGUCUAGAUCUUUUAUUGUUAUCUUUUCUGCUACAUAGUAGCAGAUUUACAAAGUGAAAUUAGAACAACAUUGACAUAUAUGAAGGUUAGUGCCAGAAAACUAAACAAAUCUGUACAACAUAUUAAGAGAGCAAGAGUAGUCUGCCUCCCUCGUUCUGCCGUUCUGCCAUCCAUGUAUCUGGACCGUCCAUAUCGCAUCGUGUGUCUGCAUCUCCCACGCUCCAUCCUUCUCCACCGCGCGACCACCCAAUCCCUAACCUCCCCCCGCACGUUCCUCUCUGCCACGUUGCUCGCCCCUUGCCUCCACCGCCGACGCGACCUCUCUCCGCCUCCCCUCCUCCCUUUGCCUCCACCGCCCCUCCCCCAACGUCAUCGCCACCGCCGCGCCACUCGCUCCCACGGGAUCCAGAUCCGGUGGCUGCCUCCAUCGUCGUCCAUCGCGGGUCGCGCGGCCGAGGUGGAGGUGAGGACUGAGGAGAACUUCCCUUCCCGUCUAUUCGGUUUCUCUUCUCGUUGACUCUGCUCUGUUCGUUCGACAACCAGGCGGGAACCAGAAGGCGCGGGUUCUGUUGGGCGGCCGCCAGGACUUCUUCUACUCGGCGCUCCCUUCGGUUUCCCUUCCCACCGCCGCGCCACUCGCUCCCGCGGGAUCCAGAUCCGGUGGACGUAGCUCUGGGGCCUCGACGCAGACAGCCUGGGAUCGAGAUGCUCCACCAAUGGGGGAUCGAGAGGACGACCGCUCCCCACUGGCGCAGCCCAAGCCCAAGCACUGGAGAUCCGUCCGCUCCUCUCCUGACCGCGGGAUGGGCAUUAUGAGCUUCGUACCUGAGGAAGCAGGGCGGGCAUUGAGGUCGGUGGCUUCCUAGGGUUUGCCCCCAAGCGUCGUGCCAUGGUGAGUGUCUGUCUUCUCAACCCAUGAUGAUUUUCUGCUAAAAUGUAACUGGUGGUAGUGUAUAGCUUAAACCAGUUUCUUUGUCCUUAUGUCUCAUCCCAUUCGUGUUUGUGCUUGCGUGUAGUGAGUUCAUGCAGGGAGCAGGUCGGUGAAUAGCAAUUCCUUGGCUUUUCUUCUAACCGGUAAUUUAUUCGCAUAUCUAUUACCAAUAUUGUUGAGCUGGUAAAGAUUAUUCUUUGUGUUUCUUCUUGGGCAGUUCUUGUUUUGUUCAAGGUACUGAACUGACACCAGAUGUCUCCCACCGCAAAGAAUUGUUCAAAAAAUUCAUACGAUUAUGUUUUGGUACACAAAUUAUCCGAUACAAUAUUAGUGCACAACAAUUACAUGAAAACAAACAAUAUCUCACAAAUUCAAGUGGAGUUAUUCUAAGCCCAUAUGUCGCAACUAUCCAUUAUGACCACCUGAUGGAUACGGACCAAGCAGUUUGCGUCGCUAACUUGUUUCUGUUAUCCUUAACCUAAGUGACAUGGAGCUUGUAUAUUUUCAAUAGGCACAAGUUAAACCUUAUUCAGUUUUGAACCGAAGGCAGAUUUUGUUUUGUAGACCUACUUAUAGGUAUACUGAGACCCAUUGCCUAUACCAAGAUCCUAGCACUCAGAUGCCAAUUAUUGCAAUGCACCUGGCUACAGCUUGCAAUCUCGAAGUGCCUCACCCUCCAAUUGGAAUCAUGAUGAGCAGCAGAUGGGUGAACACACCUGAACUGCAUCAGCCACUCUCAUGGUCAUGCAAUCAUGUUGUUGCAGGUAAGACGAUGCCUCCUAGGACUAGGAGGGACGGUUGGUUGAAGUGCUCUUCCCUCUUGCACUUUCCAGUUACAACGAAAGGUCCAUGGCCACCACUGUGAGACAUUGGCAUGGUGGAGGGUGCAUUGGUGCUUCUUCCACUGGCGCCUGGUGUGAACCAGUUCCCUUUUGUUCAUUGCUUCUUGGGUCCUAUGAUGUGAGCAUCUCACGCUGGUAGCUGACCUUUGAUCCCCAUGUUCACACAUACCCUUGGACAGCCUAAGUUGAUGCCACACUUGCACUCACAGUUUUUGCUCUGUUCUCAGUGCUAGGGGUUGUUCCUAUCUUGAGCCACACAGUUCUGCACACAUAUGUUUUAUCGUUUCUGGUUAACUGGAUUUAAUGCGGGUUGUUGCUCUCUGCCAAGAGUUCCUGGCCAUGCAUAUCUCACGUCUACAUUUGAUAACCGAGAAAUUCUUUUUUGCAAAUGAAAGAAGUUGUAUAUGAGCUGCACUAGCAAAGUAACAUACAAGUUGGUACAUUGUGUUAUCUUUCUUUCUUUAUUAUGUGUUCAUGGGCUCAUUGAUAUUUUUGGUACUUCAGGGAUAACAGACUACAGAAAUUGGUCUUUAAUGUUUGCUUGAUGGCACAAAAGUAGCUAUAUUGAUUGGCAGGUUCUUAGACUAAAGCUAUCUCCUGGUUUUCUUCAAUUCACUUUGUGUUUUUUGGUUUAUAAUUUGCAUUGCAUGAUGUAGAGAAAGGUUCGCCAGUAUAUUAAGGAUCAAAUAAUCUGAUGUAAUCACUGCAACAAGGUGGUCUCACUCUUUCUCUCAUUUAAUUUGUUUCUUCAGGUUCAUCAUACCUUUUAUAAAAUAGUCAAUAUUUUUUAUGCAGAAUAUUCAUGUUAGCCCAUCAGAAUCUGAAGCUCAUGUGGGGGUGAGGGAUCAAGGCGCAAACCGUAAGACUUUAUGUUCUUGUGUUCAAAUUAUGCCAACUUAGGGAUAUCAUGGUUGACUUUUGAUUUGUUGCUGCUAGGUAUGAUAACAUAUUCACGUCAAACUGAGUGUUAUUGGUGCACAGUGCCACUUGUCUGAAGCUGUCUGCAGAUUGACGUGUUUGUGCAAAAAUAUUGCACCUUUCUUUGUUACACUACAUUGUCUCUUAAUUAUUCAAUCAAUUGUAUAAAUUGUCUCUUAAUUAUUUGAAUUGUCUCUUAAUUAUUUGAAUUCUAGGAUCAAUGAGAAGGUUUGUGUUCUUUUUCUUUCCUACCUAUAUAAGAUGAAUGACUGGUCUGUUUUCUAAAACAUAUAAAUAAAAUUUUGUUUGUUUAUUAAGGGUUGAUUGGACAGCAAAGCUUAAACAUUAGAAGGAUGAAUAAAGUUGUACACUAUGACAUGUAGUUUGCAAUGGAAGGAAACCUAAUUUAUAUGCUUGAGCUUGGGUCAGGAAUUAUAGUGGUCAGUUUAGAUAUCUAUGGAUUUUUGACAUCUCCCUCCGUUUUUAUUUAGAUAUCAUAUUUGCCUUAGUGCAUAGACAAGGAUGAGAUUAACGCUGCGUUAAUCCUUGUUUUUUCUGCUCCGUGCAAUUGAUGCUGUAUCAUACUCAGUACUCACGCUCGCAUGCUCACCUGCAUGCAGAUUUAAUUUUUCGUGGAAGGAACAGAGGGAGUAUUAAUCAAUAAACAGUAAAUUUAUAGACAUUUAUAUUUUCUUGGCUCCUGGACAAUGGUGCUGCUGUUGAUCUAUGGAGUGCCGGUUGCAUUCUUGCUGAGUUGCUAUCAGGGAAGCCUAUCAUGCCAGGACGAACUGAGGUACUGUUUGGCUAUUUUUGUUGUGAUAAAACUUGCAGAUGGUUACAUUAUAGGAAUAAUGCAGUAUUCUCUGUCUGCAAUAAUCCAAACAAUGCUAUAAUAUUUCUGCAAAUCUGUCAUUUCUGUUAUUAUACUAUUUGUUAGAACAAAUUCGGUGCAUAAAGGGUUUAGGAGAUGAAUGCUCUUGAGUUCUUUUCAGUACAUGCCAGUUGGCACAGUGUAGGGCAUAUCUCUACUACUUCUUAAGAGAGGAACAUAGGUGUCCACAGGUGCACGUUCUGCCUCCCACCCGACAUCCUCGUCCACAACGCGCCGCUAAUCUCGCAGUCGCGCCCCGGCGAUCCGCGCCUGCCUGCUAUUUUUAGUUUUCUUGAAUUUAUUCUUUCAUGACUUAGCAUUCAUAUUUUUUUAUUUCCAAGUUUUGACCAUGUGAGGAAAUCUGAAUGAAUAUUCAGGUUCUUUCUUUCUUUAAGAAAAUCCCUUUAGAUACUUAAUGGUGAGAUGCUGUUCUUGUAUUCCAUUCAUGUAUACAUUACCAGAAUGGAUCUUGUUCCACCAGAGAAGUAAUUUUGGCUGUAUUGGUUUGCAUUUCAGGCUGACCACCCUAGAUUAAACUUCAAAGACCGGUACCCUGAGCCAUACAGAGAUUCUCAUCCACAACUGAAAAUGGUACCAAUUUGUGUUGAUGUAUUGUUGUGGGGAAUGAAAUUUGUUAACUAUUAACUAAAAUAUAUGAGUGAAGAAAAGGAUUCACACAUGCACUAGAUGCUUUGAUAUAUCUACCAAUCACAACCAUUUAGCCACCUGUGAAAUCUCUCAGGUUGGUGGUUGAUACUCAUGCUUACACUUUUUGCUAGGACCAUUUUGAUUCUAUAAAGCUAAACUAUGAUUUCCUAUUUUUUCAAACUCGCCGGAGCUGCACGGUUAUCUUGACCGAGCUAAUCUCUAUGCCUUCCAACACGCUGGAGGUACCACACUGAAACUUCCAUUACAUUUGGAUAGUUAUUAUACAUCCUUGAUAUUUGCACAAAAUCCAGUUGCCUUUCAUUUUUUGGUUCAUAUCUUCAUAUGUAUAGGCUAGUGUCUGAAUGGAUUAUCCAAUGUUGUAAUUUGUAGCAGAAAAUCACUGAACUGAAUAUAUCACAUUGUUGUGCGUUAUGUUGUGUCUUGUCUAAUGCAUGUGAAUACUCAUAUGAAGCUUUUGCAAUACCAGAUGGGGAGGGCUGCAAUGAUUACAUCUACAUUUGGUGGAACUUUACCUCAUGGAUGAUAUGCCAGAUGGGGAGGGCACGCAAGGAUAGCCCCGACGUACAUGCCCCUCAAUUCUCCCUCUGCCCUCUUGGUUUCGCUCUGCUCUCACCUUGCCAGGCGGCUGAGGUGUCUAAUUUGUUCUGCUAAUGUGGUGUUGACGCAGGGUUUCGUCACGAAGCCAGAGACGCUGACCGAUGGGAUAGUGAAGCUGAUGAUUUGGCACCGCACCAUCCCCAGCAUGCAAGGGUAAGCGACCCAAGGGUUCUUAUCUGUCCACUGUUUUAUCAAAUCCCCGUGGCUUUUUCGAUUCCUUUUUGUGUGCUCAGUUUUUUCUUUGUGUGUCAUGAGUUUCAGAACUUGAUUGGGAUGGUUUUUGUGCCAUGAGAAUUAGGGUUUGAUAGGGAUGAUUUGGGUAUCAGUUCUUACGGUCACUGGAAUUUGCAUAUUGUCAUAGUCUAAUGCCAUUAAAUUUUGAGGGUAGCGAUAUUGUUUUCACCCUAUUGAAUAGGGUAUAUGAUGAUGUUGGCAAGCGCUGGAGCAGGUAAUAUUUUGUUAAAGUUUUCAUGUCGUUCCUCCACUGCCAUGGCUUGAUCUGUGAGGAUCCAUACAUGCGUAUGGUUUAUGCUUGUAAGUUUUCUCCUUCCCUUGCUUUACACAUCUGCCAUAUCAUGCUUGACAAACACAUCAGUUUUGGCCCUAAUGUUCCAGUGUGUUUUUGUGUAACUUUGUCCCUUUCUUUGUACCAAGAUUUUGUUCAUUGGGUCUGUGUGGGCUACCAGGGAUUAAGGUUAAUGAUUCAAUUAUGCUCUUUGUAUUGUGCUUAUGGUUGAGUAUGGCGUUUAACACUAACUACGAGACAGGUCAGAACAGAAUUGGAAGACCAGCUUCUCUACACAUAUAGAUGCCAUUUUCUCGAUGGGGAGUUCAGUGAUUUCAAGGCGCUGCCUAGAGCAAGUGGAGAAUUGAGUGAUUUUCAGGAGCUCCUACACUAUCUGUAUGAACUAACGUAAGUUCCACCAGUAACAAGUAAAUAUUAAAAAUCACAAUGAUUAUAUGCUGAACUGAUGUUCCUUUUUCUCAUGCAAGCAAAAUUGUAACUCUUCAUUUUCCCUUUCGUUCCAGUCUUUCUGAUCAUAAGUGGGAUGAUGCGAACUAUCUGGAGCCCCGACGGCCCAAACAAAAUUCACCCGGACGUUGACCUCACCGCGCCUGACGCCGGUCGCCCCAACGACGACCCCGCAUGGUUCUGCCUACGAGUCGGUAAGUGGUCAAUAAACUCCCUUCAUAGUUCUUCCCUGUGUCGCGCGUUCUGCGCUGGCUAGCGAAGGGUCAUGAUCCGUGUCGUGGUAUGCAGGUUGCGACCAGAGCCAUGAGCAGGUCGACCCUGAGGCCCUAGACAGGAGCUUCUUUAUGCGGGUUUGUCCCCUUCUCUCGCAUGUGUUCAUUAGUAUCAUCAGCCUGCGAUGCAAUACAACGCAAAUGUCGUCGAUUGAUGAAUGGUGUGAUGCUAAUUGGCAGGUUAUGGCGGCGAGAAGCCCCAACGUGAGGCUACAAAGGCUAUCGACAGGAAGAACCAGAGGUACCGACAGCUUCCACUUGAGCUGGAUGUUUCAUCUUCGGUUCAGAUUUAUAGUCCGGAUUCUGAUUUUGACGCAGCUCGAUGCUGAAAUGCCUGCACUCUGCGCCGCCGAAGCGUCCGAGAGCUCAGUUCGCGAGGCUGAGCGCAGAGACUGAGGCCGCGGGGAAGGCACCGGCGGAGCCCAAGCCAAGGGUCGAGCGGAUCUGCGCCAUGCGAGCAUCCCCAAUUCACACCAAGACAGCGAGGGUCGAAUGUCCCAGCGAGAGCAGGCAGGAAAGCUCAAGAAAACCACCAAUCCUAGGCCAUUCAGGCUAAGGACUGAUGUGAGCUUUUACACCCUCCCAAUCACAUUGCGCUGCAGGAUUAGUCGCUAGCAAAAAAAAAGCUUUGCCUCUCACUGUUCUGUUCAUUACAGGAAAGAUGAGUGCUUAAAGAAGCAAAACCAGAGAAAAGGCAGUCGUUCGCUGAGAAUAACUCCAUGGCAGUACUCAAGGACGCAAACAGAGAAGUGGCGGUAAGUUCAUCCGCUUCCUGACGCUCGACAUUUUCAAGUUUCAACAGCCGGGUCGGUCGCUGACUGGCUGUCUGUAUGUUUGCAAUACAAUACAAUACAAUGCAGCAAAUGGACAAACACACCCAUGGCAAGGGACGAGACAAGCAGACGACCUGCGGCAAGAAACAGGUGAGCGCCAAUGCUGCCAAAUGCUUCCUACUCAAAUUCAAGUACGACUGCUCAUGCUGACCUGUGCUUUCACCAUCUAUGUUCAGAAGAAACAAAGCGCCCAGAUUGAUGUAACGGCUCAGCAGCUCGGUGAGCCCAGGCCGGCCUUCAACAACGGCAUCCAGCGCAAAGCUGUGGAACCGGAGAGAGUUUCUAGGGCUGCAUCGUCAACACGAACAACCAAACCAGCAAGGUUUGCAGGACUUCUUUGCUGAACUCCUCACACUGGCGGCUAACACUCCGUUGUACCGCUAGCAGACCUGACACACAUUUCUCUUCACUUUCCGUUUCGCAGAGGCCUUCCGGCACCACCACCUUCCCGGACUGGGAAGGAGAGGAACGUUGCCGUGAAGCUGUCGAGGUUCCAAACAGCAGCCGCUUGAGCUCGUGCAGAAUCAGGGAGGAAACUGUUGUUUUGUCGUCUGUCUGCUCCAACGACGAGUUCUGGAUUUCGUUGACUUGUGUACACUGAUUCUUUCUGCGAAUCGUGUGGUGGAAUUCUUCUACUCUGUUACCCGUACUACCACCAGCAGGAUUCUUUCUGUAAUAUGUUUUGGAAUUUGAUCUUUUCUGUAACUUAAACUGGGGAAAGGAGGCCCAGCCGCCCACCCAGCCCAUGAGACAUUUUUAUCUUAGUAUCUCUGUACCCCUUGACUCCUUACAUUUUUAUCUCAGUGUCGGGUUUCCUGACCAUGAUCGGUGAUGAGGGUAAGUGUGCUGUGUAUCAUGUUGAUACAAUAAUAAGUUGGUGGCACACCUGUUUGCUUGUAGGCGUAUCCUUGCAAAGAUUUCCGUUUGCCUCGUUCUUUUUGGUCGGUGCUACUCUCUCCAACUCCAACUGUCGUUUUAAUUUCCUUAGUCCAACCAGAUCUAUAUCUCUACUACUAAUUAUGUGCCUACUAGGUAGGUGCUCGUGCUUUGCGACGGCAUACAAAAUAUUGAAUAAAAUGGUAAUGCACAACUAAAUCAGUUCAAAAAGAUAUGUAAUGCUCAAAGGAUAGUGUUAGAGAGCGAGCGGACGCUCCUGGAUAGCGAAGCGUGGAGAACAAGCGAGCGGGUGGGGGCACGACGCACAAAAACCACGACUCGAACUAUUAAAAGUAGUGCAUUAUAGUAGUAAAGAUAGUAGAUAAAAUACCCCAUCCGAUUGUUAACAUGUCGAUCUAAUAAUUCAAAAUACCACUUUUAAAGAUGGGAUAAAUAUAUUAGUCCAGAUUUCCAGAUAACAAAACCAUAUUAAAUUAGCCAAAGAGACUAUAUGGUUCUACACUUCUACAUAAAAUAAAAUAAAAUAAAAUAAGAAAGAAAAUUCUCGUUGAGAGAGAAGUGAUAACGAUAAUGCAAAAUAAGAGAAAGAAAUACUCUACAAUAUGGUCUAUCAUAGUGAUGUUUGUCGUUCCGUAUCAAUGUUUCAUACAAAUCUUUUACUUCCGUCGCAACGCACAGAUACAUAUCUAUAACAAUAUAAUACACAUAUGUACAUAAGUUAUCAUGUCAUUAUACAGUUCCGUUGCAACGCACGGGCACUCACCUAUAGUAUAUGAAUUCUGUUAACACUAUAGAUAUAGAGGAUCGAAUUUAGAGGACGUUGCUGGUGAUGAAGAAAAUAUAGAGGAUGAAAUCUUUUAGAGUGUUUUGUAGAAUACAGAGAAUAUUCAUUUAAAAGAUAAAAUUUAAAGUACGCAGCAGUCUCGUUCCCCUCCGACCGUGGACCCAAGCCUCAAGGUUCUCUAUCUCCAGGUGACCCCUCCGCCUCGAUCCCGUAGGAUUUUCCAGCUGAUUUCUUCGCCAAGUGGCAUGUAUACCCGUGUUUGUGAACGAUUUGGGCUUGCCGCCCGCCGCUUGUGAUGUGAUCCGGUACUUUUUGGUGAAUAUUGCGGAGUGCUAUGCGUACAAAGAAACAUCAUGCGGAGAGCACAAUGGAGCCACAUUCAGUUAUAUUUUACAUAGCUUCUUUUAAAAGGUAAAGGGUAGAUGGAUGAUAAUUCUGCAUGUUUUUGUUCUGCUCUUUAUGUUACAUUCAACGACUUCUCCAUACUUCACGCUUGUAUUUGUUGGGGGACCAACAGUAGGUGGCUACUUUUGCCUCUCUUUUCUUAUUUUCUUGCUUCUUGGCUGCAAUACCAGUCUCCCUCUACCUAUCCAACUCCAUGUUUAAGAAAGUAUUGUCAAUGUAAAUUGUCUGUUUUCACCCUAACAUAUUGUCACAAAACAUUGUAAUCGUUGUGAACUAACAUUUUAUCAAAUAAUUGACAUGCCGUAGCAACGCACGGGCACUAUACUAGUGAUUAGUAGAGGAGCGAAAGAAGAAAAGGCAGGCAGAAACAGAUGCAAAUCAGCCAAUGCCCCGUGUCCCAAAUUGACUAAGGCCUUGUUCGGUUAAUUCCGUUACCCAUGGAUUGGAUAGGAUUGGAAAAAAUUAAGAAAGAGUUUGACUUACUUGGGAUUUAAUCCCACCCAAUCUCACUCAAUCCAUAUGGAUUGAGAGCUAACCGAACAAGCCCUAAAGUGGUAUAUCCUGAACCCCCAAGUGAAGCAGUCUAUUCAAACACAGAGCAACUCCUAACUCCUGUUACUUUGACCAACAUAAUCUUGAACCCUCAGGCAUGAAUGAUCAGAGGCGAAAAAGAAAAGAGAGGACAUUCACUACAGGAAUCUGAAGCAUCCCCGUCGGCUACUUUAAUUCCCGUCGGCCGGAGACCGGGCCGACGGGAAUAACGUAAUCCCCGUCGGCCAAAAGAAGGCCGACGACGAUUAAUUAAAUCCCGUCGGCCAAGAACGCCAGCCGACGACGAUUACUUUAUUCCCGUCGGUCAGUUUGCCAGCCGACGGGAAUAACUUAACUCCGGUCGGCCCAAUGCUCUGGCCGACGGGAGUUAUUCGAAUAAGUCAACAGCCACGCCGCCGCGAAUUCAUUUCUCUUCGUCUCCCCGGAAACGAACGCCCGCCCGCCGCGCCAAGCACGACCGCCGUCCGGCCACCGCGACCACCGUUGCCGCCCGCCCGUCCGGCCACCUGCCCGACCGUGCCAAGCGCCGCCGCCGCCGCCGCCCGUCCGGCCUCCGCGCCCAACGCCGCAGCCCACCCGUCCGCCCGCCCGCGGGACCAGCCAAGCGCCGCCGCCCGCCCGUCCGGCCUCGGCGCCCACCGCCGCAGCCCGCCCGUCCGCCCGCCCGCCGCGCCUAGCACCGCCGCCCGCCCAUCCGGCCACGGCCGUCGCCGCCCUCCCGUCCACGCCCAACCGUCGCCGCCGAUUGCCGCGCCGCCCGUCCGCCGUUUGCCAGUGUUGUUUGCUGCGCCGCCCGACGCUGCCGCCUCCCCACGCCAUCCGUCGUCGCCACACCGCCGUCGUCCACCACCGUCGUCCACCGUCUUCGUCCACCACCGUCGUCCGCGCAAGUCGAGGUAUAUUAUAUAUAUUAAAACAUUUUAUUUUCGUCGGUUUUUUGUGGCCGACGGGAGUUAACUGUUAUGUGAUUAGAUUUUGUUUAAAUUUGUUAGUUGAUAUUGUUAUUAGUCUUCAUAUGACUUUAUACAGUGUAGUUGCUAUUUUUAAUUUUAUGUUGCAAAAUAAAAUGUGUUGUUUGAUGUUAUUAGUUAUUGAAUAUGAUGGUGAAUGUGAUGUGUUAUACAAAUAGUAGUUAUUGCAAAUAUUAUUAUUUAAUGAAUUUGAUGUUAUGCAAGUAUUAAUCAUGUUAUUGUGAUGAAGUUAUGUUAUGUAUAUAUAUAUAGUUUUACUACUUACCUAUAGAUGUAUGUGUGACGUGUAGAAACGUGAUUGUCUCACACACACUCUUUACUCGUACACAGCCACAAUAAUGGGUGAUAGACGUGAUUGGAUGUAUGAAGGUUUCAAGAAGGGUGGGUGUCACACUAGUGAAUGGUUUGCCAAGACGCAAAUAUUUCUGGACCAUGCAGCUGCUUUGUCACAAAUAGAUAAUAUUAGGUGUCCAUGCAAUAAAUGUAGAAAUAUGACGAGCCACACCAAGAGGCAGGUCACACUACACCUGUGCUCGCAUGGUUUCGUGCCAGGCUAUAAGGUUUGGUAUCUCCACGGUGAAGAUGCUGAACGAGCAACAGAAGUAGAAGUUGAUGACGGUGAAGAUGAUGUUGAUAGGAUGGACCAGAUGCUUGAGGAUCUGCAGCCUGAACUGGCACCAGAUCAUCAUGAUUCACCUACACCGGAGGUUCAGAAGUUCUUCGACCUACUCAAAGCGUCAGAAGAGCCUCUUCACGGGCAAACUGACGUGACCGUCCUCGAAUUCGUGACCCGACUGAUGUCAAUCAAGUCAAAAUUUGCAUUUUCAAUUAAUUGUUACAAGGAGCUUGUGGAUUUGAUUAGCGAGGUUCUUCCUACGGGUCACAAGAUGCCCAAAGACAUGUACCAGUCCAAAAAAUUGCUUGAAGGUCUUGGUAUGGAGUAUGAGAAGAUUGAUGUUUGCCAAGACAACUGUAUGCUUUUUUGGAAGGAACAUGGCAGAGAACAAAAAUGCUUAAAAUGUGGGAAGUCAAGGUACGUGGAGCUUGUAAAUGAAGAUGGGGAGAAGGUGGUGACAAAGGUUGCACAUAAACAGCUUCGGUACAUGCCUCUCACUCCUAGAGUGAAACGUUUGUUUCUCUCGAGGAAGACCGCUAUGCACAUGAGGUGGCAUAAAGAUUGUAUGGACAGACAAGAUGGGUUAAUGGUGCACCCGUCAGAUGGUGAUGCAUGGAAGGCUCUUGACAAAUUUGAUCCAGAUUUUGCCAGCGAUGCAAGAAACGUUCGUAUCGGCUUGGCAACUGAUGGUUUCACGCCGUUCAAUAUGACUGCUUCGUCGUAUUCAUGUUGGCCUGUCAUUGCCAUACCGUACAACCUUCCACCUGCUCUUUGCAUGAAAUAUGAGUUUAUGUUCCUAUGUCUUGUUAUACCUGGGCCUGAGCAUCCUAGCGUACGCCUCAAUGUGAUGCUUCAACCACUGAUUGAAGAGUUAAAGAAGCUAUGGCAAGGUGUGGAAGCCUAUGACUGCUUCAAGAAGCAGAAAUUCAAUCUUCGUGUUGCAUAUCUGUUCUCGGUUCAUGAUUUUAUGGCGUAUGGUAUUUUCUCUGGAUGGAGCGUGCAUGGUAGAUUGACGUGUCCUUAUUGUGCUAAAGAUACAGAUUGUUUUCGUCUUAGUGCUGGUGGCAAGAUAUGUUACUUUGAUUGCCAUAGAUGUUUUCUACCCUUCAAUCACCCCUUCAGAAGGCAGAGAAAGGAAUUUAGGAAGGGCACCAUUGUCACGAAGGGACCGCCCAAGCGACGUAGUGGGAUAGAAAUUACAGAAGAGCAUAUGAAACUUGUCCUAGACGAGAGUGGUAAAAGGUAUCAAGGUUUUGGUGAGGAGCAUAACUGGACUCACAUAUGUGGCUUGUGAGAGCUUCCUUAUGCUAAGUCAUUGAUUUUGAUGCACAACAUCGACGUCAUGCAUCAAGAGAGUAACUUUUGCCAAGCCCUCAUAAAUACAUGCAUGGAUUUCCCUGAUAAAACGAAAGACAAUGACAAGGCACGCAUGGACUUAGCAGUGAUAUGUGAUCGUCCAACCCAAGUGCUUAGAGAAAACGGAGGCAAACCAAAAGCUGACUAUUGUCUGAAAUCUAAGCAACGGAGAGAAGUGAUGAAGUGGAUGAAGGAUAUUAAAUUCCCCGAUGGUUAUUGAAAGGGAAUUAGGCUUACACCUAGUUCCUAAAUAAUUUUGGUGGUUGAAUUGCCCAACACAAAUCUUUGGACUAACUAGUUUGCCCAAGUGUAUAGAUUAUACAGGUGUAAAAGGUUCACACUCAGCCAAUAAAAAGACCAAGUUAUGGAUUCAACAAAGGAGCAAAAGGGCAACCGAAGGCACCCCUGGUCUGGCGCACCGGACUGUCCGGUGUGCCACCGGACAUGUCCGGUGCACCAGGGAGAUUCAGACUCAAACUCGCCACCUUCGGGAAUUACCAGAGGCGACUCGGCUAUAAUUCACCGGACUGUCCGGUGUACACCGGACAGUGUCCGGUGCGCCAAGGGAGGUCGGCCUCAGGAACUCGCCAGCUUCGGGAAACUCCAACGGCUCGUCCGCUAUAAUUCACCGGACUGUCCGGUGUGCACCGGACUGUCCGGUGCGCCUCCGGAGCAACGGUCAUCUCCGCGCCAACGGCUCUCUGCCGCGCAUUUAAUGCGCGCUCUGCGCGCGCAGAAGUCAGAAUCGCCCAUGCUGGCACACCGGACAUCAAACAGUACCUGUCCGGUGUGCACCGGACACCCAGGCGGGCCCACAAGUCAGAACUCCAACGGUCAAUUUCCAACAGGACUGAUGACGUGGCGGGGGCACCGGACUGUCCGGUGUGCACCGGACUGUCCGGUGCGUCAUCGAACAGACGGCCUCCACCAACGGUCAAGUUGGUGGUUGGGGCUAUAAAUACCCCAACCACCCCACCAUUCAUUGCAUCCAAGUUUUCCACUUCUCAACUACUACAAGAGCUCUAGCAUUCAAUUCUAGACACAUUCAAAGAGAUCAAAUCCUCUCCAAUUCCACACAAAACCCUAGUGACUAGUGAGAGUGAUUUGCCGUGUUCAUUUGAGCUCUUGCGCUUGGAUUGCUUCUUUUCUUUCUCACUUGUUCUUGAGAUCAAUACUCCAUUGUAAUCAAGGCAAGAGGCACCAAUUGUGUGGUGGCCCUUGCGGGAAGUUUUGUUCCCGGCUUUGAUUUGAGAAGAGAAGCUCACUCGGUCCGAGGGACCGUUUGAGAGAGGGAAGGGUUGAAAGAGACCCGGCCUUUGUGGCCUCCUCAACGGGGAGUAGGUUUGAAAGAACCGAACCUCGGUAAAACAAAUCCGCGUGUCACACACUUCAUUAUUCGCUUGUGAUUUGUUUUGCGCCCUCUCUCGCGGACUCGUUCAUAUUUCUAACGCUAACCCGGCUUGUAGUUGUGUUUAUAUUUGUAAAUUUCAGUUUCGCCCUAUUCACCCCCCCUCUAGGCGACUAUCAAUUGGUAUCGGAGCCCGGUGCUUCAUUAGAGCCUAACCGCUCGAAGUGAUGUCGGGAGAUCACGCCAAGAAGGAGAUAGAGACCGGCGAAAAGCCCACUACAAGCCACGGGAGCACUUCAUCGGAAGAGUCCCGCACCAAGAGGAAGGAGAAGAAGAAGGACUCCUCCAAACGGAAGGAGAAAAAGUCUUCCUCUUCUCACCACAAAGAGAAGAAGGAAAAAUCUUCUUCCCACAAGCCGCAUCGGAAAAGCGACAAGCACAAGAGGAUGAGGAAAGUGGUCUACUACGAGACCGACACUUCAUCAACAUCAACCUCCGACUCCGAUGCGCCCUCCGUCACUUCUAAGCGCCAAGAGCGCAAGAAGUAUAGUAAGAUCCCCCUACACUACCCUCGCAUUUCCAAACAUACACCUUUACUUUCCGUCCCAUUAGGCAAACCACCAACUUUUGAUGGUGAAGAUUACGCUAGGUGGAGCGAUUUAAUGCGAUUUCAUCUAACCUCGCUCCACAAAAGCAUAUGGGAUGUUGUUGAGUUUGGUGCGCAGGUACCAUCCGUAGGGGAUGAGAACUAUGAUGAGGAUGAGGUGGCCCAAAUCGAGCACUUCAACUCUCAAGCAACAACAAUACUCCUAGCCUCUUUGAGUAGAGAGGAGUAUAACAAAGUUCAAGGGUUGAAGAACGCAAAGGAGAUUUGGGAUUUACUCAAGACCGCGCAUGAAGGUGAUGAGCUCACCAAGAUCACCAAGCGGGAAACGAUUGAGGGGGAGCUCGGUCGGUUCCGGCUUCGCAAAGGGGAGGAGCCACAACACAUGUACAAUCGGCUCAAGACCUUGGUGAACCAAGCGCGCAACCUCGGGAGCGUAAAGUGGGAUGACCACGAGGUGGUUAAGGUUAUUCUAAGAUCACUUAUUUUCCUUAACCCUACUCAAGUUCAAUUAAUCCGUGGUAAUCCUAGAUAUACCAAAAUGACCCCCGAGGAAGUUAUCGGGAAUUUUGUGAGUUUUGAGUGCAUGAUCGAAGGCUCGAGGAAGAUCAACGAGCUUGAUGAUGCCACCACAUCCGAAGCUCAACCCGUUGCAUUCAAGGCAACGGAGGAGAAGAAGGAGGAGUCUACACCAAGUCGACAACCAAUAGACGCCUCCAAGCUCGACAAUGAGGAAAUGGCGCUCGUCAUCAAGAGCUUCCGCCAAAUCCUCAAGCAAAGGAGGGGAAAGGAUUACAAGUCCCGCUCCAAGAAGGUUUGCUACAAGUGUGGUAAGCUCGGUCAUUUUAUUGCUAAAUGUCCUAUAUCUAGUGACAGUGACCGAGGCGACGACAAGAAGGGGAGAAGAAAGGAGAAGAAGAGGUACUACAAGAAGAAGGGCGGCGAUGCCCAUGUUUGUCGCGAGUGGGACUCCGACGAGAGCUCAAGCGACUCCUCCGACGACGAGGACGCCGCCAACAUCGCCGUCACCAAGGGACUCCUCUUCCCCAACGUCGGCCACAAGUGCCUCAUGGCAAAAGACGGCAAAAAGAAGGUUAAAUCUAAAUCCUCCACUAAAUAUGAAUCCUCUAGUGAUGAUAAUGCUAGUGAUGAGGAAGAUAAUUUGCGUUCCCUUUUUGCCAACCUUAACAUAGCUCAAAAGGAAAAAUUGAAUGAAUUGGUUAGUGCUAUUCAUGAAAAGGAUGACCUUUUGGAUUCACAAGAGGACCUCCUUAUUAAGGAAAACAAGAAACAUGUUAAGGUUAAAAAUGCUUACGCUCUACAAGUUGAAAAAUGUGAAAAAUUGUCUAGUGAGCUAAGCACUUGCCAUGAGAUUAUUGACAACCUUAGGAAUGAAAAUGCUAGUUUGAAUGCUAAGGUUGAUUCACAUGUUUGUAAUGUUUCAAUUCCCAAUCUUAGAAAUGAUAAUGUUGAUUUGCUUGCUAAGAUUGAUGAAUUGAAUGUAUCUCUUGCUAGCCUUAGAGUAGAAAAUGAAAAGUUGAUUACUAAGGCUAAAGAACUAGAUGUUUGCAAUGUUACAAUUUCUGACCUUAGAACUAAAAAUGAUAUGUUGCAUGCUAAGGUUGUAGAAUUAAAAUCUUGCAAACCCUCUACAUCUAUUGUUGAGCAUGUAUCUAUUUGUACUAGAUGUAGAAAUGUUGAUAUUGAUGCUAUUCAUGAUCAUAUGGCUUUGAUUAAACAACAAAAUGAUCAUAUAGCAAAACUAGAUGCUAAAAUUGCCGAGCACAACUUAGAAAAUGAGAAAUUUAAAUUUGCUCGUAGCAUGCUUUAUAAUGGGAGACGCCCGGGCAUUAAGGAUGGCAUUGGCUUCCAAAGGGGAGACAAUGUCAAAAUUAGUGCCCCUCCUAAGAGAUUGUCCAACUUUGUUAAGGGCAAAGCUCCCAUGCCUCAGGAUAACGAGGGUUACAUUUUAUACCCUGCCGGUUAUCCCGAGGACAAAAUUAGGAAAAUUCAUUCUAGGAAGUCUCACUCUGGCCCUAAUCAUGCUUUUAUGUAUAAGGGUGAGACAUCUAGUUCUAGGCAACCAACCCGUGCCAAGUUGCCUAAGAAGAAGAUUCCUAAUGCAUCAAAUGAACAUAGCAUUUCAUUUAAGACUUUUGAUGCAUCAUAUGUUUUGACUAACAAAUCCGGCAAGGUCGUUGCCAAGUUUGUUGGGGGCAAACACAAGGGCUCCAAGACUUGUGUUUGGGUACCCAAAGUUCUUGUUUCUAAUGCCAAAGGACCCAAAACAGUUUGGGUACCUAAAGUCAAGAACUAAAUUUGUUUUGUAGGUUUAUGCAUCCGGGGGCUCAAGUCGGAUACUCGACAGCGGGUGCACAAACCACAUGACCGGGGAGAAAAGGAUGUUCUCCUCAUAUGAGAAAAACCAAGAUUCCCAAAGAGCGAUCACAUUCGGGGAUGGAAAUCAAGGUUUGGUCAAAGGUUUGGGUAAAAUUGCUAUAUCUCCUGACCACUCUAUUUCCAAUGUUUUUCUUGUUGACUCUUUAGAUUACAACUUGCUUUCUGUAUCUCAAUUAUGUCAAAUGGGCUACAACUGUCUUUUUACUGAUGUAGGUGUCACUGUCUUUAGAAGAAGUGAUGAUUCAAUAGCAUUUAAGGGUGUGUUAGAGGGUCAGCUGUACUUAGUAGAUUUUGAUAGAGCUGAACUUGACACAUGCUUAAUUGCUAAGACUAACAUGGGUUGGCUCUGGCACCGCCGACUAGCUCAUGUUGGGAUGAAGAAUCUUCAUAAACUUCUAAAGGGAGAACACAUUUUAGGAUUAACAAAUGUUCAUUUUGAGAAAGACAGGAUUUGUAGCGCAUGUCAGGCGGGGAAGCAAGUUGGAGUCCAUCAUCCACACAAGAACAUCAUGACGACCGACAGGCCGCUUGAGCUACUCCACAUGGAUCUAUUCGGCCCGAUUGCUUACAUAAGCAUCGGCGGGAGUAAGUAUUGUCUUGUAAUAGUGGAUGAUUAUUCUCGCUUCACUUGGGUAUUCUUUUUACAGGAAAAAUCUCAAACCCAAGAGACUUUAAAGGGAUUCUUGAGACGGGCUCAAAAUGAGUUCGGCUUAAGGAUCAAGAAAAUAAGAAGCGACAACGGGACGGAGUUCAAGAACUCUCAAAUUGAAGGCUUCCUUAAGGAGGAGGGCAUCAAGCAUGAGUUCUCUUCUCCCUACACACCUCAACAAAAUGGUGUAGUGGAGAGGAAGAAUCGAACUCUAUUGGACAUGGCAAGAACUAUGCUUGAUGAGUACAAGACACCGGAUCGGUUUUGGGCCGAAGCGGUCAACACCGCUUGCUACGCCAUCAACCGGUUAUAUCUUCACCGAAUCCUCAAGAAGACAUCCUAUGAACUCCUAACCGGUAAAAAGCCAAAUAUUUCAUAUUUUAGAGUUUUUGGUAGCAAAUGUUUUAUACUUGUUAAAAGAGGUAGGAAAUCUAAAUUUGCUCCUAAAACUGUAGAAGGCUUUUUACUAGGAUAUGACUCAAACACAAGGGCAUAUAGAGUCUUUAACAAGUCCUCAGGACUUGUUGAAGUUUCUUGUGACGUUGUGUUUGAUGAGACUAACGGCUCUCAAGUAGAGCAAGUUGAUCUUGAUGAGAUAGGUGAAGAACAGGCUCCAUGCAUAGCGCUAAGGAACAUGUCUAUUGGGGAUGUGUGUCCUAAGGAAUCCGAAGAGCCUCCACAUGCACAAGAUCAACCGUCCUCCUCCAAGCAAGCAUCUCCACCAACUCAAAAUGAGGAUGAGGCUCAAGUUGAUGAAGGACAAAAUCAAGAAGAUGAGCCACCUCAAGAUAAUGGCAAUGAUCAAGGGGGAGAUACAAAUGAUCAAGAAAAGGAGGAUGAGAAAGAACCAAGGCCGCCACACCCAAGAGUCCACCAAGCAAUCCAACGAGAUCACCCCGUCGACACCAUCCUCGGCGACAUUCAUAAGGGGGUAACCACUCGAUCUCGUGUUGCUCAUUUUUGUGAACAUUACUCUUUUGUUUCCUCUAUUGAGCCACACAGGGUAGAGGAAGCUCUCCAAGAUUCGGAUUGGGUGGUGGCGAUGCAAGAGGAGCUCAACAACUUCACUAGAAAUGAGGUAUGGCAUUUGGUUCCACGUCCUAACCAAAAUGUUGUAGGAACCAAAUGGGUCUUCCGCAACAAGCAAGAUGAGCAUGGUGUGGUGACAAGGAACAAAGCUCGACUCGUGGCCAAAGGGUAUUCACAAGUCGAAGGUUUGGAUUUCGGUGAAACCUAUGCACCCGUAGCUAGGCUUGAGUCAAUUCGCAUAUUAUUGGCCUAUGCUACUUACCAUGGCUUUAAGCUCUAUCAAAUGGACGUGAAAAGUGCCUUCCUCAACGGACCAAUCAAGGAAGAGGUCUAUGUUGAGCAACCUCCCGGCUUUGAAGACAGUGAGUACCCUAACCAUGUCUAUAGGCUCUCUAAGGCGCUUUAUGGGCUCAAGCAAGCCCCAAGAGCAUGGUAUGAAUGCCUAAGAGAUUUCCUUAUUUCUAAUGGCUUCAAAGUCGGCAAGGCCGAUCCUACACUCUUUACUAAAACUCUUGAAAAUGACUUGUUUGUAUGCCAAAUUUAUGUUGAUGAUAUUAUAUUUGGGUCUACUAACGAGUCUACAUGUGAAGAGUUUAGUAGGAUCAUGACACAGAAAUUCGAGAUGUCGAUGAUGGGGGAGUUGAAGUAUUUUCUAGGAUUCCAAGUCAAGCAACUCCAAGAGGGCACCUUCAUUAGCCAAACGAAGUACACUCAAGACAUUCUAACCAAGUUUGGAAUGAAGGAUGCCAAGCCCAUCAAGACACCCAUGGGAACCAAUGGGCAUCUCGACCUCGAUACGGGAGGUAAAUCCGUCGAUCAAAAGGUAUACCGAUCGAUGAUUGGUUCAUUGCUUUAUUUAUGUGCAUCUCGACCGGACAUUAUGCUUUCCGUAUGCAUGUGUGCAAGAUUCCAAUCCGAUCCUAAGGAAUCCCACCUUACGGCCGUAAAACGAAUCUUGAGAUAUUUAGCUUAUACUCCUAAGUUUGGGCUUUGGUACCCUCGGGGAUCCACAUUUGAUUUGAUUGGUUAUUCGGAUGCCGAUUGGGCGGGGUGCAAAAUUAAUAGAAAGAGCACAUCGGGGACUUGCCAGUUCUUGGGAAGAUCCUUGGUGUCUUGGGCUUCAAAGAAGCAAAAUUCGGUCGCUCUUUCCACCGCCGAAGCCGAGUACAUUGCCGCAGGCCAUUGUUGCGCGCAAUUGCUUUGGAUGAGGCAAACCCUGCGGGACUACGGUUACAAAUUAACCAAAGUUCCUUUACUAUGUGAUAAUGAGAGUGCAAUCAAAAUGGCCGACAACCCCGUCGAGCAUAGCCGCACUAAGCACAUAGCCAUUCGGUAUCAUUUUCUUAGGGAUCACCAACAAAAGGGAGAUAUCGAGAUUUCUUACAUUAACACUAAAGAUCAAUUAGCCGAUAUCUUUACCAAGCCUCUUGAUGAACAAUCUUUUACCAGACUUAGGCAUGAGCUCAAUAUUCUUGAUUCUAGAAAUUUCUUUUGCUAGCUUGCACACAUAGCUCAUUUGAAUACCUUUGAUUAUAUCUCUUUUAUAUGCUAUGACUAAUGUGUCUUCAAGUCUAUUUCAAACCAAGUCAUAGGUAUAUUGAAAGGGAAUUGGAGUCUUCGGCGAAGACAAAAGGCUUCCACUCCGUAACUCAUCCUUCGCCAUCGCUCCAAGAAAGGACCUUGUCUUUGGGGGAGAAAGUAAAAAGCCCAAAAGAAAAAGGACCGGACUUCGUCUUUGGUAUAAUCUUAACUCAUUUACUUAUGACCAAAGGGGAAGAUAGUACUCAUGGGCUCUAACGAUUCCGUUUUUGGCGAUUAAUGCCAAAGGGGGAGAAAGUAUGAGCCCAAAGCAAAAGGACCGCACCACCACCAAUUUCAAAAACUUAGUGUUUUCCAAAAGUAUUUAUCAAUUGGUAUCCUAUUGUGUUCAAAAGGGGAAGAAAGUAGUAUUUCAAAAAUGAUAUAUCAAAACCCUCUUGAACACUAAGAGGUGGAUCUUCUUUAGGGGGAGUUUUGCUUAGACAAAGGAAAAGCAUUUGAAACGAGGGGAGAAAAUUUCAAAUCUUGAAAAUGCUUUGCAAACUCUUAUUCAUUUACCUUUGACUAUUUGCAAAAAGAUCUUUGAAAUGGAGUUACAAAAGGAUUUGCAAAAACAAAACAUGUGGUGCAAACGUGGUCCAAAAUGUUAAAUAAGAAAGAAACAUUCCAUGCAGACCUUGUAAGUAGUUUUAUUGACUAAAUUCCAAGCAACCUUUACACUUACAUUAUGCAAACUAGUUCAAUUAUGCACUUCUAUAUUUGCUUUGGUUUGUGUUGGCAUCAAUCACCAAAAAGGGGGAGAUUGAAAGGGAAUUAGGCUUACACCUAGUUCCUAAAUAAUUUUGGUGGUUGAAUUGCCCAACACAAAUCUUUGGACUAACUAGUUUGCCCAAGUGUAUAGAUUAUACAGGUGUAAAAGGUUCACACUCAGCCAAUAAAAAGACCAAGUUAUGGAUUCAACAAAGGAGCAAAAGGGCAACCGAAGGCACCCCUGGUCUGGCGCACCGGACUGUCCGGUGUGCCACCGGACAUGUCCGGUGCACCAGGGAGAUUCAGACUCAAACUCGCCACCUUCGGGAAUUACCAGAGGCGACUCGGCUAUAAUUCACCGGACUGUCCGGUGUACACCGGACAGUGUCCGGUGCGCCAAGGGAGGUCGGCCUCAGGAACUCGCCAGCUUCGGGAAACUCCAACGGCUCGUCCGCUAUAAUUCACCGGACUGUCCGGUGUGCACCGGACUGUCCGGUGCGCCUCCGGAGCAACGGUCAUCUCCGCGCCAACGGCUCUCUGCCGCGCAUUUAAUGCGCGCUCUGCGCGCGCAGAAGUCAGAAUCGCCCAUGCUGGCACACCGGACAUCAAACAGUACCUGUCCGGUGUGCACCGGACACCCAGGCGGGCCCACAAGUCAGAACUCCAACGGUCAAUUUCCAACAGGACUGAUGACGUGGCGGGGGCACCGGACUGUCCGGUGUGCACCGGACUGUCCGGUGCGCCAUCGAACAGACGACCUCCACCAACGGUCAAGUUGGUGGUUGGGGCUAUAAAUACCCCAACCACCCCACCAUUCAUUGCAUCCAAGUUUUCCACUUCUCAACUACUACAAGAGCUCUAGCAUUCAAUUCUAGACACAUUCAAAGAGAUCAAAUCCUCUCCAAUUCCACACAAAACCCUAGUGACUAGUGAGAGUGAUUUGCCGUGUUCAUUUGAGCUCUUGCGCUUGGAUUGCUUCUUUUCUUUCUCACUUGUUCUUGAGAUCAAUACUCCAUUGUAAUCAAGGCAAGAGGCACCAAUUGUGUGGUGGCCCUUGCGGGAAGUUUUGUUCCCGGCUUUGAUUUGAGAAGAGAAGCUCACUCGGUCCGAGGGACCGUUUGAGAGAGGGAAGGGUUGAAAGAGACCCGGCCUUUGUGGCCUCCUCAACGGGGAGUAGGUUUGAAAGAACCGAACCUCGGUAAAACAAAUCCGCGUGUCACACACUUCAUUAUUCGCUUGCGAUUUGUUUUGCGCCCUCUCUCGCGGACUCGUUCAUAUUUCUAACGCUAACCCGGCUUGUAGUUGUGUUUAUAUUUGUAAAUUUCAGUUUCGCCCUAUUCACCCCCCCUCUAGGCGACUAUCAGUUAUGCCGCUGGUUUUAGAAGAUCUGUGAACUUGAAGACAAUGAAGAUGAAUGGACUGAAGAGCCAUGACUUCCACAUAAUUAUGGAGAGGCUCAUGCCUGUAAUGUUUCGUGGGUACAUUUCCGAAGCUGUGUGGAAAACGUUAGCUGAAGUUAGCUAUUUCUACAGACAGUUGUGUGCUAAAGAAAUUAGAAGAGAUGUGAUGGAACAGCUGGAGAAAGAGGCACCGGUGCUUUUGUGCAAAUUGGAAAAAAUAUUUCCACCGGGUUUCUUCAAUCCUAUGCAGCAUCUCUUUAUACAUCUUCCAUAUGAGGCUAAGGUCGGUGGUCCUGUUCAGUAUAGGUGGAUGUUUCAUAUAGAAAGAGCAUUAAAGAAGCUUAGAGCAAUGGUGGGCAAUAAGGCAAGAGUUGAAGGAUGUAUUGCGGAACAAUUUAAACUAAAGGAGGUAGCACACUUCACAAGUUGUUACUUUGCAGAAGAACAUAAUGUAUUUGCUCGAAAGAAAAGGUACCAUGAUGAUGAACGAGAGAUGCCUCCGUGUAGUGAUCUUUCAAUUUUUCAGACAAACGGCAAAGCCGUUGGUCCACCCAAGGCAUAUCACCUCAGUAUGGAAGAACGGAAGUCUGCUUUACUGUACAUGUUCACGAAUAUGCCUGAGGUGGAGAAAUACUUUGUGUAAGACUUAUUUUCUUAAAUUGUUCAUAUGUGAAUUAGUUUAUGUUUUCAAAUAUCUCAUGUCAUACAAUAAUAUUUGACAGCGAGUUUGAUGAACAAAACAUGAGGUGUCUUGGUAGGCCAACAACGAGAGACAUAGAUAAAUUGCGACACGAUGGUAUGCAUGGGCGACCUAAUUUCAUUAUGUGGCUUCGGGACCGUGUAAGUCUUAAUUAUGUGGCUCCGACAGCUAAUUUCAGUUAACUAAUAUUACAUAAUUUGCUAAUACUUUGUGGCAUAAUUGACAGUUUGGGGAGGAAAUGAAUUUGAAUGAUGACUUACGUCAGUUAUCUAUUGGAAGCGUAACUGCCAAAAGCUAUGGACGUUACGACGUCAAUGGAUAUCGCUUUCGUUCAAGCAUUUUCGAAUCAAGUCAUCCUAUGGCCGCCACUCAAAAUAGUGGAGUCGUUACUAGGGCAACCGACAUGGAAGGACACGAAGCCUGCUAUUACGGGAAAAUCAAAAAUAUAAUCGAGAUUACAUUUGCUGGAAAUAAGCCUUUAGCGCUAGUUUUCUUUGAGUGUAAAUGGUAUGACCCGAAGUAUUAUAGGACCGAAUUUGGGAUGACACAGAUCCAACCUGAAAAAUUGCUUCAAGGACACGACACGUAUAUCCUUGCCCGUCAAGCAGACCAAGUUUAUUUCUCGACAUAUCCAUGCAAAAAGUUGUCUAAAUGGAGGGUUGUGUACAAUGUAAAUCCCCGCGACCGCCUAUACACUCCUGGUGAGGACGAAUAUCAAAUUGGUCACCUUGAGCAGGUUGAUGAGGUGUUUCAAGAAGAAGAGUUGCCAACUAGUUUUCAUAUUGAUCCUGCACCGACAUUAGAUUCACUAGUUGCAGACGUUAACGACUUAACUUUUCCCGAGAAAAGGAGAAGACAACCUGUUAGGAGAAAAGUAACAUGGCGACCUCUGCAUAGAAGAGAACAAAUAGAUCCUGAUUUUGAUGAUAUUUAACAAGUAAAGUUGUUUUGUUAUUUAAUUUGUUUAUAUUUUAAGUAUUAUGUCAUUUUUGAUCCUAAUUUGUUUAUAUUUAACAAGUAAAGUUGUUUUCUUAUUUUUUAUGCAGGAUGCCGCCAAAAUCAAAGAAGUCAGUAAAGGGGCUGUUCAAGGGUCUGGGCCUUUUUCAGGGCAGUUCUUCGAGCAGCAGCAGACGUCGAGAGCUGUUGAGCGCGGUACAUGGAGAUGAGGUAACAUAUCUUGUACAAAUAAAUUUGUUUACAUAUUUACAAAUAAAUCUUGAGUUGUAUGUACCAGGAUGAGCAGCACACUGAGGAGCAGCACAUUGAGGAGGAGCAGCACAAUGAGGCUGAGCAGCACAAUGAGGAGGUGGAGCACAAUGAGGAGGUGGAGCACGUGACAUGGGACCAGGCUGCACAGCAUCACCAGCCAUGGGACCAGUGGGACCACCAGAGAGAGCAGCAACAGGCGUGGGACCAGUGGGGCCAACAGGGCGAACCGGCUGACAACCCGAUGGAUGAUGGCUCGGGAGGCUCUUCAGCGACACGCACACGUCGCUCAAGAAAAAGCCACUCAGUAAAGCCUCAUCACGCGAUAGAGCGAGAGGCUGAUAGGACUUUAAUCAUGCCACAUGGAGAUCGGUGAGUGUAAUAUAUUAACUUAUCUCAUAUAACUAUUAUGUGUAUUGUUAAUGUUUUUGUGUAAUGCAGGAAUUGGGAGGACCUGUCCUUUGACGGCAAGGGACACCACACUCAGGUUAACCUUACGUUGGGUUCUCUUUGCCGCCUUCACUACCCUGGUAUAGUGAAGGUGUCAAACGGUGAUACCGAGGAUGAGGUGCUCGUCAGUACCUGGGACGAGUACAAGUUUAAAAAGGAACGAAACCACACCGACAGACAGGGACUUGUGCGUAAUGACUUUUGGGUAUGAAUUCUUUAUUAUUUUUGUUAUGUUUCUUAAUAUUGUAAAUUUAUGACUUAUACCAUUGUAUUUGUAUUCUUUAUGUUGUAGCUUCGAUAUCGGUUGCCUGACGGAGAGGAUUACAUGGGGCACGCUGAACGUGUCUUCCAAAACAAUGCAAAGAAGCUGGUGAAGGAUGCCAUAUACUAUGUGAGAAUUCAGGCUACAAACCUGUAUUUUCAAAAGCAUCCGGAAGAAGCAGGCCCCUUGACUAAAAAGGAAGGGUCGUCAAAGAUAUAUUUGACCGAGGAUCAAUAUCGUGAGGUUAGUAUUCAAUUUGUUUUACCCUUUAUAUUUAUUGUUGUGAUUGAUAAUAUGUAACAUUGUGUGUGUGCAGGUGAUGGUUCCAUGGAUGGCGCCCGUGCCUGAUGCGUACUAUGCUUGGUGUCGAUAUUGGGCUUCCGAAGGCUUCCAGAAAGCGUCAGCGCAUCACAGACAAUGUCGAGGAACCAAUCCUAACCACAAGUUUGGCGGUGACGACAUGAUACGAAAAGCUAAAAGAAUGGUAAGUUUGAUCUAUCUAUGUCGAUCAGCAAAUAAUACGAUUGCUUAUGAAUGUUUUUUGUUUAUACAGGAAGCUACGAGUGGCCAAAAGCCUAGUGACAUUGAGGUCUACCAGGAGGGCCACAAAGGACCAGACCCGAACAACCCUGACCAGCUCUGCAGCCAGACAACCACGGAUCGCUUGGUGAGUUUUGGCUCAAAAGUUCAAACGUUCAAAGUAUAUAAAUUCCUGCAUUUGUAAGGUUGUCAAUGAUGUAUAGGCGGCAUAUGGGGAGGAGAUGGUUCGUCGCCAUGGCCCUGAGUUCGACUGGCGCCAUGAACCGGUAGAUCCCUCGGUGGUAUACGCAAGUGGUGGUGGCAAAGCGCAUGGACGGUAAGCUCUAACUUAUGAAAUUAUAUGGUUGACACUAAAUUGAUUAUACAAUAAUCACAUUUUUUGAAUAACUUAUAGAUACGCACUCUUCGACGGAUUCAUUGACUCGUCGUCGGUGAGAUCUCAGAGGACGGGUUCAUCUUCCCGUAGCUCAUGCUCUCGUCGACCGAACGAGCAGGAGUUGGAGAUUAUGAGGAUGCGCGAAGAGAUGAGACAACAACGCGAAUUUAUGGAGGCUUGCAAUGCACAUAACCAAGCGAUGUAUCAAGUGAGUACACAUAAUCCGAACUCUAAAUUAUUAUAUUUCAAUACAACAUCUUCGGUAGUAACACAUAUAUGUUUAACAGUUAAUGCAGCAACAGGGCAUGACAUCAAAUUUUCCACCGCCACCACAAUGGAGCCAAUUUGCAAACACACCAGUUCCACCACCACAGUUCACCACCCCUCCGACACAUAUACCUGCACCUGGAGAUAGGGUACGUUUGAUAACUCUCCAUUAAUUUAUAUACUUAUAUACUUUUUUGAUAUUUGAAUUUAACGUGAUGAUAUUUGCUAACUUGCAUAGGUUACGCCCGAAGCGGGUGGUAGUGGAUCUGAUCCCGCAGCAGGGACUGGAUUUGUUGACUCGCUCUUCGCGUUCCCUCCUCCUGGUGGUGGUGGCGGCAGCGGUCAAAGCUCUAACCACCCAAGUGGUGGUUAUCUCUAAACACAUGAACAUGUUUCUUAACUCGUGGACUCUUGGUCGUACUUGAACAUAUGUCGUACUUAUAUUUCAAUACUAUGUCGUACUCGUUGACUCGAUGUGGUGGUUGAACUUAUAUUUGAAAUGUUGGUGGAUGUUAUGUUUGUAAUGCGUGAUUUUAUUAUGAAUGCAUGUGUUUGUAAUGUGGCUGUUAUCUGUUAUUUAUGUUAUGUGUGAUAUAUGUUAUGUGUGCAGAAAUAGUGUCCUAAUUUAGUGCUGUUUUUGUAGCAGUAUAGGGUAAUUCUCGUCGGCCCAGUUAAUUCCCGUCGGCUAUGGUCGAACCGACGGGAAUUAACUAAUAACUCCCGUCGGCCCAGUUAAUUCCCGUCGGCCUGGGGAACCGACGGGAAUUAACUAAUAACUCCCGUCGGCCCAGUUAAUUCCCGUCGGCCUGGGGAACCGACGGGAAUUAACUAAUAACUCCCGUCGGCCCUGUGAACCGACGGGAAUUAACUCAUAACUCCCGUCGGCCUGGUGAACCGACGGGAGUUAGCAUUAAUUGUCGUCGGCUAGUUAGUGGCCGACGGGAAUUAAUAAUUCCCGUCGGCCGCCGACGGGAUAAACGUAUCCCCGACAAGGGACGCCUGGCGGCUGAAAACCGAUGGGAAUAAGCCCUAAACCGACGGGAAUUACGUAAUUCCCGUCGGUAUAUGCUUAUUCCCGUCGGUUUCUGGCCGACGGGAAUUAAGUGAAUUCCUGUAGUGAUUAGGGAAAAGCUUUAACAACCCCCCCCUCAGUUAUGCAACACCGACUCUCCAAGCCCAAAUAGGAGGCUCCAAGGAAAGCGCACAGUGACAAUGCCACUGCACAGCAGGCUAAUCCGUGAGGAUUGAUUGAACCUUCUAUCUCACUUCACAAAACCACCACACAACCAAAGGGAUACCAGCUAGCAGGGUAGAGUGGUACUGGAGGCAGGUGCCUAGUGAUGGAUGGUGGCUUGCCUUCAAUAGUGAUUAAUGAAAUCACGAGUCACGGCACGAAAAAAGUGCAACAUACUGGAGUUAAUCCGCAGUCUGGUGUUUCUCUCGCUCAGCCUCAGCAGAUAGCCCACGUGGUGGAUGGUGGCCUGCCUUCAACAGCGAUUGAUGAAAUCAUGAUCACGACACCAAACAAGUGUAACAUACUGAAGUCAACCCACAGUCUGGUGCUUCUCAUGCUCAAGCCUCAGCAGGUAGCCCACGUGGAUAAAGUGAUGAACUAAGCCCUAUGUUUAUCCCAAAUUUGAUUCUAUAUUUUCUUAAUUAACUCAAGGAUCAGCACAGUUGUGUGCUUGUGUAUAUCUACAAAUCAUGGUUAAGCAGAAAGUAAGACACAGACACUUUAUUCUUUUUGCCACAAGAUUGAAGGUACAUUUUGUGGUGUGCAAGGGUAAAAUAAUUUGGUCCACCAAAAUGCAGGUGUUUUGUUAGAAGGAUGCCCGGAUGUGGUUGCCGUAUUACUAAUCUCAUCUUCUAUUUCAAAUCCAACUUUGUAAACAAUAUGGUUUGCCGUGCAAACCAUUGUUUGUAUGACUAUACAUGGUAUUCUAGCCACAGCCUAACACCAACUCCAAACCAUUUUGUAAAAGUAAAUUUGGCUAUUAUUAGAAGAAGAAAAUAUUUUCACUAUACUUUGUAAAUGGUCCUCUCAAAUUUAAUAACUCUCCAUCCCUACAUCUUCGUUCUUUAUUUUUGGAUAGCCUGAUUUAGGAUGUGUUUGGUUUGAUGCCAAAGUAGUAUGAGACGGGGCGGCAUCGUCCACUCGAUUUUUUGGAAAACACGCUUCUACCAAAAAUUGCUCUGAUGUUCACCUCAUUUUCGUGUGACUUUCAUCCAAACAUCAUAAAAAAUGUGUCUGCCCCUUCCAUCCCUCAUUUACAUCCAACCAAACACUCUUACUUAUCAUACAGAGUUCUGAAUUUAUCGAGCAUGUUAAACUAAUCUACUCUUUCAAAAAACAUUUUAGAGAGUGACUAACUUAAUAAAUUUAGCUAAUUUUUUGAUAAUCUCUUAGAGUUGCUCUAAAAAGUCUGAUCCGACACAUCUCAAAGUAAUGGAACCUCGAGGUGAACAGGCAUGUCGCCUAGUGUCAUUGAAUCCUAGUGUUAUUUUUCCUCAGCAGGUAGCCCACGUGGAUGAAGUGAUGAAUUACUAAGCCCUAUGUUUAUCCCAAAUUUGAUUCUAUAUUUUCUUAAUUAACGCAAGGAUCAGCACAGUUGUGUGCUUGUGUAUAUCUACAAAUCAUGGUUAAGCAGAAAGUAAGACAGACACUUUAUUCUUUUUACCAUAAGAUUGAAGGUACAUUUUGUGGUGUGCAAGGGUAAAAUAAUUUGGUCCACCAAAAUGCAAGUGCUUUGUUAGAAGGACUAGUGGAUGGCGCGCGUCUUGCGCGAGGAGUAAAAUUUGAUUUUCAGAUAUUUUUUUAUGGAGAAGGAACACAGGUAAAUAUAAAUUUAAUCAGUAAAUCGCAUGGCGAAGGAAAUUCCAAAACAAGCUUCGGUUGGAGCUGAGGAUUUAGAACUCGUUUUGCCUAUAAUGAUUUUGUAAUUGAAAUAAGGAAUCAUAGUUACAAAAAUAGUGAAGGGACUACCUGUCGUCAAUACUCAGUUUUGUAGAACUACCAGUGGGUUGUCCGUGCGUUGCGACGGCUUACAAUAAUACUCACGUAAACUAUCUACCAAAAUAAUUUCAAGAUUUUUUAUUGAUUGUCUCCAACUCUCCGUAUAAUUUUUUUUAUUUAGCUAAUUGAUGUUAUUGUUUACUCCAUGCAAUAUGUCAUGGUACAACACGAUCAAUGAAGUGAGCGAUUAUAAUAGAGUUCAUAACGACUGACUGAACGAACAAAGAUUAUAAAAUGACAUAAUUCCACUAUAGAGAGACCAAAUAAGAGAAAAUUUGUGAUCUCAAGUUUAUAAAAUAAGUCACAUGAACUCAAAUUUAUAAAAAAGAUGGAUCAAAUAUGGAGUGAUUGCUAAAGUCAGACAUCAAUUAAAACUGGAUGCGCUCCAUAUAAACUAUGUGUCAGGGACCAUAAUUAGGGGUACCCUCAAGACGCCUAAUUCUCAGCUGGUAACCCCCAUCAGCAUAAAGCUGCAAAGGCCUGAUAGGUACGAUUAAGUCAGGGAUCAGUCCACACGAGUGACUCGAUCACGCUUCACCCGAGCCUAGCCUCGGCCAAAGGCAGCCGACCUCGAGAGACUUCCGUCUCGCCCGAGGCCCCCUUUUUAUGGCGGACACAUCACCGGCUUGCCCGAGGCCUUGGCUUCGCUCAGAAGCAACCUUGACUAAAUCGCCGCACCGACUGACCAAAUUGCGGGGGCAUUUAACGCAAAGGUGACCUGACACCUCUAUCCUGACACGCGCCCCCGGCAGAGCCGAAGUGACCGCCGUCACUCCACUGCUCCACUGGCCAGUCUGACAGAAGGACAGCGCCGCCUGCGCCACCCCGACUGCAGUGCCACUCGACAGAGUGAGUCUGACAGGCAGUCAGGCCUUGCCAAAGGCGCCACGGCGAACUCCGCUCCGCCCGACCCCAGGGCUCGGACUCGGGCUAAGACCCGGAAGACGGCGAACUCCGCUCCGCCCGACCCCAGGGCUCGGACUCGGGCUAAGACCCGGAAGACGGCGAACUCCGCUCCGCCCGACCCCAGGGCUCGGACUCGGGCUAAGACCCAGAAGACGGCGAACUCUGCUCCGCCCGACCCCAGGGCUCGGACUCGGGCUAAGACCCGGAAGACGGCGAACUCCGCUCCGCCCGACCCCAGGGCUCGGACUCGGGCUAAGACCCGGAAGACGGCGAACUCCGCUCCGCCCGACCCCAGGGCUCGGACUCGGGCUAGCACCCGGAAGACGACGAAACUCCGCUUCGCCCGACCCCAGGGCUCGGACUCCGCCCUGGCCUCGGCCGAACGACUUCCGCCUCGCCCGACCCCUUGGCUCGGGCUCGGCCACGGCAACAAAAGGCAAACUCAACCUUGGCUUCGGAGGAACCCCCACGUCGCCCUGCCUAGGGCAUAGACCGCCACGCCAACAGGAGGCGCCAUCAUCAUCCUACCCCGAAUCGACUCGGGUCACGGAGAACAAGACCGGCGUCCCAUCCGGCCAGCUCCGCCGGAGGGGCAAUGAUGGCGCUCCGCAAGCUCUGUGACGACGGCGGCCCCCGGCUCUCUUACGGAAGAAGGACAACGUCAGCAGGGACUCGACCGCUCCAACAGCUGUCCCUCCAUCAGGCUCCGCCGCACCUCCGACAGCCACGACAUCACGCCAGCAGGGUGCCCAGAUCUCUCCGGCUGCCACAUUGGCAUGUACCUAGGGCGCUAGCUCUCCCUCCGCUAGACACGUAGCAUUCUGCUACAUCCCCAUUGUACACCUGGAUCCUCUCCUUACGACUAUAAAAGGAAGGGCCAGGGCCUUCUCAGAGAAGGUUGGCCGCGCGGGACCGAGGACGGGACAGGCGCUCUCUUGGGGCCGCUCGCUUCCCUCACCCGCGUGGACGCUUGUAACCCCCCUACUGCAAGCGCACCCGACCUGGGCGCGGGACGAACACGAAGGCCGCGGGACUUACACCUCUCUCACGCUCGACUCCGGCCACCUCGCCUCUCCCCCCUUCGCGCUCGCCCACGCGCUCGACCCAUCUGGGCUGGGGCACGCAGCACACUCACUCGUCGGCUUAGGGACCCCCCUGUCUCGAAACGCCGACAGUUGGCGCGCCAGGUAGGGGCACGCUGCGUGCUGACGAACAGCUCCCCGUCAAGCUCCAGAUGGGCAGUCUCCAGCAACCUCUCCGGCCCGGGACGGUGCUUCGUUUCGGGACUCUUGAGUUCAUGUCCUUCGACGGCAGCUACGACAUGAUACUCCUUCCACCGCCGCGCGACUACGACAAUGGCGGCCGACAACCCGCCCGCCGGCGGCGGAAUCGACGACGUCUUCCCCGUGUGGUGGAAGAGCAACAUUCGGGCUCGCUCCGUUCCCUCCCCCGCCAACGGAGGAGGAGGCGGGGCCGUCAAGGCCAGACGGGAGGCCGCGCUUCGUCGGCCGUCGAGCGAAUCGACGCCCCCAACGCCCCGACGGAAGGCACGCCGGACGUCGACCUCGCGUUCAAGACGGAGGCAAGCGCUGUCCCCCCGCGGCGCGCUGACCCCGAGCAAGAAGACGACGCCGGCGCGCUCGCGGAAAGCCUGCAGGACGUCGCCCUCGAACCAGAGAUGACGGCGCAACCAGUCCCCGAUGUGACUACGUCGCUCCUCGUCGACCAAAAGGUAACGACUAACUCCCAUCUUGCGUCAUUUCGACUCGGCCUCAACCCGCCAAACGACCUCGUUUUGGCGGGCGCUCCUAUUGAGGCGAGUGCAACCCCACUGAGGUUCCGUAUGCGGUCGCCUUGGGACCGACUGACGGACGUCUCGACCUACGGGCCCUCUGGGUCCGAGGAAGAUGACGAUCCCGGCAUCGGUUGGGAUUUCUCCGGACUUGGCAACCCCAGUGCCGUGCGGGACUUCAUGACCGCAUGUGACUACUGCCUAUCCGACUGUUCCGAUGGAAGCCGCAGCCUUGGCGACGAGAGCUGUGGCCCAAGCCGCGAAUGUUUCCACAUCGAGCUAGGGGAUCCCACCGAAGGCAACCAUCUUGGCAUGCCGGAGGAUGGUGAUCUCCCUAGGCUGGUGUCUCGCGCCGACAUCCCACGGGAGCUAGCUGUGGUCCCCGCUCCGGCGGGGGGUUACGACCCACAACUCGAGCAAGUCCGCGAGGCGCAGGCCAGGCUCAACGAGGGAACAGGAGCGCUUGCGCCGAUCCAUCGGGACGUCGGACAAGCAUGGGUGGGCCAACCCCUAGCCGGAGAAAUACGUCAUCUGCCCCAAGGUCUCCAGCACCGCGCCGCCAACGAUGUCAGGAUCAGACCGCCGCCCGCAUCCAGCGGGGUUGGUCAGAACCUGGCAACCGCAGCAAUGCUCAUCCGCGCGAUGCCGGAGCCGUCAACCACCGAGGGUCGGCGAAUCCAGGGAGAACUCAAGAAUCUCCUGGAAGGCGCUGCGGCCCGGCGGGCCGAGAGCACUGCAUCCCGAAGGCAAGGAUAUCCCUCGGAACCUCAUGCCGCGACUUCCCGAUUCAUGCGGGAAGCCUCGGUCUACACCGGGCGCACGCGCAACACCGCGCCUGCGGCCCCGGGCCACCUCGGCAACGAGCACCAUCGACGCGACCGUCGGGCUCACCUCGACGAAAGGGUGCGCCGAGGCUACCACCCCAGGCGUGGGGGGCGCUACGACAGCGGGGAGGAUCGGAGUCCCUCGCCCGAGCCACCCGGUCCGCAGGCCUUCAGUCGGGCCAUCCGACGGGCGCCAUUCCCGACCCGGUUCCGACCCCCGACUACUAUCACGAAGUACUCGGGGGAAACGAGACCGGAACUGUGGCUCGCGGACUACCGCCUUGCCUGCCAACUGGGUGGAACGGACGACGACAACCUCAUCAUCCGUAACCUCCCCCUGUUCCUCUCCGACACUGCUCGCGCCUGGUUGGAGCACCUGCCUCCGGGGCAGAUUUCCAACUGGGACGACUUGGUCCAAGCCUUCGCUGGCAAUUUCCAGGGCACAUACGUGCGCCCCGGGAAUUCCUGGGACCUUCGAAGCUGCCGGCAACAGCCGGGGGAGUCGCUCCGGGACUACAUCCGGCGAUUCUCGAAGCAGCGCACCGAGCUGCCCAACAUCACCGACUCGGAUGUCAUCGGCGCGUUCCUCGCCGGCACCACUUGCCGCGACCUGGUGAGCAAGCUAGGUCGCAAAACCCCCACCAGGGCGAGCGAGCUGAUGGACAUCGCCACCAAGUUCGCCUCUGGCCAGGAGGCGGUCGAGGCUAUCUUCCGAAAGGACAAGCAGCCCCAGGGCCGCCCAUCGGAAGAAGCUCCCGAGGCGUCUGCUCCGCGCGGCGCCAAGAAGAAAGGCAAGAAGAAGUCGCAAUCGAAACGCGACGCCGCCGACGCGGACCUUGUCGCCGCCGCCGAGUAUAAGAACCCUCGGAAGCCCCCCGGAGGUGCAAACCUCUUCGACAAGAUGCUCAAGGAGCCGUGCCCCUACCACCAGGGACCCGUCAAGCACACCCUCGAGGAGUGCGUUAUGCUUCGGCGUCAUUUCCACAGGGCCGGGCCACCCGCCGAGGGUGGCAGGGCUCACGACGACGACAAGAACGAAGAUCGCCCAGCAGGAGAGUUCCCCGAGGUCCGCGACUGCUUCAUGAUCUAUGGAGGGCAUGCGGCGAAUACCUCGGCUCGACACCGCAAGCAGGAGCGCCGGGAGGUCUGCUCGGUGAAGGUGGCGGCGCCAGUCUACCUAGACUGGUCCGACAAGCCCAUCACUUUCGACCGGGCCGACCACCCCGACCAUGUGCCGAGCCCCGGGAAAUACCCGCUCGUCGUUGACCCCGUUGUCGGCGAUGUCAGGCUCACCAAGGUCCUGAUGGACGGGGGCAGCUGCCUCAACAUCAUCUACGCCGAGACCCUCAAGCUCCUGCGCGUUGAUCCGUCCUCCGUCCGAGCAGGCGCUGCGCCCUUCCACGGGAUCAUCCCUGGGAAGCGCGUCCAGCCCCUCGGGCGACUUGACCUCCCAGUCUGCUUCGGGACACCCUCCAACUUCCGAAGGGAGACCCUGACGUUCGAAGUGGUCGGGUUCCGAGGAACCUACCACGCCGUGCUAGGGAGGCCAUGCUACGCGAAGUUCAUGGCCGUCCCCAACUACACCUACCUGAAGCUCAAGAUGCCGGGCCCCAACGGGGUCAUCACCGUCGGCCCCACGUACAAACACGCGUUCGAAUGCGACGUGGAGUGCGUGGAGUACGCCGAGGCCCUCGCCGAGUCCGAGGCCCUCAUCGCCGACCUGGAGAACCUCUCCAAGGAGGUGCCAGACGUGAAGCGCCAUGCCGGCAACUUCGAGCCAGCGGAGACGGUCAAGGCCGUCCCCCUCGACCCCAGUGGCGACACCACCAAGCAGAUCCGGAUCGGUUCCGGGCUCGACCCCAAAUAGGAAGCAGUGCUCGUCGACUUUCUCCGCGCAAACGCCGACGUCUUUGCGUGGAGUCCCUCGGACAUGCCCGGCAUACCGAGGGAAGUCGCCGAGCACUCGCUGGAUAUUCGGGCCGGAGCCCGACCCGUCAGGCAGCCUCUGCGCCGAUUCGACGAGGAGAAGCGCAAAGUGAUUGGCGAAGAGAUCCACAAGCUAAUGGCAGCGGGGUUCAUCAAAGAGGUAUUCCAUCCCGAAUGGCUUGCCAACCCUGUGCUUGUGAGGAAGAAAGGGGGGAAAUGGCGGAUGUGUGUAGACUACACUGGUCUCAACAAAGCAUGUCCGAAGGUUCCCUACCCUCUGCCUCGCAUCGACCAAAUCGUGGAUUCCACUGCUAGGUGCGAAACCCUGUCCUUCCUCGAUGCCUACUCAGGGUAUCACCAGAUCCGGAUGAAAGAGUCCGACCAGCUCGCGACUUCUUUCAUCACGCCGUUCGGCAUGUACUGCUAUGUCACCAUGCCGUUCGGUUUGAGGAAUGCGGGCACGACGUACCAGCGGUGCAUGAACCAUGUGUUCGGCGAACACAUCGGUCGCACAGUCGAGGCCUACGUCGAUGACAUCGUGGUCAAGACGCGGAAGGUUUCCAACCUCCUCUCCGACCUUGAAAUGACAUUCCGGUGUCUCAAGGCGAAAGGAGUCAAGCUUAAUCCUGAGAAGUGUGUCUUCGGGGUCCCCCGAGGCAUGCUCCUAGGGUUCAUCGUCUCCGAGCGAGGCAUCGAAGCCAACCCGGAGAAGAUUGCGGCCGUCACCAGCAUGGGACCCAUCAAGGACUUAAAAGGGGUACAGAGGGUCAUGGGAUGCCUCGCGGCCCUGAGCCGCUUCAUCUCACGCCUCGGCGAAAGAGGUCUGCCUCUGUACCGCCUCUUAAGGAAGGCCGAAUGUUUCGCUUGGACCCCUGAGGCCGAGGAAGCCCUCGGCAACCUGAAGGCGCUCCUUACAAAGGCGCCUGUCUUGGUGCCACCGGCGGACGGAGAAGCCCUCUUGGUCUACGUCGCUGCAACCACUCAGGUGGUUAGCGCCGCGGUUGUGGUCGAAAGGCAGGAGGAAGGGCAUACAUUGCCCGUUCAGAGGCCAGUCUACUUCAUCAGCGAAGUGCUGUCCGAGACUAAGAUCCGCUACCCACAAGUUCAAAAGCUGCUGUAUGCUGUGAUCCUGACAAGGCGGAAGCUGCGACACUACUUCGAGUCCCAUCCGGUGACUAUGGUGUCAUCCUUCCCCCUGGGGGAGAUCAUCCAGUGCCGAGAGGCCUCCGGCAGGAUCGCGAAGUGGGCGGUGGAAAUCAUGGGCGAAACGAUCUCGUUCGCCCCUCGGAAGGCCAUCAAGUCCCAAGUGUUGGCGGAUUUCGUGGCCGAAUGGGUCGACACCCAACUGCCAACGACCCCGAUCCAACCGGAGCUCUGGACCAUGUUUUUCGACGGGUCGCUGAUGAAGACGGGGGCCGGCGCGGGCCUGCUCUUCAUCUCGCCCCUCGGAAAGCACUUGCGCUACGUGCUGCGCCUCCACUUCCCGGCAUCCAACAAUGUGGCCGAGUACGAAGCUCUGGUCAACGGAUUGCGGAUCGCCAUCGAGCUAGGGGUCAGACGCCUCGACGCUCGCGGUGAUUCGCAGCUCGUCAUCGACCAAGUCAUGAAGAACUCCCACUGCCGCGACCCGAAGAUGGAGGCCUACUGCGACGAGGUUCGGCGCCUGGAAGACAAGUUCUUCGGGCUCGAGCUCAACCACAUCGCUCGACGCUACAACGAAACCGCAGACGAGCUGGCUAAGAUAGCCUCGGGGCGAACGACAGUCCCCCCGGACGUCUUCUCCCGGGAUUUGCAUCAACCCUCCGUCAAGCUCGACGACACGCCCGAGCCCGAGGUACCCUCAGCUCAGCCCGAGGUACCCUCGGCUCAGCCCGAGGCACCCUCGGCCCAGCCCGAGGCACCCUCGGCCCAGCCCGAGGUACCCUCGGCCCCUGAGGGCAGGGCACUGAACGUCGAGGAAGGGCAGAGCGGGGCCACACCAGAUCAAGAUUGGCAGGCCCCGUACCUGCAAUAUCUCCGCCAAGGAGAGCUACCCCUCGACCAAGUCGAGGCUCGGCGGGUGGCGCGACGCGCCAAGUCAUUCGUCUUGCUGGGCGACGAAGAGGAGCUCUACCAUCGCAGCCCCUCGGGCAUCCUCCAGCGGUGCAUCUCCAUCGCCGAAGGUCGGGAACUGCUGCAAGAAGUACACUCGGGGGCUUGCGGCCACCACGCAGCGCCCCGAGCCCUUGUCGGAAAUGCUUUCUGGCAAGGCUUCUACUGGCCAACGGCGGUGGCUGACGCCACUAGAAUUGUCCGCACCUGCGAAGGGUGCCAAUUCUAUGCGAAGUGGACACACCUGCCCGCUCAGGCUCUGCAGACAAUACCCAUCACCUGGCCCUUCGCUGUAUGGGGUCUGGACCUCGUCGGACCCUUGCAGAAGGCGCCCGGGGGCUACACGCACUGCUGGUCGCCAUCGACAAAUUCUCCAAGUGGAUCGAGGUCCGACCUCUGAACAGCAUCAGGUCCGAGCAGGCGGUGGCAUUCUUCACCAACAUCAUCCAUCGCUUCGGGGUCCCGAACUCCAUCAUCACCGACAACGGCACCCAGUUCACCGGCAAAAAAUUCUUGGAUUUUUGCGAGGAUCACCAUAUCCGGGUGGACUGGGCCGCCGUGGCUCAUCCCAUGUCGAAUGGGCAAGUAGAGCGUGCCAAUGGCAUGAUUCUACAAGGGCUCAAGCCUCGGAUCUACAACGACCUCAACAAGUUCGGCAAGCGAUGGAUGAAGGAACUCCCCUCGGUGGUCUGGAGCCUAAGGACGACGCCGAGUCGUGCCACGGGCUUCACGCCGUUUUUCCUGGUCUACGGGGCUGAAGCUAUCUUGCCCACUGACCUGGAGUACGGCUCCCCGAGGGUGAGGGCCUACACCGAACAAAGCAACCAAGCUAGCCGAGAGGAAUCGCUGGACCAGCUGGAGGAAGCUCGGGACAGGGCCUUACUACACUCGGCGCGGUACCAACAGUCCCUGCGACGCUACCACGCCCGAGGGGUCCGGUCCCGAGAACUCCAGGUGGGCGACCUGGUGCUUCGGCUGCGGCAAGACGCCCGAGGGAGGCACAAGCUCACGCCCCCCUGGGAAGGGCCAUUCGUCAUCGCCAAAGUUCUGAAGCCCGGAACAUACAAGCUGGCCAACAAUCAAGGCGAGAUCUACGGCAACGCUUGGAACAUCAAACAGCUACGUCGCUUCUACCCUUAAGAUGUUUUCAAGUUGUUUAUAUACCUCGCACCUACGCAAAGUUUAGUCGUCAAGGAAGGGUCGGCCUAGCCUCGGCAAAGCCCGACCCUCCCUCGGGGGCUAAAAGGGGGGAGACCCCCUCUGCGUCGAAUUUUUCCUCGAAAAAGGAUAUCUUUUUAGCAGGAUUUCUUUCGUGCUUCUUGACUACUUCGGAAAGCGGAUCCUGGAAACGACGAGGUACACGUAAGCAGCCAAGGCUGACCGAGCCGAGGGACUCCUACGCCUCCGGGAUACGGAUACCUCACUCAUCACCUUCUGCGAUAAGUAACUUGCGCUCGGAUAAAGCGACUCCGUGGACCGAACGAGUCAUCACGCUCGGAAGCUCUCCUGCCGAAGCAGUCCUUCAAGCUUUCUCGACUGAGUCGGGGACAGGGCCUCAUGGACGAGUGAAAGUACGCGUAAGCCGUAAGGCCGACCGAGCCGAGGGAUUCCCACGCCUCCGGGAUACGGAUACCUCACUCGUCCCUUCCGCGAAAAGCAGCUCUCGCUCACACAAACAUCCCUGUUACCGACAGAGUCCAGAUGCUCGAAACAAGAGGAAAAAAAGACGCGGCUUCGCAAGCGCGGCGAGGGUGUGUUCUUCUGGCCUCGGCGGCCGCAGAAAGCACACGCUACAAGAUGAUCUGGUCCUGCAGGCUCGGAUCUUCACGCUGAAGGGAGCCGUAGCACCCUCGGCAUCGACGACGUCUUCAGCAAAGCCCGACCCAGCCUCGGGCGGCGCCGCGGUCCAGGGACUCCUCCGGGAAUCCGGCCCGAGCAGGCGGCUCAACCGGUUACCCCUGGGGCCUCGGUCAACCGGCUUCCAAGGGCGCCAGCCCGACCCGAGGCCUCGACUGAUCGACUUUGGCGUCGGCUCCGCUGACGGACAACACGGCUAGGCUCCGGCCAACCAGGUUCCCAUUCUCGAGCCGACUCCGCCUCUGUUCAUACUGAUAUCGCUACCCCUGGCCUCGGUCCAUCGAAGGGCGGCCGAGGGGUCUCUUCAACUAAGCUAGAGGAGCCCCAGACAACAAGGCCGAACGGGUCGAGGGAUUCCUACGCCUCCGGGAUACGGAUACCUCACCCGUCACCUUGACAUGGGGCAACUCAUGCUUGGUAAAGCGGUUCAGAUAAUCAACAGGCGAGACUUAAUGCUCGAAAAUGAGGAAAAAACACGGCUCCGUGCCGAAAUUACAUACACGUUCAGGCCUCGACAGCCGCAAUGAACAAAAAACACUGGCAUUCGAAGUGCCACUACCAAUGGAACUCCGGUUCCCUCCUCCGCAGGUACGAACAACCCCCCUCCGAAGGGGAAGGCCUGCGGAGUAACUGAAGAACGAUGGGCGGCUCGCUGCCGCCCGUUCCAACCGUGACGGCAACCACCCCUGCCCUAGACAGCGAAGCGGCUUGGGCAGCAGCUUUGGGGAAGGUGUCACGGCAGAAGGGCUCCCCCCGCUGGGGACGAGAACCAGCCAUUCAGGCAGGGAGACGGGGACCCAGGGCCCCUAGCGCCCUGCAUAUCCUGGCAUGGCUGGAGGAAGUCUCCGUGGGGCUCAAGGACGCCCUCCACCCCCGGGCGCAGGGGGAAGAAAGGGGCAGCCGACCCACGCGGGGGAGGUCCCCCGACUCGCCUCAUCUUCCAUCUUGGCCUGGAUGACGAAAAUCCUUGAGGCCGAGGGAGGAGUAGAGGCCGCGGCCUGGCCCGUUUUCCCCACCGUCGAACUAGAGGUCACCAUCUUGGGUGACCGCUGGUGGCGGGGUGUGGCCAGGCUGCGUGAUGAAAAUCCUUGAAGCCGAACGAUGGCUGAGAGGUACCAACUCCCAUGGAGUUGCGUUCCUCCAACGAGGAGGCGGAAAGGCGGCGGAUACCCCCCAUCCGGGGGCUUGGAAGAUGGGAAGACACGACGCUUAAGGGAGGAAGAAGACAUGGUUGCCUUACGAAAGGAGUCUCCCUCCUUUUAAAGGCAACUCUCCCUACGUGCGCCCCCAGGCGCCGCGAGCUGAGUCUUCUCCAACACGCUCCAAGGCCCUCCCCUGCGACUCGGGGGCUGGGUCCCGCAUGUCAUGCAAGCCAGCCCAGGGCAGAAGAAGCCAAACCGCCGCGUGGGGUGCGCACGACCGUCCGGCGGUCACAGGCGACCCCCCAUUUCUGCCCAGACCAACGGGCAGAAGGGGCGGGCAGCCAUGCAGGCGGCAUGCAACCGCGCCAGAUGGACGCGCUUCUCCGACUUCUGACACGCCAGCUUGGGAACCCAGGCCCACGCGUCGAGCAACCGGCGCACCAGUUGCUGCAUGCAAGCAACCGCACCGCCACUUGUGCCACCAUCGCGCCUCUUCGGUUGCAAAGCCUAUGCCACGACUCGAGGCGACCCAACAGCGCCAACCUGGCGCGUCGGUCAAAGCGACCGAAAGCGGGCCGGCAGUAAUAGCGGUGGCAGGCGGGCGGGCGCAGCGGUCACGUCGUCAGCCAGGCUCACGUCCCAUCCUGAGACAGCAAGAGAGCCUCGUCUCACGGCGUGGAGACGGUGCACCCGUGACCCGUUCCUCGAACGGAUCGCACGCGCGCAACGGCCGCCUCGCCAACCACUCGCCCCGUCGCAUUAACUCCGCGGCGGGACACGCGGCGCCUCUGGCAGGAGGAGCGCGCGGCGCUUCACCUUCGCCGUAAUAACCGCGUCAGAAAAGGUACGCCACGUCGUCCGAUUUCGUAUCCUUUUCCGUUUUCCUCUUUCUCUAUCUCUUGCAACAGGGACCGGGAAAGGGGGAUACCCCGAAAGGGAUCCUUCUCCGCGAAGGAACCGGGCUCCGAGCCCCCCAUUACUGAUCAGGGGUUCGAAGGCUGGCCCUCCGAAGGGUUCAACAGUCGCCUCAGAUCGCGUGGGCCCGACACCCACUACUGGUCAGGGGUUCGAAGGCCAGCCCCCCGAAGGGCUCCAUGGCCGCCUCAGGCUACUCGGGCUCCGCGCCCAUUACUGAUCAGGGGUUCGAAGGCUGGCCCCCGAAGGGUUCACAGUCGCCUCAGACACCGAGCGAGGGAUGACCAGGGGUACGUUCGAUACAUAACCAAGGCUCGGGCUGCGCUCCCGAGGUACCCUAGGACAUUUCCGAGACCAGCGGGAACGAUCUUGUAACGGAAUCCCAUCGGAGGGAGGCAUCGAGCCCUCGGACCCCGUCGCCAGGGGACCGGGUCCGGCAAAUCACCCGCAGGUACUUUUGGGCGUGCCUCUGGGCCCCUAGCCGACCCCCAACGAACGGGGCACGUACGUCCACUCGGAUUACCCGCUUGCAGCUCACCGGAGACACCAUGUUCGGUGCCCACCGAGGGUAACAUGGCGCACUCCCCCCUCCUCCUUGCGGAAAGGCGACGUAGGGGCGUAUGUAAAAAGUCGAGUCUGUCCCUGAUCGUCCUCUCGCCCUGUGCAGAGGCUCGGGGGCUGCUCUCGCAAAAACCGGCUCCGGCCAAAUCGUUGACAGCGUCAACAUACCAGCCCGAGAGCUUGGGCCCCGACCGUGCACCCGGGCUACGGCCAGUUCGCAUGAGGGAACGACCAGACCACCCGAAGCGUUAAGCAAAGUAUUAAGACCUCGAAGGAGUGUAACCACUCCUCCGAGGCCUCGGGGGCUACACCCGGCGGGUGCGCUCGCGCGCACCCACCGGAACAAAAUGCAACCGAGAAAGGCUGGUCCCCUUGCAAAAAAGUGCGACAAAAGCCUCCAAGCGAGUGCUAACACUCCCUUCGAGGCUCGGGGGCUACUGUCGGGGACCAUAAUUAGGGGUACCCUCAAGACGCCUAAUUCUCAGCUGGUAACCCCCAUCAGCAUAAAGCUGCAAAGGCCUGAUGGGUACGAUUAAGUCAGGGAUCAGUCCACACGAGUGACUCGAUCACGCUUCACCCGAGCCUAGCCUCGGCCAAAGGCAGCCGACCUCGAGAGACUUCCGUCUCGCCCGAGGCCCCCUUUUUAUGGCGGACACAUCACCGGCUUGCCCGAGGCCUUGGCUUCGCUCAGAAGCAACCUUGACUAAAUCGCCGCACCGACUGACCAAAUUGCGGGGGCAUUUAACGCAAAGGUGACCUGACACCUCUAUCCUGACACGCGCCCCCGGCAGAGCCGAAGUGACCGCCGUCACUCCACUGCUCCACUGGCCAGUCUGACAGAAGGACAGCGCCGCCUGCGCCACCCCGACUGCAGUGCCACUCGACAGAGUGAGUCUGACAGGCAGUCAGGCCUUGCCAAAGGCGCCACGGCGAACUCCGCUCCGCCCGACCCCAGGGCUCGGACUCGGGCUAAGACCCGGAAGACGGCGAACUCCGCUCCGCCCGACCCCAGGGCUCGGACUCGGGCUAAGACCCGGAAGACGGCGAACUCCGCUCCGCCUGACCCCAGGGCUCGGACUCGGGCUAAGACCCGGAAGACGGCGAACUCCGCUCCGCCCGACCCCAGGGCUCGGACUCGGGCUAAGACCCGGAAGACGGCGAACUCUGCUCCGCCCGACCCCAGGGCUCGGACUCGGGCUAAGACCCGGAAGACGGCGAACUCCGCUCCGCCCGACCCCAGGGCUCGGACUCGGGCUAGCACCCGGAAGACGACGAAACUCCGCUUCGCCCGACCCCAGGGCUCGGACUCCGCCCUGGCCUCGGCCGAACGACUUUCGCCUCGCCCGACCCCUUGGCUCGGGCUCGGCCACGGCAACAAAAGGCAAACUCAACCUUGGCUUCGGAGGAACCCCCACGUCGCCCUGCCUAGGGCAUAGACCGCCACGCCAACAGGAGGCGCCAUCAUCAUCCUACCCCGAAUCGACUCGGGUCACGGAGAACAAGACCGGCGUCCCAUCCGUCCAGCUCCGCCGGAGGGGCAAUGAUGGCGCUCCGCAAGCUCUGUGACGACGGCGGCCCCCGGCUCUCUUACGGAAGCAGGACAACGUCAGCAGGGACUCGACCGCUCCAACAGCUGUCCCUCCAUCAGGCUCCGCCGCACCUCCGACAGCCACGACAUCACGCCAGCAGGGUGCCCAGAUCUCUCCGGCUGCCACAUUGGCAUGUACCUAGGGUGCUAGCUCUCCCUCCGCUAGACACGUAGCAUUCUGCUACAUCCCCAUUGUACACCUGGAUCCUCUCCUUACGACUAUAAAAGGAAGGGCCAGGGCCUUCUCAGAGAAGGUUGGCCGCGCGGGACCGAGGACGGGACAGGCGCUCUCUUGGGGCCGCUCGCUUCCCUCACCCGCGUGGACGCUUGUAACCCCCCUACUGCAAGCGCACCCGACCUGGGCGCGGGACGAACACGAAGGCCGCGGGACUUACACCUCUCUCACGCUCGACUCCGGCCACCUCGCCUCUCCCCCCUUCGCGCUCGCCCACGCGUUCGACCCAUCUGGGCUGGGGCACGCAGCACACUCACUCGUCGGCUUAGGGACCCCCUGUCUCGAAACGCCGACACUAUGCUACUUCGUAGCAAUUACUAACGUUUAAAACCAACAAAUAACCUUUCAUUUUACUGUUAGUGUGACAAAUCAUUGUUGCUCCAUCCAAUUCAGCAACCUCAAACACUAUGGAGUCUAUUGCGCCAAUGUGAUAUCAGAAACGAUAUAAUGCUUGCAAGAGCCAAGAACGUCGUGCCGUGUUUGGCUCUAGCAUCGGCCCGUAGUGCUGGUCCGGCCCGACACGAUUAUAUAUUUUUUUUAUAAAAAAGUAUAUACAUAUAUACAAUUUAUAUUCAAUAUUAAAAAUAUCUGAGCAUGACGUUCUACUGGUUAGACAACUUUAUCCAAUGUCUCUCGUCAUUCUUCCAUUAGGGCAUGAGUUUGAACCCCACCUAUUGCGCCGUUUUUUAACAUUUUACGCUGAUUUAAUCAAAUGGGCCGACGGGCUAACAGGCUGACCCGGCACAGUCAGCAGGUCGGCAUGACGUGACUGGGCCAAAGUUGUGGCCCGCGGGCGUCUGGCCCGUGACGGGCCAUCAUUUGGCCAUCUAUAGGCGUGCAACAGAUUAAUUUGAAAUAGUUGUGAGGAGUUAUUUGUAAAAAGAUGACGUGAGACGACCGUUGAAACUUGUGCUUUAAGUAUAAUAUAGAAAAUAUUGGUAGGUUGUUUGGAAUAAAAGCAAAUGAUUUUCCGUUUUCUGUGAUUUGUUUUGAAUCAGGCAACUACGUAUUGUUUGUUUAAUUUGCGAUCUUUCCGCAAGAAAAUAGUUAGGUGAAAGGUGGAGAACUAAAUUCCAAAGAAGCUUUUUUGAAUGCAUGUUAUGGAAAAGAAUAAUUUUCCGAGUAGAGAGUACUUAGGGUCCAUCGGCAGUGGAAGCCAUUUUGCCACUACGGUUCCUCUAGAAAGCACCAACAUGCUGUAUUUGUCGGGACCAUAAUUAGGGGUACCCCCAAGACUCCUAAUCUCAGCUGGUAACCCCCAUCAGCACAAAGCUGCAAAGGCCUGAUGGGCGCGAUUAAGGUCAAGGCUCAAUCCACUCAAGGGACACGAUCUCGCCUCGCCCGAGCCCAGCCUCGGGCAAAGGCAGCCAACCCCGGAGGAUUCGCGUCUCGCCCGAGGGUCCCCUCAAGCAACGGACACACCUUCGGCUCGCCCGAGGUCCAGUCUUCGCGGAGAAGCAACCUUGGCCAGAUCGCCAUGCCGACCGACGGUAUCGCAGGAGCAUUUAAUGCAAAGAUCGACUGACACCUCAUCCUGACGCGCGCUCCUCAGUCGACAGAGCCGAAGUGACCGCAGUCACUUCGUCGCUCCACUGACCGACCUGACAGGAAAACAGCGCUGCCUGCGCCGCUCCGACUGCUGCGCCACUCGACAGAGUGAGGCUGACAGCAGCUAAGUCCAGCCUCGGGCGCCAUAGGAAGCUCCGCCUCGCCCGACCCUAGGGCUCGGACUCAGCCUCGACCUCGGAAGACGGACUCCGCCUCGCCCGACCCCAGGGCUCGGACUCAGCCUCGACCUCGGAAGACGGACUCUACCUUGCCUGACCCCAGGGCUCGGACUCAGCCUCGACCUCGGAAGACAGACUCCGCCUCGCCCGACCCAGGGCUCGGACUCAGCCUCGACCUCGGACGACGGUCUCCGCCUCGCCCGACCCUCGGGCCCAGACUCGACCUCGGAGGAGCCUCCGCCUCGCUCGACCCUCGGGCCCAGACUCGACCUCGGAGGAGCCUCCGCCUCGCCCGACCUAGGGCUCGGACCAACCACGUCACAGGGGGUCCAUCAUUACCCUACCCCUAGCUAGCUCAGGCUACAGGGAACAAGACCGGCGUCCCAUCUGGCUCGCCCCGGUAAACAAGUAAUGAUGGCACGCCGCGUGCUCCAUGACGACGGCGGCUCUCAGCCCCUUACGGAAGCAAGGAGACGUCAGCAAGGAUCCGACAGCCCCGACAGCUGUCCUUCCACAAGGCUCAAGCACUCCUCUGACGGCCACGACAUCACGUGAACAGGGCGCCAAAACCUCUCCGACUGCCACGACGACAUGUACUUAGGGCUCUAGCUCCUCUCUGCUAGACACGUUAGCACACUGCUACACCCCCAUUGUACACCUGGGCCCUCUCCUUACGCCUAUAAAAGGAAGGUCCAGGGCUCUCGUACGGGAAGGUUGGCCGCGCGGGAGAACGAGCCGCCGCAUAAGGCUCUCGCUCUCGCUCCCUCCCUCUCGGACGCUUGUAACCCCCUACUGCAAGCGCACCCGACCUGGGCGCAGGACAACACGGAGGCCGCGGGUUUCCCCUUUUGCCUGUUUCUUCCCCCCUUCGUGCUCCGUCUCGCGCCGACCCAUCUGGGCUAGGACACGCGGCGACAAUUUACUCGUCGGUCUAGGGACCCCCCGGGGUCGAAACGCCGACAGUUGGCGCGCCAGGUAGGGGCCUGCUGCGUGUUGACGAACAGCUUCCCGUCAAGCUCCAGAUGGGUAGUCUCCAGCAACCUCUUCAACCCGGGACAGUGAUCCGUUUCGGGAGUCUUGAGUUCAUGUCCCUUGACGGCAGCUACGACAUGAUACUCCUUCCUCCGCCGCGCGACAACGACAAUGGCGGCCAUCAGCCCGCCCGCCGGCGGCGGAAUCGACGACGUCUUCCCCACGUGACGGAAGAGCAACAUCCGGGUCUGUCCCGUCACCUCCCCCGCCGACGGAGGAGGAGGCGGGGCAGGCAUGGCCAAGCAGGAGGCAACACCUCGUCAGCUGUCGAGCGAGUCGACGGCGUCGGCGCCCCAGCGGGGGACACGUCGGGCGUUGACCUCGCGUCUGAGAUGAAGACGAGCGUCGUCUCCCCGCAACAAGCCAACCCCAAGCAGACGGACGACGCCAGCACGCUCGCGAAGGACUUGCUGGGCGUCAGCCUCGUACCUGAGACAACGGUGCAGUCCGUCUCUGACGCAACUUCGUCACCGCCCAUCGAUCAAGAGGUAUCGUCCGUCUCCCAUCCCAUGCCUUUCAAAUUCAGCUGCGACCCACCAAGCGACCCCGCUUCGGUGGAUGCUUUUAUAAAGGCAUGUCCAAACCCUCCGGGGUAUCAUAUGCGGUCACCCUGGGACCGGCUGACGGCCGUCUCGACCUACGGGCCUCUGGGUUCCGAGGAAGAUGACGAGCCCGACUCUGGUUGGGAUUUCUCCGGGCUCGAUAACCUCAGUGCCAUGCGGGACUUCAUGACCGCAUGUGACUACUGCCUCUCCGAUUGCUCCGAUAGCAGCCACAGCCUCGGCGACGAGGACUGUGGCCCAAGUCGCGAAUGCUUCCACGUCGAUCUAGGGGGUCUCGACGAAGGCAACCAUCUUGGUAUGUUGGAGGACGGUGAUCCCCCAGGCCUGCGCCUCGCGUUGACAUCCUUCGGGAGCUAGCUGUGGUCCUAGUCCCUGCGGGGGGUCAGGACGCACAGCUCGAGCAAAUCCGCGAGGUACAGGCCAGGCUCGACGAGGAAGCAGGACAACUUGUGCAGCUUCGGCAAAAUAUCGGGCAGGAGUGGGCAGGCCGAGCACCAGCCGGAGAAGCGUGUCACCUGGCCCAGGACGUCCAGCACCGCAUCGCCGACGAUGUCAGGGCAAGGCUGCCCCCGGCUUCCAGUGGGGUCGACCAGAACCUGGCUGCAGCAGCGAUACUACUCCGAGCGAUGCCGGAACCGUCCACCACCGAGGGGCGGCGUAUCCAGGGAGAGCUCAAGAAUCUCCUGGAAGAUGCCGCGGUCCGACGGGCCGAGAGCUCUGCCUCCCAAAGGCAGGGGUACCCCCCGGAGCAUCGCGCCGCGACUUCCCGGUUCAUGCGGGAAGCCUCGGUCCACACCGGGCACACGCGGAACACCGCGCCUGCGGCCCCGGGUCGCCUCGGCAACGAGCACCACCGCCCCAACCGUCGAGCCCACCUCGACGAGAAGGUGCGCCGAGGCUAACACCCCAGGCGUGGGGGACGCUACGACAGCGGGGAGGAUCGGAGCCCCUCGCCCGAGCCACCCGAUCCGCGAGCUUUCAGCCGGGCCAUACGACGGGCGUCGUUCCCGACCCGGUUCCGAACCUCGACUACUAUCACCAAGUACUCGGGGGAGUCGAAGCCGGAACUGUGGCUCGCGGACUACCGGCUGGCCUGCCAGCCGGGUAGAACGGACGAUGACAACCUCAUCAUCAACAACCUUCCCCCUUUCCUCUCCGACGCCGCCCGAGCCUGGCUGGAGCAUCUGCCUCCUGCGCAGAUCUCCAACUGGGACGACUUGGUCAAAGCCUUCGCCGGCAACUUCCAGGGCACAUACGUGCGCCCUAGGAACUCCUGGGAUCUCCGAAGCUGCCGCCAGCAGCAGGGAGAGUCCCUCCGGGACUACAUCCGGUGAUUUUCGAAGCAGCGCACCGAGCUGCCCAACAUCACCGACUCGGAUGUCAUCGGCGCUUUCCUCGCUGGCACCACUUGCCGCGACCUGGUGAGCAAGCUGGGUCGCAAGACUCCCACCAGGGCAAGCGAGCUGAUGGACAUCGCCACCAAGUUCGCCUCUGGGCAGGAGGCGGUCGAGGCCAUCUUCCGGAAGGACAAGCAGCCUCAGGGGCGCCAGUCGGAAGACAUCCCCGAGGCGUCCGCUCAGCGCGGCGUGAGGAAGAAAGGCAAGAAGAAGUCGCAAGCAAAACACGACGCCGCCGACGCGGACCUUGUCACCACUGCCGAGCACAGGAACCCUCGGAAGCCUCCCGGAGGCGCCAACCUGUUUGAUAAGAUGCUCAAGGAGCCGUGCCCCUAUCAUCAGGGUCCCGUCAAGCACACCCUUGAGGAGUGCGUCAUGCUUCGAUGCCACUUCCACAGGGCCGGGCCACCGACGGAAGGUGGCCGAGCCCACAACAACGACAAGAAGGAGGAUCAUAAGGCAGAGGAGUUCCCCGAGGUCCACGACUGCUUCAUGAUCUACGGUGGGCAAGUGGCGAACGCCUCGGCUCGGCACCGCAAGCAAGAGCGCCGGGGGUCUGCUCGGUAAAGGUGGCGGCGCCAGUCUACCUAGACUGGUCCGACAAGCCCAUCACCUUCGACCAGGGCGACCACCCCGACCGCGUGCUGAGCCCAGGAAAGUACCCGCUCGUUGUCGAUCCCGUCAUCGGCAACAUCAGGCUCACCAAGGUCCUCAUGGACGGAGGCAGCAGCCUCAACAUCAUCUACGCCGAGACCCUCGGGUUCCUGCAGAUCGAUCUGUCCUUGAUCCGGGCCGGCGCGGCGCCUUUUCACGGGAUCAUCCCCGGGAAACGCGUCCAACCCCUUGGGCAACUCGAUCUGCCCGUCUGCUUCGGGACUCCCUCCAAUUUCCGAAAGGAAACCCUCACGUUCGAGGUGGUCGGGUUCCGAGGAACCUACCACACAGUGCUGGGGAGGCCAUGCUACGCCAAGUUCAUGGCCGUCCCCAACUACACCUACCUCAAGCUCAAGAUGUCGGGCCCCAACGGGGUCAUCACCGUCGGCCCCACGUACCGACACGCGUACGAAUGCGACGUGGAGUGCGUGGAGUAUGCCGAGGCCCUCGCCGAAUCUGAGGCCCUCAUCGCCGACCUGGAGAGCCUCUCCAAGGAGGCGCCAGAUGCGAAGCGCCACGCCUGCAACUUCGAGCCAGCUGAGAUGGUUAAGUCCGUCCCUCUCGACCCCAGCAACGACGCCUCUAAGCAGAUCCGGAUCGGCUUCGAGCUCGACCCCAAAUAGGAAGCAGUGCUCGUCGACUUUCUCCGCGCGAACGCCGAAGUUUUUGCGUGGAGUCCCUCGGACAUGCCUGGCAUACCGAGGGAUGUCGCCGAGCACUCGAUGGAUAUCCAAGCUGGAGCCCGACCCGUGAAGCAGCCUCUGCGCCGAUUCGACGAAGAAAAGCGCAGAGCCAUAGGCGAGGAGAUCCACAAGCUGAUGGCUGCAGGGUUCAUCAAAGAGGUAUUCCAUCCCGAAUGGCUUGCCAACCCUGUGCUUGUGAGAAAGAAAGGAGGGUGUAGGAAACGGGUGACGCCUAAGAGGGGGGGGGUGAAUUAGGACUUCUAAUACUUUUACUAAACUAGGCCACAAUUAAAUCCCUAGAGCAAAACCUAUGCAAGUAAUCAAAACUAGAAUGUGCAAACUAGGUUUUGUCUAAGUGUUGCUAUCUCUACCGCAAAGGCUAAGUUUCAAUCUACACUAAAUAAGUAUGACAAUAAGAUUGAAACUUAAAUGCUUAAUAUAAAUGCGGAAUGUAAAGAGCUAAGUAGAGAAGCAAACUCUCGUGGAUGACGCCGGUAUUUUUACCGAGGUAUCCGGAACCACGCAAGGUCCCGACUAAUCCUCGUUGGUGCCCCUACGCAAAGGGAAGCCCACCCGAGGGCCAAGCACCUCGGUCGAGUAACUCCGUAGAGAGCCGCGGGCCUUCUCCACGCGCAAGUGGUGCUCCGCUUCCGGCUCCUCUCGGACGCUCCCCGCCGUCUCCACUAUCGAGCUUCCGGCCGAAACGCCGCGGGCCUCGUUCCCUCCGGUACACGGUGGCGGCCGUGACACAAACGCGGUUGUCACGGUCUCGCAAGACUCUCGCCCCACUCGGUACAAUUACAACGGCUCGCGCAAGAGCCGAGGGGUUGUGAGGUUUAUCUAAACUCACUCAACUAACUAGGAUUCACCUAGAGCAAGCGCUAAAGCGGUCUAACUAACCUAAGCACUUCGCAAAGCACCUACGCUAAUCACCGAGUGAUUCUAUUAAGCACUUGGGUGUUUGAGCUCUUGGAAAUAUGCACUAUGUGUCUUGGUAUGUUGCUUGGGCUCUCACACUUGAGAAUGGCCGGUUGGGGGUGUAUUUAUAGCCCCCAACACAAUUGUAGCCGUUGGAGAAAAGCUGCUGCUCUCUGCGGCACACCGGACAGUCCGGUGUGCACCGGACAGUCCGGUGGUGCACCGGACAGCGCACUGUAGCCUGUCCGGUGCGCCUAGCCGUUGCCUGUCUGCCUCUUGUCAGAGCAGGUGACCGUUGGCGCCGCAGUCUCCGGGUGCCACCUGGAACUAGCCGUUGGGCUGCAGUUCCCAGGUGCACCGGACAGUCCGGCGUGUGGGCACCGGACAGUCCGGUGUGCCACCGGACAGUCCGGUGCUCCACGCACAGACAGUCCGCAGGCAGCACACGCCUCCUUUCUUGGACUUUUCUUGAUCUUCUUAAUGUCUUCUUUUGAGGUGUUGCUUUCCUCAAUUCCUUAGUCCAAGUAGUUCUUGCAUCCUGUGAACUACAAACAUAAACACUAGGAAACUUGUUAGUCCACAGAUUGUGUUAAUCAUCAAACACCAAAACUUACUUAGCCAAAUGGCCCGGGGUCCAUUUUCCUUACAAUCUCCCCCUUUUUGGUGAUUGAUGACAACACAACCAAAGCAAGCAAAUAAUGCAAGUAUUUGAAUGUAAAUAUGCAAUACUUGCUAGGAUGCAUGAUUGUCCCCUUAAUGUGAUAUUAUGGACUUAAGCCUCCCCCUAACUCCAUAAUUCACUUACUUCCUAUUUUGGACCAAAUAACCAAAACCACUUGACAGGGCACUUGCAGAAUUUUUAAAAUUUUGAAAUUGGUGGUGUUUGGUGUUUGAUACAUUUUUCAUUGCUUUGGUCCCUAAAAUUCUCCCCCUUUGGAAUCAACCACCGAAAAGGAAGACAUUAAAAGCAUGUAGGAAGUAAAUAAAACUUGCCCUCAUAAGGAAUUGAAACUCUUGGAGAACAGAAACAUAUGAAAAAUUCCCCCUAAAUGAGUGUUCUCUUUUAGAAAGAAAUUUCUCCCCCUUUUUAGAGACGAAGAAAUACUCCCCCUGACCGAGAUCAACUACUUAGGAAAAAGCAUGUGAAAAUUAGAGGAGCAAGUCAUGAUUUGAAUAGACUAACUUCCCUUAUGCAUAGAUAACAAAAUAUGAUUGAACCACUUAUGCAUUUAUAGCAACAAGGAAGUAUAAGAUGUGAAAUAGUAGUUUAACCAAAUGUCGGAGAAGACGUGUAAAAGAUGUACAAUGACAGUUCUUGGAGAUAUGCAGUGGAAGAUUGUUGUCUUUCUCCGAGGACUUCAUUUUUCUUACAAUGAGACUAUCACAUGAAAUAGACUUGAAAAAAGUGUUAGUCUCAAAGUCUUAGAUUAUAGAGUAAUCUCCCCCUAAAAGUGUGCAUACAAGUUUUUUGAAUACUUGUAGGAGACAUGCACUUUGAUUUGAUAUCAAGAGGGGUAGGUUAUCCAUAAUCCGAGCUUUGGCACAUAUAAGUUAAAUGAUACAACUUGUAGAGAUCAAGAUUAUCAACUGAUGCAUCAUUUACUAUGGAGUGAUACAAAAGCUAUGUGCCGUGCUUUAAAUAAGCAUUUUGAGCCAUGUAGGUUUGCUAAAGAAUAUGAAUUGAAAACAAGCAAUCCUACCAUAUGAUUUGCCUAGUAUGCAUUAUUUUAAAACGUAGGUAAAUAACAAUUUUAGUACUAGGCAGGAUAGGUAAACUAGAUACAAGGUAAAUAGAUACGCAUAUCUAAAAACAAGAGAUACAAUAAAUCUAGUUACCUUAGUCAUGGGUGGGAAAUUUGGGUCCAAAAUUUUCACUAGCCCACUUGGCAAUAACCUUGAUCCAAUAUGAUGUAUCCCAUGAUAUACAUCCUAAUUUUGCCAAGUCUCCAAAUUUCCCGUAGACCUUUGGUCCACUCACUUCCCUUUCGGGAUCCAAACCUUCUUGGUGCUCCUCAUGGUUGAAAUAAUUUCCUUUGGCACCCAGAUGCGUUUGGCCCCCUUUCCUUUGUUGGCUUGCUUGUUGGCCUUGAUUGCUAUCACCUUUCCAUUCUUCUUCUUUUUGAUUAAGUAUGGUGUAGCAGUCUUCUUAUCCACCUUUUUGAUGUAGGUGUUGGAGAUUUUGCUUGAUGGCUUUUGCUUGAGCUUUUGCCUUUGUUUAUCCCCGGUCAUCGCCUUGCAUUGGAAAGACUUGUGGCCUUCAAUGUGGCAUAGCCUACAAAUCACAAUUUCUCCCUCUACAGGCUUGUUCACUCCCGCAGUGGUGUUAUCCUGUGGAGGUCGGAUUUGUUUGGCUUUGCCUUUCCUUUCAUACAAAGCCUUGCCAAGGCGAGCCACUUCUUGCUUUAAUUGUUCAUUUUCCUUUGCAACCUCAUCCGUACAUGUCUCUACAACAAUAUUCUCAACAACUUGGUUGCAGGGGUUAGAAUCAUCAAUUAAAUCAAAGCAGGAAGUAGAAGCAUCUUUCUUAAUUAUUUCAGGUAUUUCAACUGAAGAUGCUGCUGGGGUGCUACCAAUGUUUUCUAGCUUAGUAGUUAGCUCAUUGUUGUGUAUGCUAAGAAUUUCCAUUUUCUCUAGCAAAUUUUCAAUAGCUUCUUGAGAGCUAGCUAACUUAGCCUUAAGUUUUUCAUUCUUUUUAAUAAGGCUAUCAUCGGUAGUAGUGGAUGGAGCACUAGAUUCUAAUAGCUCAAUUUUAGUUGAUAGCUCACUAUUUAAGUUUGCAAAAGUUUCAAAUUUUUCUAGCAAACCUUUGUAAUCAUUUUGAGAGCUAACCAACUUGUUUUUCAAAGUUUUAAGUUGAGCUUUUUGCUUAGUGCAAACAUCCUGGAAAAAUUCUACGGCUUCCGCAAGCUCAUCUAGAGAGGCUUUUCCCUCACCUUCAUCAUCACUACUACUUUCAUCACUAGAGGAUGGAGUGCUUUUGUUACCUCUUGCCAUAAGGCAUUUGUGUGAUGACCGUGAUGAUCGUGACGAGGACCGGUGGCUGCGCGUCCUUGGAGGUUCAUCUUCACUUGAAGAAUCAUCCCACGUUCUAACACUUGUUAGCGCCUUGCCUUUGCUCCUCUCCUUUUUGGGUUUGGCCAUAUUUGGACAGUUGUCCCUGAAGUGGCCCUUCUCCCCACAUGCGAAGCAUCCUCUCUUCCUUUGCUUUUUCCUGUCAAUGUUAAAGAGAAGAUCCUCGACCUGCAGGGGCACACCCAUUAGAUUAAUCUUGCGGAUCAUCCCCAUUACCUUUCCGACGCGUCGGAUUGUCUCUUCGUCCUCGGAGGAUGAUGUGCAUGGUUGAUUAUCUUCAUCAUCAUCACUUCCUUCUUCUUCCUCUUCUUCACUUGAGGAACUUGGAGUGGGAGCCUUAUUUUUGCCCUUCCUUUCAUCACAUGCAAAAGCAUAUGGCCUUGAGGAAGUUGGCUCCUCUCCCCGACUCAUUUUUCGCGACAUCUCAAAAGCCGCGAUUUUCCCAAUCACAAUGGUCGGGGUCAUGUUGCUCAAGUCCUCCAUGUUGUGAAGGAUGGUGAUGAUGCUCCCAUAUCUUUGUUGUGGUAGCAGGGAGAUAAUCUUCCUCACAAUGUCCGCAUCACCUAGCUUAUUAAUGCCAAUAGAGUUGAGCUCAUUGAUUAUUAGAUUCAAACGAGAAUACAUGUCUCUAACAAGCUCAUCAUCUUUCAUAGCAAAAGAAUUAUACUCAUUUAAGACUAGGCAAUGUUUUUGCUCACGGACAUUGGAUGUGCCGUCAUGGAGCUCAUGCAAUUUUAGCCAAAUCUCAUUAGCAGUUUUCAAGGUAAAUACUUGAUUAAAAAUAUCCAUGCUAAGAGAUUCAUACAAGCAAUUUUUGGCUCUAGCAUUUAAAUGAAUUUCUUUUUCCUCACUCGUGGUGGGUUUCUCGGGAUUCUUGAGGGGUUUCAUCCCGUCACGAGUGACUCUCCAAACACCUAGAUCAACAGCCUCUAGGUAACAAGCCAUUCUAGCACUAUAAUAUGGGAAGUUAGUGCCGUCGAAGUGUGGUGGCCUAUGGGUAUCCAUCCCUUCCUCUAAAAAGCGUCGGCUCUUUUAGCGGUGAAGCUAAAGCGUUUCAAAUGAGCCAAACCGGCUCUGAUACCACUUGUAGGAAACGGGUGACGCCUAAGAGGGGGGGGGGUGAAUUAGGACUUCUAAUACUUUUACUAAACUAGGCCACAAUUAAAUCCCUAGAGCAAAACCUAUGCAAGUAAUCAAAACUAGAAUGUGCAAACUAGGUUUUGUCUAAGUGUUGCUAUCUCUACCGCAAAGGCUAAGUUUCAAUCUACACUAAAUAAGUAUGACAAUAAGAUUGAAACUUAAAUGCUUAAUAUAAAUGCGGAAUGUAAAGAGCUAAGUAGAGAAGCAAACUCUCGUGGAUGACGCCGGUAUUUUUACCGAGGUAUCCGGAACCACGCAAGGUCCCGACUAAUCCUCGUUGGUGCCCCUACGCAAAGGGAAGCCCACGCGAGGGCCAAGCACCUCGGUCGAGUAACUCCGUAGAGAGCCGCGGGCCUUCUCCACGCGCAAGUGGUGCUCUGCUUCCGGCUCCUCUCGGACGCUCCCCGCCGUCUCCACUAUCGAGCUUCCGGCCGAAACGCCGCGGGCCUCGUUCCCUCCGGUACACGGUGGCGGCCGUGACACAAACGCGGUUGUCACGGUCUCGCAAGACUCUCGCCCCACUCGGUACAAUUACAACGGCUCGCGCAAGAGCCGAGGGGUUGUGAGGUUUAUCUAAACUCACUCAACUAACUAGGAUUCACCUAGAGCAAGCGCUAAAGCGGUCUAACUAACCUAAGCACUUCGCAAAGCACCUACGCUAAUCACCGAGUGAUUCUAUUAAGCACUUGGGUGUUUGAGCUCUUGGAAAUAUGCACUAUGUGUCUUGGUAUGUUGCUUGGGCUCUCACACUUGAGAAUGGCCGGUUGGGGGUGUAUUUAUAGCCCCCAACACAAUUGUAGCCGUUGGAGAAAAGCUGCUGCUCUCUGCGGCACACCGGACAGCGCACUGUAGCCUGUCCGGUGCGCCUAGCCGUUGCCUGUCUGCCUCUUGUCAGAGCAGGUGACCGUUGGCGCCGCAGUCUCCGGGUGCCACCUGGAACUAGCCGUUGGGCUGCAGUUCCCAGGUGCACCGGACAGUCCGGCGUGUGGGCACCGGACAGUCCGGUGUGCCACCGGACAGUCCGGUGCUCCACGCACAGACAGUCCGCAGGCAGCACACGCCUCCUUUCUUGGACUUUUCUUGAUCUUCUUAAUGUCUUCUUUUGAGGUGUUGCUUUCCUCAAUUCCUUAGUCCAAGUAGUUCUUGCAUCCUGUGAACUACAAACAUAAACACUAGGAAACUUGUUAGUCCACAGAUUGUGUUAAUCAUCAAACACCAAAACUUACUUAGCCAAAUGGCCCGGGGUCCAUUUUCCUUACAGAGGGAAAUGGCGGAUGUGUGUAGACUACACUGGUCUAAACAAAGCAUGUCCGAAGGUUCCCUACCCUCUGCCUCGCAUCGAUCAAAUCGUGGAUUCCACUGCUGGGUGUGAAACCCUGUCUUUUCUCGAUGCCUACUCAGGGUAUCACCAAAUUAGGAUGAAAGAGUCUGACUAGCUCGCGACUUCUUUCAUCACACCCUUUGGCAUGUACUGCUACGUUACUAUGCCUUUCGGUUUGAGGAAUGCGGGUGCGACAUACCAAAGGUGCAUGAACCACGUGUUCAGAGAACACAUUGGUCGAACGGUCGAGGCUUACGUCGAUGACAUCAUAGUCAAGACGAGGAAAGCCUCCGACCUCCUUUCCGACCUUGAAACGACAUUCCGGUGUCUCAAGGCGAAAGGCGUAAAACUCAAUCCUGAGAAGUGUGUCUUCGGAGUCCCCCGAGGCAUGCUCCUGGGGUUCAUCGUCUCCGAGCGGGGCAUCGAGGCCAACCCAGAGAAAAAAUCGCGGCCAUCACCAACAUGGGGCCCAUCCAGGACUUGAAAGGAGUACAGAGGGUCAUGGGAUGCCUUGCGGCCCUAAGCCAUUUCAUCUCGCGCCUCGGCGAAAGAGGCCUACCUCUGUACCGCCUCUUGAGGAAGACCAAGCGCUUCACUUGGACCCCCGAGGCCGAGGAAGCCCUCAGGAAACUAAAGGCGCUCCUUACCAGCGCGCCCAUCUUGGUGCCCCCUGUCGGUGUUUUGGGUCCGACCGCACACCCGGGGUUGCCCCUCAUGGUGUUUUAGGAGUAGGACGGUGUCGUCGACUGUAGCUAAAUGGUUCGUGCCAGAUGCACGAAGAACAAUGGACAGUGUUUACAGGUUCGGGCCGCUUUGAGAUGCGUAACACCCUACGUCCUGGCGAGUUUGCUUUGUAUAUGGGUUACAAGGUAGCUCUCUAAAGUGAGAACACGGAGAGUUGAGGUGGAUGGCUGAGUAGUGGGAUCGAUCAAUCUGAAGGGGUGCCCUCUAGGCCUUAUAUAUUCGACCGUGGGGCGAUACAUGUGGAUACGAUAACAAUGUACACCUACAAGAUAGUGAACCGUUUUAGUCUAUCUUCCUAUGAUUCUGCCGACUUAUCCUCGCCUGGUUCCGUCGUAUGGGGUUCCAGCGCGGGAAAGUCGGGUCUUCUGUUGCGGUCGCUUGCUCAACGCUGUGGGGCCGUCCGGGUUUGCGCCAACCCGGCCUUAUGCCGAUCUGCUUCACUGGUCCUUCCUCCCUAGGCCCAUGAAGGAGUGACCUCACGGGUUAUUGGGCCCUUGGGCCUUUCGUGAGGUCUUUUAUCCUUCCAAUGGACCCGGGGGAUAUUUGUCCCCCACAAGCCCCCGAUCUUCGGGCUGAUUUUGAGAUAAUUAGCCCAAAGAUCCUAGGUCCAGCUUGCGGUCUUUGUUUAUGAUAAGAAAUGCUUUCCAAGCAGUCUGGUAAAAAUGAUUUUUUACUGUCUCCUUCUGCUUUAAUCACUCGUAAAUUGGAGCCUUGUUUCAUGCUUGUGCCUUAGAGGUCAGCAUUUCAUUUUGUAGGACCCUAAACUUCAUUGGGUGUAGCCCCCGAGCUUUGAGUGGAUUUUUGAAGAUAAUCCAUUCGAAGGUCUUCAUUUCGUGUCUUUUUGCUGAGGGUCAUCUUUUCUUUUUUCGGAUGCCUUAGAAGUCGGCAUUAUGUCAUCCAUAUUAUGCUUUAGAGGUCAGCAUUAUGUCAUCAAUAUUAUGCUUCAGAGGUCAGCAUGUGUUUUGUCUUUUGCAGCCGAGUUCGUGAUCCACCCAUAUCUUGCUAAGUGGUGCAAUUUAUUUGCUCUGCGACUGAUUGGACAUUUGAUGGACGUUCCCUGGCUAGUCUUCACGUCGCUUCUGUCGGUCAGAUUUUGUACUUCACCGGCUAUAUUUGGCUUUCCUUUGAUCCUUACUGAUAUCUCAUUUUUGUCUUGAGGUAUUCAUUGCAUGUCCUGCACGGAUGUGACAGUUUUGAAAAAUAUACUGAUAAUUCCUGGGCGUCCCCCCCAAUGGGUGUGGGCAAGGGACGGCUUGGUACGCUGAGUGUUUUAGCCGGCUGCUUCUGAGUAGUAAUGUGAUGUGACAGCGGGUGUAAUCAUAUCAUCCGCGCUAUUGACUGGAGUCCCAAUGGGUGUUGCGUUGCGUGAAACGGCGUCAGCCGCCUGACGUGUCUUCAGACGGGUUGAAGUGUGUAUUGAAUGCUUCGCGACUGUUCAGUGACCGUGGUUGGAGGUGAGCGGUUGCCUUCUUCUUCUAUAAAUAGUGCCUUUGCCUCUCUGGUUUUUUCACAUCUCUUGAUGUUCUCCGCUGCUUGCUUUCUUCCUCUCCUUGCAUUUCCACCAUGGGCAAGAACAACAAACGCAAGCGCGAGCCGACUCCUCCAUCAGAGGACUUUGGCGACUCGGAAUACUCAGAGGAGGAGUUCUCCUCUGAGUCCGAGGGGUCUCCAGCUCCCGUCUCUCCCCCAGCGUCGUCCGAUGACUCGGACGACUCUCAGGGGAUUGCCUCGGAGAUCUGGACUUACAUCCGGGCCAUCGAGCGCUCCGGGCUCGAGGGCUCGGAUGAGUCGGAGUACUCCUCGGACGAGGAGGACUCGCUCGAGGAGGACGACGAAGGUGACGACAACGACGACGACGACGGAGGCAGGGGCGGCAACGGCGGCAGCAGGGGCGGCAACGGCGGCAGCAGGGGCGGCGGCGGCGGCAGCAGCAGCAAGGGCAGCAACAAGGCCAGUGGCUAGACGCCACUGGUUUUUAGAUAUUAGUAUAGAUUAGAAAUAGUAUAGUGAAAUAAUGUAGUAGUAUUUAGUAAUGUAGAGUAGUAUAGUGUAGCGUAGUAGUAGUAGUAGUAGUAGUAGCAGCAGUAGGGAAGUAUCAACUCAUAAUGAGUUGAUUUGUAAGUAUUGUAACUUCCCUUAAUGAAGAAUCAUUUCGCCUCCUCUGUGUCAAUUAUUUAGCUUUGUAUUCAGUUGAUCUCUGUCGUGAUGUUUAUUGCCCGUAAUGUUCUCUAUCUGUUAUGUCUGUGGCAUAACUUAGAGUUCUUGAACCAUUCCUCCGCCUGCCUUGUUGGUGAAAUUGAUUCCUUUGGAAUAGCGAUUAAAUAACUCGGGCAUCAUCGGGCAUCAUAUUGACGCCUUUGGGGGUGAUGGCCGAGCUAUUAUUGUCACAUUAACGCCUUUGAAAUAGCGUCCGAGUGAUGACGAAACCAUGUCAGCGUCGGAAUAACUGUUGACCACGUUGGCGCUCUUAGAUGUGACAGCCGAGUGACCUGUGACAACGCCAGCGUUUUUUAGAGAUAACCGCCGAGCAACUGAGGACAUCGUUGGCGCUUUAGAGAUAGCUGCCGAGUGACUGAAGACAUCGUCGGCGUUUUAGAGAUAGACGCCGAGCGACUGAAGACACCGUCGACGCUUUAGAGAUAGCCGUCGAGCGACUGGAGACAUCGUUGGCGCUUUAGAGGUAACCGCCGAGCGACUGAAGAUAUCGUCGGCACUUUAGAGAUAAAUGCCGAGCGACUGGUGAUAACGUUGGUGUUUUAAAAAUAGCCGCCGAGCGAUUGAAGACAUCAUCAGCGCUUUAGAGAUAAAUGUCGAGCGACUGGUGAUAACGUCAGCGUCUUAGAAAUAACAGCUGAGUUAAAACGGGCCGUGUCGGCCACUUUGAGGAUAAUAGCCGAGUGACGAUGUGGCACACCGGGGUUUUAGAAGUAGCCGCCGUGUGCCGACGUGGCACGCCGGUGUUUUUAGAAGUAAAUGCCGGGUGCUGACUGGGCGCUUUUGGAGACAGUAUCUUACUCGGGAAUAUCCCGCAUAUACUGUGCUUUCAGCUACCUCUUCUUUCCGUGCCCUAGUUCUUUCUUUCCUGCCUCCAGAUCCUCUCUGCAAUUCGAUUCUCGCUCUGUUCGCCAGUAGAGUUGAGAUGGCGCCCAAGAGAAAGGCCUCGAGUUCAUCCGCUGUGGUGAUUCCCCCCAUCGACCCCAACAGCCAGUUGCCUUUCGCAGGUAACCAUAUGUCUGUUGUCUCCGAGCCUGACCUUCUCAACCUCGUGUCCAUCGGGGUUCUUCCCCCGAGGGAGCUCUGUUCUUGGCGGAUUUGCCACGGGGUCACUGUUCCGACAGAGGAUACCCAUGAAUCCAUGAUUUACGUUCCUUUUCUUCUCCGCGGUCUCGCUCUUCCUAUUUCCCCUUUUUCCGCGGCCUCCUUGAUUUCUAUCGCCUUAACUUGACCCAUCUGAAUCCCAAUUAUAUUCUGCAAAUUUCCAUUUACGUUCAUUUGUGCGAAGCUUUUCUUGGCGUUCUGCCACAUUUUGGACUGUGGAAGUAUCUGUAUCACUGUCGCCCUGGAAUGGCCGGGGGGCAGCAUCAGCUGGUUGGGGGUGCUAGUUUAGAGAUGCGCCAUGGAAGGAAGUCUGAUUAUCUUGAAAUCCCUCUCAAGGACAGUAUUAAGGGAUGGCGUUUGGAGUGGUUUAUCGUUGAGAACCACGGAAGUUCUCUCCCCCCACGGUCGGGGAGACAACCGGACGUUCGUACCCCGAGUUGGACCGAGUCCCCUACAGAUCAGGAGGUGGCUGAGGCUGGGGCUUUGCUAGCUGAAGUUGGACUGCUGAAGGAGAGGGGUCUGACUGCAGAGGCUGUGGUUGCUGAUUUUAUUUUCAAGAACCUUCAGCCGUUGAAGGACUGGGCUUACCUGACUUAUCUGUACAGAGGCCUAGCUGAAUCGACUCGGGUUACCAACAGAAGGAUUCCCUCUAUAGACUUAGUGAACCGACUUGAGAUGAUUCUUAGAGGCAAGGUAUCAAAUGUUGGUGCCCCAGUGGCAUACUCAGCCUAGAACCUACCUCCUCCCAAGGCCUUCACUCUUUUUGUGUCGAAUCCACCUGUCGCUGAUGGCAGUUUGGGCCUUAGAGUGCGACUCUCUGCUGAAGAAGUUAGCGUCUUCGUUGCUUCGAUUGGAGAAAUUCCCGAUGAUGAACGACAAGUCCACUUUGAGGUGCCUUUGGAUCCUAAUGAUGCAGAAAUAAGUGCUAUGCUUGAUAUGCUGGCCGAAGAUUCUUCUGAUGCUACUCCUGCUGGGACAUUGGCGGUGGCGCCUCUCCCAGAAGAUGGUACAACCUUGGAUGUUCAGAGACCUAUCAAUGUUCGCCCGAGACGUCCUUGCCGAGUCAAUCAACUUGAUCCUUCUGCUGAUGAGCAGAAAAAGAAAAAGAGACGUCUUCAGCAAGUAUCUAGUUUGGAUCAGGGCACUGGUCCUUCGGUUCCUGCUGCUGAGGGAGUUCCCGUGCCUGAAUUUACUGACGCUGACCCCAAUGGGUGUGGUAUGUCUGUUGCUGGCCCCAAUGUGUGUGAUCCAUCUGUCGCUGACCCCAAUGGGUGUGUUGCUGAUGAAAAUGACGGGGAGGAAGAAAAUGAGGUCCUUUUGACUCGGAAGAACAGUCGGCAGUAUAUUGCCAGUGGGGAAAGUAGUGGGGUUCCUUCUCCUGCUCUGUCAGCCCUCGUCGGUCUACAGGAGUUAUCUCUGGCGAACUUUGAUCAGACUCUAGAAGAUAUGGUUCCAGAGGACUUAUUAUCAGAGCCAGCGGGUGGUGACGCGAUGGAUGUUUGUGCUGAUGUGUUCGACGCCGGGUUGGGGUCAUCCCGGGCAGCGUCCCGCGCCUCAUCGACCUUAGAGCGCGGUCUUGAGGGCCAGGAAACUGACUUUGAUCGUCUUGCUCUCAUGGAAGUAACUAAGGGGCCUUCAGCCUUAGAGGCGGCUGCCGUAGAGAGCUUGACCCUCAGGGAUGGUGUUAACGCUCACCCAGCCCCUGAGGGUGUUGUUGGGGAUGGUUCGGCUCGGGUGGGUGGCGUAAGUCACGACCCAGCCCCCGAGGGUGUUGCCGGAGACGAUCCGGCUCAAGUGGGCAGCGCGAGCUAUGACCCAGCCCCCGAGGGUGUCCGAGCGGGGUCUCCCUCUUGUACUACCAUGGAUGUUCACGUCGGAUCUCCUCCACACUCUGGUGGCAUGGUGGUGGCCCAAGUUUCUGGUCAGGGAGUCGCCUUAAAGGCUAGCGUUCCUGCUGACCAAGUUUUGGGCUCUGUUGACGGUACUGAGUUGGUCCCUGCUGGUUCAUUGCAAGCUGCGUCGGGUGGCGACUUUAUGCCAGGCCAUCAAUUGAUCUCUCACGAUUUGGGUGUCCCUUCGUUCUUCUCCAACCUCCAGGUAUUGUGAUAUAUUUUAGCUUGACUUUUAUACCGCAUGAACUGCUGUUAUUACAUUUAUCUGUUCUCAAUAUCAGGCAUUGGUGGACGAAAUGGCUAGUCAGCUGAGGUCGCAAGGUGUGUAUGUUCUAGAAGGAGCUUUGUCUCUAGCGCGUUGGAAUCCGAUGUUGCUUCAACAGCGUGUCUCUGACUUGGAAGCGGCGAAUGCUAGUUAGUGCUCUUUUGAUUCCUUUCGUCUGCCUUAUUGAAUUGUUUCACAUUUUGACCCCCUUUGCUUGAUUUUUUCUCGCCAGGCAUGGCUCGACAGAUUUCUGUUCUUGAAGAAAAAAAUUCUCAAGGUCAGGCUGAACUGGUCCAGCAGUGUUCUGAUUUUGAGGAAAAGUAUUCCCAAAGCCAAACUGAGCUAGCCCAGGUCUCUGCUGCUCUAAAUGCUGCUAACACGCUGAACUCUACUCUUCGCGUUCAGCUUGAUUCUGAAAAGGUGACUUGUGAAACUGCGCCUUGUAUUGCUGUGUUCUUAUUGCUGGCCUGAUGUUUGAAGGAGUUGAUUCUCGCUUGCAGGAAGAAAAACGUGCCCUUGUUGCUUCUCGCGAUAAUCUGGAUAGACUGUAUCGUGACUCUAGCAACUCGUUGACCAUUCUUGAAAGGAGUCAUCAUUUCACCAUGGAGGAGUUAGAUAAUCUUCGUUGUAGGCUGCAGGAAUCCACGGAUGACGUGAUCCGUCUCAGGCAGUUGAUAUCGGCUAAGGAUGCUGCUAUCAAGGAACUGCGCGCUUCUAAGAAGUCCAUCGCCCAGGAGCUGGAGACUGC
RNAcentral lists this long non-coding RNA (94506 nucleotides) under Zea mays. Its description in RNAcentral is "long non-coding RNA (ZMAY_LNC005589)". Lineage: Eukaryota; Viridiplantae; Streptophyta; Magnoliopsida; Poales; Poaceae. The record is from RNAcentral.